RNAcentral lists this long non-coding RNA (139138 nucleotides) under Citrus x clementina. Its description in RNAcentral is "Citrus clementina (C. clementina) long non-coding RNA (CCLE_LNC002636)". Lineage: Eukaryota; Viridiplantae; Streptophyta; Magnoliopsida; Sapindales; Rutaceae. The record is from RNAcentral.
AUUGAGUAGUCAUAAGUGCUAAGUACAUUAUUGGUCACUUGUCCAUACGAAGAAAGCACAUCUUGCAGAUAUCUUAGCUCACUUGUAUUGACAAUUUUCAUGGCAUUCCAACACAGGAAACUCUUUGAUGGAAGCUUUCCAGUAAAUCUGUUGUCAGAUAGGUCAAUAAUGCGGAGUUUCGAAAAUCCACAACCAGUUCUGGGUUCUUCUAUAAUGCCAUAAAAUGUGUUGGAUCGUAGGAUGAGAACAUUCAAUUUUGGAAGAGUUCCUAACCAAGACGGAAAAGUGUCACUAAUCUGGUUGUUCCCAAGACCAAGAAAUUCCAACUUUGAACAGUUGAUCAAUGAUCUUGGAAUUCUUCCUUGAAACAGAUUAUGGCUUAAAUCAAUCACGCCUAAUCUACUUUCUUUAAUGAAAGUAUUUGGGAUGGUCCCAAAGAAGUUGUUAGCCUCCAAGUCGAGCACUGAAAGUUCAUCGCUGAAAUUGCCUAAACACUGAGGAAGCAAGCCACUUAAGUUAUUGUGAGACAAAACAAGGCUUUCAAGAAUAUUCAAAUUGCAUAUCCACGAUGGAAUUUCCCCUGUUAACCUAUUGUUUGAAGCUAGAUAGUUAACGGUUCCGGGGGGUGGAACUGGGAGUGGUCCUUGUAAAUUAUUAGAGCUAAGAUCAAAAGUCACCGCAUCACUUUUAUNNNNNNNNNNNNNNNNNNNNNNNNNNNNNNNNNNNNNNNNNNNNNNNNNNNNNNNNNNNNNNNNNNNNNNNNNNNNNNNNNNNNNNNNNNNNNNNNNNNNNNNNNNNNNNNNNNNNNNNNNNNNNNNNNNNNNNNNNNNNNNNNNNNNNNNNNNNNNNNNNNNNNNNNNNNNNNNNNNNNNNNNNNNNNNNNNNNNNNNNNNNNNNNNNNNNNNNNNNNNNNNNNNNNNNNNNNNNNNNNNNNNNNNNNNNNNNNNNNNNNNNNNNNNNNNNNNNNNNNNNNNNNNNNNNNNNNNNNNNNNNNNNNNNNNNNNNNNNNNNNNNNNNNNNNNNNNNNNNNNNNNNNNNNNNNNNNNNNNNNNNNNNNNNNNNNNNNNNNNNNNNNNNNNNNNNNNNNNNNNNNNNNNNNNNNNNNNNNNNNNNNNNNNNNNNNNNNNNNNNNNNNNNNNNNNNNNNNNNNNNNNNNNNNNNNNNNNNNNNNNNNNNNNNNNNNNNNNNNNNNNNNNNNNNNNNNNNNNNNNNNNNNNNNNNNNNNNNNNNNNNNNNNNNNNNNNNNNNNNNNNNNNNNNNNNNNNNNNNNNNNNNNNNNNNNNNNNNNNNNNNNNNNNNNNNNNNNNNNNNNNNNNNNNNNNNNNNNNNNNNNNNNNNNNNNNNNNNNNNNNNNNNNNNNNNNNNNNNNNNNNNNNNNNNNNNNNNNNNNNNNNNNNNNNNNNNNNNNNNNNNNNNNNNNNNNNNNNNNNNNNNNNNNNNNNNNNNNNNNNNNNNNNNNNNNNNNNNNNNNNNNNNNNNNNNNNNNNNNNNNNNNNNNNNNNNNNNNNNNNNNNNNNNNNNNNNNNNNNNNNNNNNNNNNNNNNNNNNNNNNNNNNNNNNNNNNNNNNNNNNNNNNNNNNNNNNNNNNNNNNNNNNNNNNNNNNNNNNNNNNNNNNNNNNNNNNNNNNNNNNNNNNNNNNNNNNNNNNNNNNNNNNNNNNNNNNNNNNNNNNNNNNNNNNNNNNNNNNNNNNNNNNNNNNNNNNNNNNNNNNNNNNNNNNNNNNNNNNNNNNNNNNNNNNNNNNNNNNNNNNNNNNNNNNNNNNNNNNNNNNNNNNNNNNNNNNNNNNNNNNNNNNNNNNNNNNNNNNNNNNNNNNNNNNNNNNNNNNNNNNNNNNNNNNNNNNNNNNNNNNNNNNNNNNNNNNNNNNNNNNNNNNNNNNNNNNNNNNNNNNNNNNNNNNNNNNNNNNNNNNNNNNNNNNNNNNNNNNNNNNNNNNNNNNNNNNNNNNNNNNNNNNNNNNNNNNNNNNNNNNNNNNNNNNNNNNNNNNNNNNNNNNNNNNNNNNNNNNNNNNNNNNNNNNNNNNNNNNNNNNNNNNNNNNNNNNNNNNNNNNNNNNNNNNNNNNNNNNNNNNNNNNNNNNNNNNNNNNNNNNNNNNNNNNNNNNNNNNNNNNNNNNNNNNNNNNNNNNNNNNNNNNNNNNNNNNNNNNNNNNNNNNNNNNNNNNNNNNNNNNNNNNNNNNNNNNNNNNNNNNNNNNNNNNNNNNNNNNNNNNNNNNNNNNNNNNNNNNNNNNNNNNNNNNNNNNNNNNNNNNNNNNNNNNNNNNNNNNNNNNNNNNNNNNNNNNNNNNNNNNNNNNNNNNNNNNNNNNNNNNNNNNNNNNNNNNNNNNNNNNNNNNNNNNNNNNNNNNNNNNNNNNNNNNNNNNNNNNNNNNNNNNNNNNNNNNNNNNNNNNNNNNNNNNNNNNUGACACCUAUUUAUGAGAGACAUAAAAAUUCCAAAUUUUUCCAGCUAGUAAGUAAAUCAUCUAACUCUAUCGUUCCGCUAUAAGAAUUUCGAGCCAUGUCAAGGACCAUAAGUUGGGUAAGAUUCCUAAGUGAAGAUGUAAUUUGACCUGAAAAAUUACACUUAGUGAUAUGUAUUACUUCCAAUGACCUAAGAUUUCCAAUGGAACCAAGUAAGUCACCCGAAAAACUAUUCAAUCCAAGAUACAAAAAUUGUAGCCGGGUGAAAUUACCAAUCGAAUGUGAAACUUUGCCCCAAAAACUACAUGACCUCAGAUCUAAUAACUUCAAAGAACUAAAAUUCCCCGUCGACCAUGGAAACUCACCCGAAAAUUUAUUGAAUGAAAGGUCAAGUUUUUCCAAAGAAAAAAGAUUUCGAAUGGAAGUAGGAAUCUCACCAAAAUAUCCAUUUUGUGAAAGGUCAAGUUCUUUCAAAGAACCAAGAUUUCCCAUGGAAAUAGGCAAUUCACCAAAAAAUCUAUUUUGUGAAAGGUCAAGUUCUUUCAAAGAACUAAGAUUUCCAAUGGAAAUAGGCCACUCACUCGACAAAAAAUUUGCAGAGAGAUCAAGUUCUUCCAAUGAACAAAGAUUACCAACGGAAACAGGCAGCUCACCCUGUAAUUCAUUUAGUGAAAGGUCUAAAUGAAGGAGCUUGGAUAGAUUACCGAGUGAGGAUGGAAUUCUUCCUGAAAUUUGUUAAAAAAGAAAAAAGAACACAUUGCUUAAGUAGAAAAUUAAAAAUAAUAAUAGUUUUUACUAAUGAAUUUAACAUUGCAUGUAUAUUAAUUAAGGAGAAAAUAUAUAAAAUUGAAUUACCUUGCAAUUCACAGUUUUGAAGAGAAACAAACAUCGAAGAAGAUAGAUUUGUGAUGUUAUGAGGUAUCGUUGACUGAAUAGAAACAUCACCAAGGUCAAGUGUUUUUAGAUUGCUUAACUUCUCCACUAAAUUUACGAGACUGGGCUUCUGGAGUUCAAGUCUACCACCAGGAACAUCAUUUAGUGAUAAAUCAAGGGACACCAAGUUGGAGAGCUUUAGAAUUUCUGAUGGUAUUUGGCCAGAUAAAGAAGUUCCAGAGAGGUUCAAGUAUGAUAACCUGGAAAGGUUGAUGAUUUCUGGUGGGAUUUCGGAGGAAUUGAAGUCAUUCAAAGCAAGAUUAAGCCACUCGAGAUGGACAAGCUUGAAAAGGCUGCUGCUAGAGUUGAUAGAACCAAAAAGACAGCUAUGGGAGAGGUCAAGCUUGAUGACAUGACCAGUGUUCUUAUUGCAAUGAACGCCGUCCCAAGAGCAGCAAUCAACGUUACCUUCUUCUGGCUUCCAUGAUGCCAUUGUAGGACGACAGUCAAAUUUCCAAGCAUAAAAAUCACCACUGAUGCGGCUUUCUUUGAAUUGCAACAAAGCAGAGCGCUCAUCAUCAUGGCAGAGUGGCAGCAUAGAAGAAGUAGUGACGUUAGCAAUUGUUAAAUUAAAGAAAAUGAAGGGAAAAACUAACCGUAUGAAUAUUGUGAAUAAACAUAUAAAGGAUAAAGCCAUAGUUUUCUCAAAAAUAAAAUUUGUUUAACUUUGUAGAUGUGAAGAAAUUUAAGGAUCUUGGUUUGCUUUUAUAGGCAAAUUGCAGCAAUUCAAACAUUGAAGUCAUUGGACUCUUUUUUGUUUUUUUAAAGUCAACCAAAGUUAGUCUUAAUAAUAUUUAUUUUUUAUAUUUGAUGUGAUGUCAUAAACUUUUACCAUUUCGUCACCACCGAAAAUACGUUUAUAACAAACGUGAGGAUUAAUUUAUUAGUAGAACUCGCAUUAAAUAGGGUUCAUUGACUUUAACCCAUUUGUGUGGAAAUUGAUUAAAUUCCGAAAAUUGCUUUUCAAAAUCGUCCAUUCAUCGCUACCGCCGCUAUUUGAGGGUCUUUGCAUUUAUAUUUGCGGUGUGGAAAUAUGAAGAGACAUCGAUAUUAAUAAACCCGUAGGGCAAGGCAACAUACGAUAAGAUGUUGAUACUUUGAAUAAUAUUUUUGACGCAGUAACGUUGAAAAUUUAAAAUAAAAUAAGUGUUGAAAAAUUAUUAGUGUUUCGUUGACCCAUGACUCGGCUGUUUGAAUCUGAGAUCUUACAACUUGCAAUAUGUUAGGUAUAUUUUUAUUUACUGAAGAUUGUACGUAAGUUUCCAUACUAAUUAAUUCACAUUAAAACUCAAAUCUCAAGCUAAAAAUGGGUCUAAGUAAUGAACCUUGUAAAUGUUCAUGUGAAUUUCCAUUUGUAGUUUGAAGCAAUAACAAUUUUUCGUCUUCAUUUAGUUAAUGAAUUUGCUUAUGGCUCAUCUUGAUAUUCAAAAUAUUCAAUAAUGUAUCAUCCACAGAAUGUGUACUACUCUAAUCGCAUUGGUAGGUACAAGUGUAGUGUUUCUAAGAAGCAUAAUUGCAUCCACAAUUAAUCUCCCUUUAAUUCUUGUCAAAAUUAUAAGUUUACCAUUAAAGGAAAAAAAAAAGAAUGAAUGAAUACAUCAAGACGCUAUUUGGUAUAACGCUCAUUUUCUAACUUAAAGAUAUAUUAUCUAUGCUAUUAUAAAAAAUUGGUGUAAACGAUAAAAUUUGAGUGCAAAAACCAAAAAAAAGAAUUUCCCAAGGAAGAGUGGGCACAUUUUCUCAUUCUUCGUACCAAAGUUGCAUAUGUAUUAAAGCGUUCUAAACUCAUUUAAAAACAAGAAAACGAACGUGGCAGACUUUGAUGACGAAAUCCAACGGCCUCGGUGUAAAGGUUGAUUUUCGUAAUCAAGUCAGCACACGCGUCGCUAUAUGAUUGGUUGGAAUAGUCGUGUGUUAAUAAGGGCCGAUCAAGAUCGCCGACCUUUUUUUUUCCUCCCAGUGGGUUCCGCCAAAUUGAUGAGCCAAGUUUGGCUCUUGGUACUUCUGAAAUCUUUUACACCACAAAACGCAAGAGCAUUUAUUCACUUGAAAAGCCAUACACGCCAUUUUAUUGUCAUUUUUUCCAAAGCACGAAUGGAUGGUCCCUUCGUUGUGCGAUUGAAAGGACAUUGAUACCAAAGAGGAAAAGGAAAAAUUAGUAAACUUAUGCAAUUUAAUUUAUGAAAUUAAUUACAUGAUUUAUUUUAAUGAUUGAUGUUAUUAUGUUAUGAUAUUUCUGGAGAUUGAUUUCAUCUUGUUAAAUAUAUGAAUUGGACAACACAUCGCAUUUAACCACUACCAAAUAAUCUUAGAUGCAAUCGAGCCUUAGUUGUAGAAAAUAGGUGAAAUAUAAAUAUAUGCAUUUUCAGUCCUUGUCACCAUUGUUAUACGAUAUAUGACACUUUAAUUUUGCCUAAAGAUUCAAAAUGUUUUAAAAAAACAUUGGAGUGCUAAAAAUCAAUAGAAGGACUAAAAUACAACAUUUUCACCCUCACGAAAAACCACAAAUUUUUAUAAUUUUAUUUCAAUCCUCAAAAUAAUGAUCCUCAUAAAUCAACUCAUAUGGGUAAUACAUCAAUUUUAUUUUUGUUUGAAAAAAUGAAAACAUAAUUCCAAAGUGGUCCAGACCAUUUGAAAAAAAAAAUGAUAAAUAUUAUUUGGAUAUGAUAUCAACUCAAAAUUCAAACAAAUCUUACAAACAACUGGCGAAAAAUGGUGAAUUCCAUUCCUUGACCGGGGUUUAUUAAAUUAAAGUGCUGUCAUCGUUUACCAAAACCUCUAACUAGCAAUACCCACUAAUAAUAUCCUAAAUAAUUUAGCCCACAUACAUUUAACAUUUAUUUUUAAAAACAAAUCUAACAAUCCAGCAUUUCAUGGACCGCAAGACUAUAUAUAUAUAUAUAUAUAUAUAUACACGCAACUAAACAUUCCUUGCUCCACAUGACCAAACUUGCACCCAUAUGGUACCAUUUCUUUCAAACAUAAAAAAACAAUUGAAAAAGGGGGCCUCACUUUUCAGCUCAAUAAAAUACACUAGAAAGUAUUAUCAGUUACCAAAUCUAACUCACAAUCAUUAAAAAAAGAAAAAUGAUAAACGAACAAAAAGGAGUGAGAAGGACGAUGGAAACGGCAGCACGAGCUGCCGUUUCACGCGUCCUUCUUACUCUUACCAUUUGGCGUUUAAAAUAUUAAAAUAACACUUUAAAAAGGAAAAUGGUAUUGACAUGAAGGACUAAAGGAGAGCACAAAAAUUUGGGUCUAAAAGCCACCUGUUCGUACGUGCAAACACCACACGCACGGACGCAAAAAUCCAGCAAAAAACUCACGCGUCUCCCUCACCAAGCAGCAAGAUUCUCGAUCUCUCUCUCCCAACAUUCUCCAUGUCUCUCUCCCGUUUCAACACUAGGUCGGUCUCAGCUUCGUUCUCCCUCACCACGCAGCAGCACAAAACCGGUCAUUUUCAACAAUUUCUUAAAAAAAAAAAUGAAACAAAAGCCACAACCUUGCAGUCAAUAGUGCUGCCGUUGAUGUGGUUCUGAUAGUUAAAUAGGUUCUGAUAUAUAGUUAAAGAAGAUUUUCUGGACAUGUCUAGUAGAUGCCCUGCUGUUGACAUAAAUAGUUACAGGACGAUAUUGUAUCAGCAAAUUUUUAUUCAUUCAUCAAGUCAUAGUGCAAGUUGUAGCAAUUAGGGAGAGAACCGAUGAGGAUGGAAAAAGAUCCGAGUGUCUUAUUGUCAGUGUUGUAGAUUUUUGUUCUCUCAAAUGGAGUCCAAAUGCUGAAUUCCGCAGCUGCAAAGAAACCCGAACAAUUUCCAUUCCAUGCCUUCUCAAUGGUCAAUGGCCAAUUUGUGCCACUUAUAUGUAUCAACUGCAAAGCUGCCUCUGUUGACGUGGUGGUUGUCGGCACCAAACUCAAAUCUCGACGGCACCGAAUGCAGAUUUCUCAUCUUUUAAAUAGCAAGCCAAUGAUUUUAUUUUAUUUGGCUAUCGAAGUCGAAGUUCUGCCGCUUGGAGAAAGGAAAUGGCCGCAUUAUUUUUAAAGCUGUAGAACAACUGCAGGAGUAGAUCACAGGCCUCCAUUUCUAAACUUUAUUGCGGGCCAUUGCUUAUUUCAUUGACCAUUAUUUUUGCGCCAUUUUUUAACCAUUAUUUUAAUGUAUUUGUGGACCAUGGGGAAGAGUGAGAAGGACGCGUGAAUCGGCAGCAAAUUCUGCCUUUUCUGUCGUCCCUCUUUCUUCCUUAUGGCUAAAUAGCAUAACUCAAAAAGAAACGUCAACACCAUUGGACCUCAGUUUUGGAUCCAUCCCAAUAAAAAACACUAGUCAAUGAAAAGUGAUAUAUCAUCAAGCAAAAUCAGUUCACACACAUGCAAGCUCUGACUAAAAAAUUACAAAAUAUAACAAAAUUCAGGCAAACCAUUGCCAGCAAGCAUUGUUUAAACAUUGAAUGGAAAGGCAAGUAAAGAAUUGAACAAACCUGAUGCUAGAAAUCGAAUUUGAAAGGGAACAAAGCAGUGAAAUCCCGCAAUUCAGAAAAAAAUAAAAAAAAGGACAUAUUAAAUUAAAUGAUUGAGCAAUUUCAAGAUUUAAUAAAAGGACAAAGUAUAAGCUUCUUGAAUUAAAAAAAUAAAAAAAUAACAACUGAAACAAACAAGAAUUAAAAAAAUAAAUAAUAAAGAUAAACCAUUCAUGAUAGAAAUCCCAAAAACAGGGCAUAAAGUAUGAAGAAAUAAGGGAGAUAACAACAAAACUGAAAAUUAAUUUUAUAAAGCUCAACUAAUUUAUUCAAAAUAAAAAAUAAAAAAGCUAAUUGACAAUAAACCUAAGGAUUCAGCAAUUACAAGAAUGGCUUCUCCACCGCCAAUUAAACAAUGCAAAGAAAUAGCGACAACGACGGCUUCAAUAGCGAACGUGUUGUUCGAAGGCGCAACAAUGAGCAUAUAUGGUGAUUUUGUGCUUAAAAUUUUAUAAUGAAGUGGUUGCUUCAAUAGCAUAUACGAUGAUUUUGGUUUCCAUGCAAUGGAUUUCAAAACCAAUUUGUAGAUUAAAGUAGGCACUACUAAAAAAACGCGUUUUUAUGAUAGAAAAUUUAUGAUACAUAUCGAAUUGUCACGAAAGUAUCAUCAAAGAAUGAUAUUUUCGUGACUAAUAUCUUUUUGUCAAACUGUUAUGACAUAUUCGUGACUCAUUUAUUUAUGUCAUUUAUUAUUGAUAAAAACAUGUCAUGUUCUGUUUUUAUUUUUUUAAUCAUUUAUAAAACUUGAUAGGCAUCAAUCACGGGUUCAAACGACAUCGUAUUUAAAUUGAUUUAUUUUACCAAAAUGCCAUUAACAAAAAAUUUUUACUUUAUAAUUAUUAAAAAAAAAGGUUAAACGAUGUCGUUUAAGCGUUAUAGUUUAAAAGAUCCAAACUUUCAACACUCAGAAAAAUUAAGUGUUUCGUAUGUUUUCUUUUCACACGAAUAAACAGCCCUAACCCUUACUAACAACACAGCCCUAACUCAGUUUCAGCCAAAGAAAACGAAACAUUCACAGCCGCCAUCACCUCAGCCUCUCACUCAACUCAUAUCACUCAACUCAUAUCACUCAACCUCCCACUUAAAUCAGCUGUCAUUAUUCGAUUGGAAAAACCUCAGGCCAUGCGAAGACCCAUGGAAGCGGUGGUAGAGCCAACGCGUGGCGGGAUGCCGCGAAUUGAGAUCCAUGACCCGUACAAACUCGAUGGCUGGUCGCAGCAACUCCCGCGACUUCUGGGCAGUGGUGGCGGUCGGAUUUUGAAGGGGUUGUUGUGAGGAGUAAAACUGAGGUGGUGGUUGAGAGAGGUCUGGUGCAACCGUGGGAAGGGUGACUGGGGAGCUUGAAGUGGGUGGUCAAUUUACUCCAUUUCCUUCUUCACCUCCAAGUUACAUUGGUGUUAAUGGGUUGUGCCCUCUUGCAUACUCUUUAUUGGCCCAGGUAACAAAUCUUUAUUUUGCAUUUGUGUUCUUUUAUUGUUGAUUCUAUCUUGCUUUUUGCAUAAAAAAGGGAAAAGUUCUCUAAUUAAUCACAAUGACAAGAAACUCCCGAAUUAUUUUGAAGUUUUCUAGAAGGUAAUGUUGAAACUUGGCUAUUUAAUUUCCCAAAAUCGUUUUAGUUUUGAAGAAAUCCACCGCUCAUCGUUGCUCUGGUGAAGAAGGUAAAGACGAAAAUAACUUCUUUUUUUUUUUUUUUGGAAACUGAAAAUACACUACUUUAUAUAUGAUUGUCUAGGAUUAACAAGGGAAAUUUCAGCAAGAAACUAACAGAAGUAGAUCAGCCAUGGCUUAACACACUACAUGCACAAUCUUGCAGUGACACAGAAAGUCACUAGAAAAACAUUUACUCUUUAACACUUAUUGCUGGUCAACUUAAGCUAACAUAAAAUUUCAACAGAUGCUAAUACUUAUAACUUAGGGGCACUUGGGUUUAUUGCCCCGAGUAGUCAUAUCAGUGUAGCACUUGCCACACUUCUCUCUGUUGCCAUAAGUUCCUGGCCAACAGAAGCAGAGCAGCUCUGAAAGCCAUUGGAAGACAGAACCCAGCCGAAAGAAACGAAGAAGAAAGUUUGAGAAGCUAGGCACUCCCUGCUUGGUGCUCAAGACGAAAAUAACUUGUUUGAUUUUGAAAAUUAAAUCCGUUGCUCCUUAUUAUUCCUUGAUUUAUUGGCUUUUUCUAUUUAUUAUGCAUAGUUAAAAAUGGAAAUUGAUCUCUCAAUGCCUUGGGUUUUGACCUAACUAAAAUUUGGGUUCUUUGAAAUCGAAGUUGGAGGUUAAUUUGGCUGAUUUUGAAUGAUGAAUUUAUCACUGACAAUUCAAAUUGAUUGAGUUCUCUUUGGUAAAUAAUAAUUGGUUAAUUUGACUGAUUUUGGAUGAUGAAUCUUCUUUGCAAUGUUAGUCAUUGCAAUAACAUUGUUUUGAGUUCAUGUGUAUUCUCUACUAUGCAUUUUUCUUCCCAAAAUUUCCAAUAGCGUAGUGCUUGUACUCAAAGAUUGCUUCGCAGGGAUCAAAAUUGCUUCAAUUCAUCUUGCAGCAACUGGAACUUAAACAUAAGCAUGCCAAUACGAUCGGCAGUUUGUUGGACUUUGCUUGGUCGAUGUUGAAGACAUGAAGAUUCAUUUAAAAGUGGGAAUAUUUUCUGACAUUGGGUUUGGUGUUUAUUUUUUAUGGGAAAGAUUGUAUACCAAAUUGUACAAAUGUUUGUUUACUUGAAUUGUUUGGUUGUAAUGAUUAAAUUAUAGAUGCUGAUUUGGAUGUCAAUUAUAGAAUUAUUUUUGGAUUAUUUAUUUAUUUUUUAGAAUUAAUUGAUAUAUUAUUGAAAUGUGCCAAAAUGAUUUUAAAAUAAUUUUUAAUAAUUCCCGCCCAAAUAUUUUGAAAAAUUAAAAAUAAUUGCGCCAAAUUAAAUAUUUAUCACUUUAAAUAUUUUAAUAUUUAUUUAAAAUUUCAGUUAUUCCUUUUAGAUUUAAUAAAAAUAAUUUUAUUAUUCCAAUUAAAUAUGUCAUGUUUAUGCGAUAGACAAAAGUCAUGAAUGGGAAAUGUUUAUGAUAGAUAUUAGUCAUGGGUGAAAAUUUCUCAUCAAGAUACCCAAUGACAGAAUCGUGAUAGAUAAUAUGUCAUGCUAAACAUGACACAUAAAAAUAGUCAAGGAUUUUUCUUGACACCGGAAUCAAUGACGGUCGCUCAAUUGUCAUGCCAUAGGGUGGAUGACGGGUAAUAACCGUUAUAAAGGACUUUUUUUCUAGUAGUGAGGGCUUGUUAAUUAUGGAUUUUGAGGGGUUUCAAUGCUUAGGUUUCUCAGCCCCGAUGGAGUGAUGAAGUCAAAGGAACUGAAGUGUUUAUUAAAAAUUAGAAUUUUCUUGUAGUUUAAAGUCUAUAGUAAACGACAGUGUUUAGAAGUUAAAAAAUAUUUUUAUUUUUAAAAUUUUUUAAAUUAUGAAAAAUCAACACACAGUGCCGUUUCAUGCCCAAAUUGAUCAAUCCUAAACUCACCGUUUCAUUAAAUAUUAAUAUGCUAUCAUAUUUAUAUGAUGUAUAAAAACUAUCACAAAUUUGUCAUGCCUUUAUGAUGUAUGAAAAUUAUGUCACGUGUCUAGCAUAUUCUUAUGAUAAAUGACUAAUUUUCUAAUAUCUAUCACAAAAAUUCUGUCAUGUUAGCCCAUUAUUCUAGUAGUGAGAUAUUUAUCCAACUAGACUACAAAGUAAUUGAAAUUAAUUGUAACACCUAUGGCCAAAACUUGGACCCAGUGUUAUUCUAUAAUCAAAAUUGAAACCUAUAAUUACAGUCAACUUGAAUCUGAAUCAAAUGGGCAAAUGCGGGCAAAUGCCAUCUCUAGGCUCUAACCAUGAAACAAUAAUCAAAUCGUCAGACUUCUAAAAUAAGCCAAUGAAACAUUACUCACAAACCCAUCUAUUAACAUCUUUAAAGCUUUGGCACUGAAACUUAAAAGAGAGUUUUGUGUUAAAUAGUAUUGAAAGUAAACACAACAACAAUUAUAUAUAGCAAAGAUUAGUGGGAAAACAGAUGUAUUAAAAUUGUUCUUGACUCCCAAUUCUGCCAAAAUAAAAUAAAUGAGCGUAACAAGCAACCGGACCACAGAGAAAGAUAUCUCCAACACCAUAAGCGGUCGCUUCUGAAAAUGCAUUCUGGUUGCAGCUCUACUUCUUGUCACGGUACAAGUAUGUGUGUUGAGUAAUGAAAAGUACCAGCUCAACUAUCUCCUCAUCCCUCACCCCGGAACGAAUCUCCCCAGCUGAAUGGCACGAGCAGUGUCUUGGUAAUAUAUCCUGUACGGAGCAUAUGCCAACUAGAGACGAGUACUGACCAGAGGUACAUACCGACCAGAUAAUCAUCACCCAAAGAAAGAGGACACGAUCUCAAGAACUCACGACAGUUUCUCCAUACCCCAAACCGCUGGGGAGAACAUGACAUUCCACGUUUACCCACGAUUCGGCGGUUGGAGACCCAUGAAGGUCUGUCAUCACCCGAAAAUGAGGGGCAUGAAGAAUACUCAGAAAACGUGGGAUGAUUGCCUAUAAAAGCAUAUGUGUUUAUUUAAUUGUAAUAAACAUUUUUUCUGAUUAAUAAAAUUAAUGAGGUAUUUUAUUCAAAUAUCUUAAUUGCAUUAAUAUUUUGAUCAAAGUCCAUUUAAUCAUAUUAUAUGUAUUUAUGUGAUCACCAUGUGGAUUCACAAAAGACAUAAAUAUAAGUUAUCUUAUGAUUAAAUAAAAUUAGUUCGCAGUUGAUAAAUAAAGUUGGGCACUUUAUUUAGGUAUAGACUGUAAUGAAUUCAUUGAAUGAUUUGUCUUAAUCAUGUAUGAAUUUAUUAAUGUAGUACGACUACAUUGAACAAGAUCACAUAUGAGAUUUAUUUAACCUUGAAAUGACUGUCAGACUUAUUAAAUCUCAUAGGCAUUGAUUUUACUGUAAUCUUAAUCUUGAGUUAAUUAUGAUUUCAUGAUUGUAAUUGUUAUUCCAUUUGAGUUACCAAUCGGCACGACACAUUCUUGUGGUCAAGAUUACCCGGUAUCUUGGUGGGAGCAAUUAUGAGUAUUGGAGUUAUGGAUUAACAAUAUAGAAUUUGUACAACACAUCUCUUGAUGGGUUUUCGACACUUGAUCAUAUAAUUCUCUGGCUAGAGUGUGUCAACAUAUUUAGUAUGUUGAAAAUUAUCAUUAGAGAAAACCAGUAAGUAUCAAGGACCAAGAUGUUAUUAAAUUGAUUGGACAGUUGAGAUAUCAAUUUAAUUAACGAUGUGGUACAAAUGAUUGUGCAGUAAAGAAAUCAAUGUGGCUUGGGACGAAUUAUUAUUCGAGCAUACAAUUAUGGAAGUCAGUUCCAAUCUUUUAGUGGAGUAGAUUUGGAAUUAAAUAAUUGGGCUAGUUUAAUUAUAGGCCUAAUUAUUGUAGCCAUUAGUGUAUGUUCCCAAAUGAUCCCCGGGUUAGCUCAUUUAAUUGACUGCACCACUACUGGAUUAAUAAGCAAGAUAACUAGCUAUUUGGGUCAAAAGCCUAAAUAUAUCAUUUAGUGGGAGGCUCCAUUUAAUUAGCUUGUGUGUAAGGGGCCUUAUGUUAUUUUACAAGGUGGGUCCCCUAUAGAAAAAGCAAGUAACGUGAGUUUUGAUUUUGAUAAUUUGGAGCCUAGGGUUUUCACAAAAGGGAGAUAUAAAAAGACUUAUUUUCUCUAAAGAAAGAGAGAGCAGCCACUUUAUACAGAUGAGAGAAAAAGAUUUUUCUCUCUAUUGUUGAGAGAAAAAUUUUCUCGUGCUAGUUGUUUUAGUAGUGAUAAAGGCGCCCACACGUCAAGUGCAGAUCAAACCUGAGUCAUAACCUGGAAGAUCAUUGGUGACAGUUCGUGAUCUAACAAGCGUGGUGGUGAUGGAUUGUGAUCUAAUAGGCGUGGUGGUGACGGAUCGUGAUCUGGGAGCCUAAAUCACUUCAGCGGAAAAAUCUAAAUCGGAUUUUCAAGGUACGAUUUCUAGAUUACAAAUUCUUAUAUAUUAUAUGAGAGCGAUCUUAAAAGGUUUUAUAAAAAAUUAAAAAACUGAAUUUUCCCCAACAGCAUGUUCUAUGCAUAUGUCGUGUCAGAAAAUUAUUUCUUAGUUUCAUAGACAAGAAUGAUGAAGGAGAGAUGUAAAUAUGAACGCCGUUCUAAGCCAACUAAAGUUGAAUUCGCCAUAUCAUUAUAAUGGAUGUUAAUAUUGCUAAUUUGGAGUCAAAGUCAUGCGUUGAUUGCAUUUGUAUUGUCUGUAUGACUAGGUCGUGGCAAAGGCUCAUGGAAUAAAUCUGCUUCUUUUUACUCUUUUCCCCACUACCACCAGUUCACUUAACUUUUCCUUCACGGCAUGCUGAAUGAGAUCUUCUACUCCAUCAGUGCAUUUAGGAUUAGAUUUCUAAUUUGUCCGAUGUCUCUGCAUUUUCUUGAACUCUCUACUCUUCCUCGUGUAAUUAAGGAGGAUUAAAGUAAAAGAAAAGGGUAGAACCAGUUAUCCCUAUUUGUUGCACUAGCUAUUAGAUUUCCAUAUUAGAGUAAUUAUUGGCCAAAAACAUAAUUUUUUAUUUAAAUUGUCAAAAAGACUUGAAUGUUCUCAUCCUAAAAUAAGUUCCAUUAAAAUGAUCAUAAUAUUUAUGGAAUGUUUAUAACUAAGAAUGAGUGCAAGCAUAUCAUAUUUAUUUCUAUUUAGGUUUAUAAGAAUUAUAAGAGGAAAGAAACUCUUUUUUGGAAAGAAUCCUAGUCUUUUAACUACAAUCUUAAUAAUUUUUUUCACAUCAGCCACAUACUUAUCAAACAACAUAUCAUAUUUAAGGCAAGAUUUAUCCAUUUUUUGUUUAGCACAUGACAUAUAAUCGAGACAAAUUUCAACAUAUUGUAGUAAUGGGCAGCAAUGAUAAACGGUUUCCAUUAUCAAUAAAUUAAGCAACAAAACAAUAUUAAUAUUCAGUUUAUAAAUUAAUGAAAUAAAUAAAUUAAAAACAAAAGCUUGUCAUCAUGUGCAACAAAUAUAACUUCACCAACGUGUUGUCAUCGUUUGCCAAAACCUGUAACUAACAAUACCCAGCUAAUAAUAUCGUAAAUAAUUUAGCCCACAUAUAUCUAACAUUUAUUUUUAAAAAAAAUCUAACAAUCCAGUAUUUCAUGGACCACCAGACUAUAUAUAUAUACAUAUAUAUAUAUAAGCAACUAAACAUUGCUUGGUCCACAUGACCAAACUUGCCCCCACAUGGUACCAUUUCUUUCAAACAUUAAAAAGACAAUUGAAAAAGGGGGCCUCACUUUUCAACUCAAUAAAAUACACUAGAAAGUAUUAUCAAUUACCAAGUCUAAAUCACAAUCAUUAAAAUAUAUGUCAACACCAUUGGACCUCAGUUUCGGAUCCUUCCCAAUAAAAAACACCAGCCAAUGAAAAGUGCUAUAUCAUCAAGCAAAAUCAGUUCACACACAUGCAAGCUUUGACUGAAAAAUUACAAAAUAUAACAACCUUCAGACAAACCAUUGCCAGCAAGCAUUUUUUAAACAUUGAAUGGAAAGGCAAGUAAAGAAUUGAACAAACCUGAUGUUAGAAAUCGAAUUUGAAAGGAAACAAAGCAGUGAAAUCCUGCAAUUCAGAAAAAAAAAAAUUUUUAAAAGAGGGCAUACUAAAUUAAAUGAUUGAGCAAUUUCUAGGUUUAAUAAAAGGACAAAGUAUAAGCUUCUUGAAUUAAAAAAAAAAAUUAAAAAAUAACAAAAGAAACAAACAAGAAUUAAAAAAAUUAAUAAUAAAGGUAAACCAUUCAUUAUAGAAAUCCCCAAAAAAGAGGCAUAAAUUAUGAACAAAUAAGGGAGAUAACAAUAAAACUGACAAUUAAUUUUAUAAUGCCCAACUAAUUUAUUCAAAAUAAAAAAAUAAAAAAGCUAAUUGACAAUAAAGCUAAGGAUUCAGCAAUUACAAGGAUGGCUUCUCCACCGCCAAUUAAACAAUGCAAAGAAAUAGUGACAACGACGGCUUCAAAAGGGAACGUGUUGUUCGAAGGCGCAACAAUGAGCAUAUAUGGUGAUCUUGUGCCUAAAAAUUUAUAAUGAAGUGGUUGCUUCAAUAGCACGUACAAUGAUUUUGGUUUCUAUACAAUGGAUUUCAAAACCAAUUUGUAGAUUAAAGUAGGGCUUGUUAAUUCUGGAUUUUGAGGGGUUUCAAUGCUUAGGUUUUUCAGCCCUUGCUGAUGGAGUGAUGAAGUCAAAGGAGCUGAAGUGUUUAUUAACACUUAGAAUUUUCUUGUAGUUUAUAGUAAACGACAACGUUAAGAAGUUAAAUAAAUACUUUUGUUUUUCAAAUUUUUUUAAUUAUGAAAAAUCAAUCCUCGGUGCCGUUUCAUGCCCAAAUUGAUCUGUACUAAACUCACCAUUUUAUUAAAUAUUAAUAUGCUAUCAUAUUUAUAUGAUAUAUAAAAACUCUAUCACAAAUCUGUCAUGCCUUUACGAUAUAUGAAAAUUCUGUCACGUGUCUAUCAUAUUCUUGUGAUAAAUGACUAAUUUUCUAAUAUCUUUCACAAAAAUUCUGUCAUGUUGGCCCAUUAUUCUAGUAGUGAGAUAUUUAUCCAACUGGACUACAAAGUAAUUGCAAUUAAUUGUAACACCUAUGGCCAAAACUAGGACCCAGUGUUAAUUUAUAAUCAAAAUUGAAACCUAUAAUUACAGUAAACUUGAAUCUGAAUCAAAUGAGCAAAUGGGGGCAAAUGCCUUCUCUAAGCUCUAACCAUGAAACAAUAAUCAAAUCGUCAGAUUUCUAAAAUAAGCCAAUGAAACAUUACUCACAAACCCAUAUAUUAACAUCUUUAAAGCUUUGGCACUGAAACUUAAAAGAGAGUUUUGUGUUAAAUAGUAUUGAAAGUAAACACAUCAGCAAUUAUAUACAGCAAAGAUUAGUGGGAAAACAGAUGUAUUAAAAUUGUUCUUGAGAUAGGAAUGACGAAGGACAGAUGCAGGGGCACCAUUUUAAGUCAACCAAAGUUAAAAGAUGAUUCGAACCCAUAGUUGUUGCAUAAAAACCUUUGUUACCUUUACUUUUGUUGUCAAAAUUAUUAUUAAUAUAAUUUUUUUAAUGGUAGAAGUAGAACCUAAUCCCUCACAAUUAUCAUUUAAUAAUAUGUUAAUUACCAAACACUAUUAUUUUUUUAUUCAUACCUAGUAGUGAUUUAAAUUUGAAAAGCGACAAAUCCAGAAACCAGUUUUUAAUAUAUAAUAACCAGCUUAUAUUUUUAUUUUUUGAGGAGAAAUGUAAGGAUCCUAUAAAAAAAAAAACCGCCAACAUUACAAUGACAGAAUUAGAAACGAAAAUCACAAUAACAUUAUAAUUGCAUUCAGUUUCUACGUCUCCUCCUCCUCCUUGUUGCCUUUUGCUGCGUUCCCAACUUCUCCAGAAUCCAUCCGAUAAUUCCUGUGCUAAAGUUGAACCCGACAACCAAUCCUGCCACAAGUCCGCCCGCGUAGCCAAUCAGAAUGAUUUUCCAAUCAGAUGUGCCCGAAAAUAGAGACUCCUCUGAGCCCUUAGUAUGAUCUUCAUUUGCUGGAGCUACAUCACUCUCACAUCCUUUGGACAAAGGCCUUCCACACAAUCCUGAGUUGCUGUCGAAAGAAGUAUUGUCAAAUGUAGCAAAUUGCUUUCCUGGUGGUAUCAGUCCUGUAAGGUGAUUGUCCGAGACAUUGAAGAAUUCGAGAAAUGUGAGCUCAACUAGUUGUUGAGGAAUCUGUCCUGAAAACUUAUUGUUUGAGAGAUCCAAUGAUUCCAAAUUUGGUAGAUUGCCCAAACAUGACGGAAUAUGGCCUUGGAGACUAUUGUUCUGGAGAUUUAGAACUUGAAGUCCCUUUAAAUUCGCAAUCGAUGCUGGAAUCACCGAAUCAAAACUAUUGUUUGAGAGAAUAAUGCCCGCUAGGAUAUCCGGAAUCUUGUUAUAUGUCAUCAUUCGCCCUUUUGAUGUUCAUUGUCAUUAAGUAGUCGUAAGUGCUAAGUAUAUCAUUGGCCGUUUGUCCAUACGGAGAAAGCACAUCUUGCAGAUAUCUUAGCUCACUUGUUGAUGAAGAGUAGGAAUCCAUAUUAUACUAGGAUUAGUUUCCUUAUUAACUAAAGUUUAAGACUUUUAAAUUCCUUUCUAAUUUAGAAUUUUGUUUCCCUUUCAAUUUAGGAUUUUGUUUUUACUUCAUGAAUUAGGAUAAUUACUACUACUAUAAAUAGCUCCCUCUUGUAGUCUUUGAUGGUAGAAUUUUGAGUUUAAUAAUAUUUCAAUUUUCAAAUCUCUUUGUGAGUAUUUGAACAGUUAAUUCUCGGUAUUCUGCAGAAUCAACGAGUCUUAACCCCUAAAUUCGCGGUAUUCUUUUGAAUCAACGUGAAUUUAGUUGUUCUUUUGUUCCGGUAUUCUCUAGAAUCAACAGAAUAUUUUGAACAUUAAAAUUCCGCUGCAUCACUUGUAUUGACAAUUUUCAUGGCAUUCCAACACAAGAAACUCUUUAAUGGAAGCGUUCCAAUAAAUAUGUUGUUAGAUAGGUCAAUGAUGCGGAGUUUAGAAAAUCCACAAUCAGUUCUGGGUUCUUUUAUAAUGCCAUAAAAUAUGUUAGAUCGUAGGAUGAGAACAUUCAAGUUUGGAAGAGUUCCUAACCAAGAGGGAAAAGUGUCACUAAUCUGGUUGUUCCCAAGACCAAGAAAUUCCAACUUUGAACAGUUGAUCAAUGAUCUUGGAAUUCUUCCUUAAAAUAUAUUAUGGCUUAAAUCAAUCACGCCUAAUCUACUUUCUUUAAUGAAAGUAUUUGGGAUGGUCCCAAAGAAGUUGUUCCCCUGCAAGUCGAGCACUGAAAGUUCAUCACUAGAAUUGCCUAAACACUGAGGAAGCAAUCCACUUAAGUUAUUGUGAGACAAAACAAGGCUUUCAAGAAUAUUCAAAUUGCAUAUCCACGAUGGAAUUUCCCCAGUUAAGCUAUUGUUUGAAGCUAGAUAGUGAAUGGUUCCGGGGGGUGGAACUGGGAGUGGUCCUUGUAAAUUAUUAGAGCUAAGAUCAAAAGUCAGCAAAUCACCUUUAUUCGCUGGAAGAACAACAAGAUGCUGAUCAAACCCAGUUAAAAAGUUAUGCGAAAUGUUCAAGGCAUUGAGAUUCUGCAUAUUGGGGUCUAACAACCAUUUAGGUACUUUUCCUUGAAUUCUAUUGUCAGAAAGGUCCAGGACCAGCAAAUGAUAUUGGUUUUGCAAGAAAUUUGGAAAUUUAGUAAGAUUGCAAGAACGCAGUCCUAUAUACUUAAGUUUCUGUGAAGUGGUAUUAGAAGUGGCUUUGGUGAGCACUGACAACCUAUUUAAUGAGAGAGCUAAAAAUUCCAAAUUUUUCCAGCUAGUAAGUAAAACAUCUAACUUUAUCGUUCCUCUAUAAGAAUUUUUAGCAAGGUCAAGGAAGAAAAGUUGGGAAAGAUUCCUAAGUGAAGAUGUAAUUUGACCUGAAACAUUACACUUAGCGAUAUGUAUUGCUUCCAAUGAUCUAAGAUUUCCAAUGGAACCAAGUAAGUCACCCGAAAAAUUAUUCAAUCGAAGAUACAAAAAUUGUAGCUGGGUGAAAUUACCAAUCGAAUGUGGAACUUUGCCCCAAAAACUACAUGACCUCAGAUCCAAUAACUUCAAAGAACUAAAAUUUUCAGUGGACCAUGGAAACUCAACCGAAAAAUUAUUGAAUGAAAGGUCAAGUUUUUCCAAAGAAAAAAGAUUUCGAAUGGAAGUAGGCAACUCACCAAAAUAUCCAUUUUGUGAAAGGUCAGGUUCUUUCAAAGAACCAAGAUUUCCCAUGGAAAUAGGCAAUUCACCAAAAUAUCUAUUUUGUGAAAGUCAAGUUCUUUCAAAGAACUAAGAUUUCCAAUGGAAAUAGGCCACUCACUCGACAAAAAAUUUGCAGAGAGAUCAAGUUCUUCCAAUGAACGAAGAUUACCAACGGAAACAGGCAGCUCACCCUGUAAUUCAUUUAGUGAAAGGUCUAAAUGAAGGAGCUUGGAUAGAUUACCGAGUGAGGAUGAAAUUCUUCCUGAAAUUUGUUAAAAAAGAAAAAAGAACACAUUGCUUAAGUAGAAAAUUAAAAAUAAUAAUAGUUUUUACUAAUGAAUUUAACAUUGCAUGUAUAUUAAUUAAGGAGAAAAUAUAUAAAAUUUAAUUACCUUGCAAUUCACAGUUUCGGAGAGAAAUAAUCGUCGAAGAAGAUAGAUUUGCGAUGUUAUGAGGUAUCGUUGACUGAAUAGAAACAUCACCAAGGUCAAGUGUUUUUAGAUUGCCUAACUUCUCCACUAAAUUUACGAAACUAGGCUUCUGGAGUUCAAGUCUACCACCAGGAACAUCAUUUAGUGAUAAAUCAAGGGACACCAAAUUGGAGAGCUUUAGAAUUUCUGAUGGUAUUUGGCCAGAUAAAGAAGUUCCAGAGAGGUUCAAGUAUGAUAACCUGGAAAGGUUGAUGAUUUCUGGUGGGGUUUCGGAGGAAUUGAAGUCAUUCAAAGCAAGAUUAAGCCACUCAAGAUGGACAAGCUUGAAAAGGCUGCUGCUAGAGUUGAUAGAACCAAAAAGGCAGCUAUGGGAGAGGUCAAGCUUGAUGACAUGACCAGUGUUCUUAUUGCAAUGAACUCCGUCCCAAGAGCAGCAAUCAACCUUACCUUCUUCUGGCUUCCAUGAUGCCAUUGUAGGACGACAGUCAAAUUUCCAAGCAUAAAAAUCACCACUGAUGCGGCUUUCUUUGAAUUGCAACAAAGCAGAGCGCUCAUCAUCAUGGCAGAGUGGCGGCAUAGAAGAAGCAGUGAAGUUAGCAAUUGUAAAAUUAAAGAAAAAGAAGGGAAAAACUAACCGUAUGAAUAUUGUGAAUAAACAUAUGGAGGAUAAACCCAUAGUUUUCUUAAAAAUAAAAUUUGUUUAACUUUGUAGAUGUGAAGAAAUUUAAGGAUCUUGGUUUGCUUUUUUAGGGAAAUUGCAGCAAUUCAAACAUUUUAGUCAUUGGACUCUUUUUUUAUUUUUUUAAGUCAACAAAAGUUAGUCUUAAUAAUAUUUAUUUUUUAUUAUUUGAUGUGAUGCCCCACAAAAAAAAAUUGAUUUAAUGUGUUAUUAACAAUCUAUCCAGAAAAAACAAUUCUUUAAUAGGAUCUAUCGAACUUGACCUGUGUUUAUAUUUCCUUUCAUUUUCUAUAAUUUCAUUUUCUGAAUUAAUUUGCUUCUUUUUUUUUUCUCCUUUCCCCUCUUGUAUUUCCCUUCACGGCCAGUUGAGUAUUCUGCAUACUCGAGUAUAUGUCAUUGGCUGAUGACUUUUCACUACAACUCAAAAAUUUUCCUCCCCACGGCAUGUUGAUAUUAUCUCCAAACUAGCAACAUUAUCACUGUCACUCUUCUUUGUAAACUACGCACUCGUUGGUUGAGUGAUGAGCACAUGUACCUUGUGAUUAAAAAAUCACGCCAAGAAUUCGAGUUUUACUCCUUUAGAUUUCUUAGCCGAUCUGCCAAUGCGCCAAUUUGUAAUGAGCUUUAGCUGAUGGUUUCUGAGAUGGGCUCUAAUUAGUGCACCUAAAAUGUAACAAAUAUCUCACGUUAACAACCCAAAAUUCCAUAAUUUCAUGCAAAAUCAUUCUAGAAGUUAAAAUUAGGUGUUAAUCAGACACAAACACCAGAAAAAUUAAUGAAAUUUGGAUUCACUAAAAUUGGCGUGAUUUUUUAAUUUAGAUCAAUUAAAAAUACUUCAUUUUAUAGUGUCGGAUUCCCUAUAAGUCGUCAUAAAUCAUUAUCCAGACGAUCAAGGCCGGCGGAUAAAGACUCAAGACUAGAAUUAGAAGUCUUCGAGUAUCAAUCAUAUGUCGUGUCAGAAAAUUCUUUCUUAGUUCUAAGCCAACUAAAGUUGAAUUCGCCAUAUCAUGAUAAUGGAUGUUAAUAUUUGCUAACUUGGAGUCAAAGUCAUGCGUUGAUUGCAUUUGUAUUGCCUGUAUGACUAGGACGUGGCAAAUGCUCAUGGAAUAGAUCUGCUUCUUUUUUCUUCUUUCCCCACUACCACCAGUUCACUUAACUUUUCCUUCACGGCAUGCUGAAUGAGAUCUUCUACUCCAUCAGUGCAUUUAGGAUUAGAUUUCUAAUUUGUCCGAUGUCUCUGCAUUUUCUUGAACUCUCUACUCUUCCUCGAGUAAUUAAGGAGGAUUAAAGUAAAAGAAAAGGGUAGAACGAGUUAUCCCUAUUUGUUGCACUAGCUAUCAGAUUUCCAUAUUAUAGUAAUUAUUGGCCAAAAACAUAAUUUUUUAUUUAAAUUGUCAAAAAGACUUGAAUGUUCUCAUCCUAAAAUAAGUUCCAUUAAAACAAUCAUAAUAUUUAUGGAAUGUUUAUAACUAGAAUGAGUGCUCCUACUUGAACUAGUAAAAUCUCUUGAACUAAUUUAAAGGUUCAAUCCUGCUCACAUGAGUAAGGAGAGGAGAGGGGAUUUGUUUAAAUUUUAUUGUAUUGAAUUUCGUAAUUUCAAUACUUCCACGUAGUUAUUACGAUUUCAUCAAGUUUACGAUGCUAAUGAUCAAACAGUACAGUUUCUAAACUAACUAAAAUAGUACCUAGUUAGCUAAUUAGAUAACGGAUUGAUGGAAUAGAUGUGGAUGUCUAAUUUUAGAGUUUGAAUUUUUUUUAAAUUAAUCAAAGAAAACAUAUUUUCAAUUUUGAGUUAUUGUACUAUUAAUUAAUAAUUUAAUUAAAAAUUUAUUUAUUUGCUAUCAUUCUAGUUGUUGAAAAUGCCUUUAAUAGGGGUUGGUUCAAUAUUUGGUUGGAGUCUCUGAUUUCAUGCUGGCGGUCCAACUCCUUCUCUUCAUCCCUCUUUGACCAUUUGCAAUGUACUUGCAUUGCAAAUUUCUGUAGUCAAACUUGGGUCUUCAAUGUAGUCACAUCCCUUGGUAGGAUUUCUCUCCUUCAAAGAUUAACGCUCUUUCUUCUCGAGAUGCAAAUGGCUUUUCAAAUUGUCAUUUUUGUUAAUGUAGGUCCUGCAUUCACUAUUAGAAAAAUGGGCUAACAUGACAGAAUUUUUGUGAUACAUAUUAGAAAAUUAGUCAUUAAUCACAAGAAUGUGAUAGACACAUGAAAGAAUUUUCAUACAUCAUAAAGCCAUGACAGAUUUGUGAUAGAGUUUUUAUAUAUUAGAUAAACAUGAUAGCAUAUUAAUAUUUAAUCAAACCGUGAGUUUCAGAUGGAAUUAAUUUGGGCAUGAAAGACACCGUUUAACAGAUUUAAAAAAAUUUUAAAACAAAAAUAUUUAUUUAACAUUUAAAUGCUAUCAUUUAACUAUAUUGACUAAACCACAAAAAAAUUAAGUGUUGGCACCUUUGACUUAUCACUUCAUCGGCAAGGGCUGAGAAACCAAAGCACUGAAACCCCUCAAAAUCUAAAAUUAACCUAUUUUAAUCUACAAAUUGGUUUUAAAACCCAUUGCAUGGAAACCAAAAUCAUAGUAUAUGCUAUUGAACGAGCCUUCGCGUCCUUAUUUUGAACCCCCAUUAUUUUGAACCCAUUGGUUUUAGGCACAAAAUCACCACAUACGCUCAUUGUUGCGCCUUCGCGUCCAUUAUUGAAGCCAUCGGUGUCACUACUGAAAUACUAACUAGGCAACCCAAGAGGGGGGGUGAAUUGGGUUUUUAUAAAUUAAGCUAAGCAAACACACAACAAUCCAAUCUAAUGCCUUAAUAAAUUUGAAAACAAUAAAUUCAAUGAAAGCACAAUAAUAAAUGAGCAAGGGAAGAGAAAGCAAACUCAAGGAUUUUUACGUGGUUCGGCAAUCCCCGCAUACGUCAACGCCUCCAAGCACACCGGGCUUGAGGAUUUCACUAUCCGAGCCUUUCCAAGGCUUCAAUAGUUUACAAUUGACUUCAAGAUGUCAAUGAACCUUUACAACAAGAGAUUAUCUCUCCAAUCUCUUCACCCCAAGUGUUUCUCACACUUGUACACUCACAAUUUGAUGAGAAAUGAAAAUUACAUCAAUGAAACUCUCUUUAAGAGUGGAUAUACAAAUUGAAGAACAAAGGUGAUUUAAUAAAUGAUGAUUUACGAAAUUGAAGCUCAAUAUAUGUUGUGUGCACUUGUUUUUGCUUGCCAAGAUUACCAAAAAUGAAUUGGUUUUGAGUUUAUAUAGUUUGAGCUAAAAAACUAGCCGUUAUGCACAUUUUGGUCAUAACCGGCUUACCGUUUAUGGACAUCCGAUUAGCCGCUUAAUGUUACCGUUAUAGCCACAAUUUUGAAUUUCUGAACAUCCGGUAUGCCGCUUGUGAAAUCCGGUUAGCCAUUUAAGCUCCAGAAGCUUACUGCCCAACAACCGGAUUACCGUUUGUCAGGAUCCGGUUAGCCGCUUUCAAUUCGGAUAGAUUCUGCCCAACAUCCGGUUUGUCCUCAAAACUUUAUAAAACUAUAUUAUGGCCCAAAACGUUAUGAAAGCUUUCAAAUAGGUCCAAUUUCAGAAUUUUUAAAGAAUGCUUUGUCAAUCCCAAAACUUUCUGAAAUUAUGAUUUCACCCAAACUAUGUGAAAUUAUAGAAUGACCCAAAAUAUUUAAAUAAUUUCAAAUAGGUCCAAAUCCGAAAUUUUAAAAACAAUAUCAAAGGUUUUAAAAUACUUUCAUUUUAGUCCAAAACACUUUAAUUCCAUAACAUCAUUUUUCCAUUAAAUAUGAAACCUUUAUAAUUUGAAAAUAAUGAUUUAUUUAAAAAAUAAUAAUUUGAGCUUAAAAGAUUAAUCAUUCUUAAUCUUGUUUGUUAGCAUCAAAAUCAACAUUAUGGAAACAUAUAUGUUAACAAUCUCCCCCUUUUUGAUGAUGACAAACAUUUCAUGUAUUUAAAGAAUGAUUCCACAAAUUGCUCCCCCUAAAUAUAAUAUUCUCUUACAAUUUGCCAAUUAGCUAAAUUAACAUAUUUAAAUACAUAGAUUUUUCUCCCCCUUCAUCAUAAAAAAGAAAACUUAAUUGGCAAAGAAAAAGAGUAGUAAAUUUUUAUAAAUUUAAAAAUAUGUCUUCUUCUCCCCCUUCAUCAUCAAAAAGAAAACUUAAAGGAAAAGAAUAAGAGUAGCAAAUUCAUUACUCAUGUUUGUCCGAGUAGAAAUUUCAACACAUUCUCCCCCUAACAACAAGCAUUACCUCAAAUACAAGUUUAGUAAUAUUACUCCCAAAUUAUUAUAAAUCAUGAUACAAGCCAACUCCAUACACAAAUCAUCACACCAAAAUAUCAUGAACCAUUAUUCUAUUAAUUACCAAAUCAACAACUCAUAACAUAAAAUUAUCAUAUAAAACAACUCAUAACAUUAUUCUUUUUGGGUGAAAUUCUAUAAUACAAUAGAGGUAUCAUAUCAAUUCCCAACAAACAAAUAAUUUGAUGACAUAUGUGCUUUUAUUUUAGAAAAUCUCCAUGUAAGCGUGAUUAAAUUAAUUUAAUUAAACAUAUCAUGCAUGCAUUAACUAAUUUUGUUAUUUCUAAUGUAUUCUAGAAUUUGUCGUUAGCUUUUUUAGAAAACAACAUAAUAAUAAGGUUACGUAAAGAUUCAUAUGUGGCUGCAUAUGAUCAUUACAAAAAUAUACUAUUUGGUGUAGAGAAUAUUGUCUUCCUCUCACAAUAAAUCAAACAAAUUAGGUUUGAAUAUGAUUUAUUCAAAUUUUAGAGUUUUCUUUUUAUUAUUAACAAAAUAGGUUAUCUAGUGGUGGAGAUGGUGUUGGCCUAGCCCAUCAAUGAAAGGCCCAUCCAUACUCAUACUCGUACCUUACCAUGCCCACCCUGUAUUUCAUGCCGUCCUAGGUCGUGCCUUUUUUUUUUUUUUACUUAGACCCAGCCCAACACACAUACCGUAUCAUAAGUCGUUUUGUGUCAUGCUUAAGAAAAAAAGCACGAUAAGCUUUUUUUUUUUUUAAGAGGACAUACCAAAUUGUUGGCCUACUUUUUUCUAACCUUUAUACUUUUUUAUGUUCAUGUGCCUUUUCUCAAAUUCAAUAGAAUAAAAAAUUCAAAACUUAAUUUCAUAUUCAAUAAUAAUAAAUUAUUAAUAUUAAGAGAAUAUAAUAUUAGUUUUUAAGUGAGACCUUACGGUAUUAAAAUUCUUUUUAACUACUUAACAACAACAACAACAAUAAUAAUUUUUUUAAGGGUUAACUUAAUUGUUAAACUAGAUUUACAUAGAGUUAUAAAUCAUAGUCGAUAAUAACAUUAAUACAUAUUUAUAAAAUCAUAAUAUUUAUAAUUUUAUUUAUUAAAAUUAAUGAUAUCAAUUAUUUAUUCAAUAAAUUAUAAAUAUAAAUUAAUUAAAAGAUUCUUUUGAAACUAAGAACUAAAUAAUUUAAAAAACUUACACUAAUAAAAUAUAUUAAAAUAUUCAAUUUUAAGUUAUUGAAUUAAUAGUAUAUGACCGCAACACCUUCAAACUGGCCAACAACAUAUUAAAUAUUAAAACAUUAUCUCCCUCGUCAUUGAUCGAGACAUUCAAUUGCAUGCAUUUACUUUACCUUAGAUGGUAUUUUCUGAGACGAAAAUAUAAGUGGUUGUGCAAGGAUUGAAUAGCGAAUUGCCUUUAUUUCACUCGGCAAUUAAAUAAAUAAUUUAAUAAAAAACCUCUUCUUCUUAAUUCUAACAGGGGUGUCUUCAAUUUUGGUUUUAUAUAGCGUGGUGUCUCAAUUUUUCAGCCACUGCAAGCUAGCUCCAUGGCGCUCCCUAUUCCUCUAUCUUUAUUAUUUAUUAAUAAACUAAUCAUCGAUCUCAGGGAGCUUCUCUUAGUGCUUGCUUUAAACAAAAAUAAAAAGAAAAAAGAAGUUGCGUGUUGGAAGCAAAGUGUUCGUGCAAAUCUUUGACAUUACAAAAGUAGCUGGCUUUGGCUAUUAUUAAUUUAUUAGGCAUCAAGUACAACCAUUUACAGCAUUAGUUAUAAUGAGGCACCGCCAGUUAGUUGACUUCACAGUAGUAACUUAAAAAUGGUGACAACUCACCAUGUACGUAAUGUGUUCUACCAGAGCUGUGUUCCGCAAGCCAUAGUUCUGAAUGAAAAUCGAACCUAUAACAUUUGUGCUAAAGUAUUGGUCAAAUGUAGGCUUGGCAUGAACCAAGAAUUGAGCUAGCAAACUCUAGAAGCAUCACAACCUUUGCUGUCAUCUUUACUACUCUUCUAAAAUUUUUCUGCAACUUAAACCUAAUUCUCUGUCACUGAAAUUAAAUUUGAGAUAACAAUCCACUUCCAGUUUUAGAAUUGUGGUCCCUUAUACUUAAUUUAUCUACUUGUGUCUGAUUUAUUUUUUCAUUUGUUCGUCAUCCCCACUACAAGAAAAAUAGGAUAUAACAACAAGAAUGUAGCCGCUGUUAAAAAGUAUUAGAAGUAUAGAUUUUACAACAUGAAAUCAAAAAGUAAUGGGUAUGAUUCGUGAUCUAUGAUUGAGUUGGUGGGUUGAGUAAAUAUAUAGCUUCUAAACUUUUAUCUUUGUUGGGUUCUAGUUUAAUAGCAAGAUUUGUCAUUAAAUUUGGGACUUAUUUCAAGCAAUAAUUUAUAGUUAAUACUUUUAGUAUUAAAAGUAUAGAUUUUCUUGACCUCCUAUAAAUCUUUAUCUUUCUAAUUGUGAGUUUUUAUUUCAUACACGCAUGCAAAUGAACACGAUAACUAAUUAUUUAUAAUGGUCGUUAAAAAUGUUUUGAUAUUAAUUCCUUUCCUCUGCUAAAAAAUUUCAACUUCAAUUCAAUUUUCGCUCAAUUUUCAGAAAUUGAUGAUUCAAGAGACUGAGAGAGAGAUAAAUCAUAGAAUAAAAGAACUUUUUGUUAUUUUUGUUUUUUAAUAAUGAUAAAUUCAGAAAUAAAGGAGAUUAAUUGAAAAUUAAGGACCACUGAAAUAAAUACAUGGGGUCAAAUAUCACUACUCUCACAAAACUGUUUUGGCAUGAGAAGUCAAAAUACACGACACACAUAGAAUUUACUACUCAUUACACAACGAGUUAAUUUUAUUUAGCCAUGAGCCCAGUUAUAAUCAUUGGGUCUAAUAAGCGGAAUAAAAAUAACAAGUUGGAUCUUUGUGUAGAUAUCUUGGAUCUUUGUGUAAAUAUCUUUUUUUUUUAAUUUAAAAUUAGAUAUAUCAUCAAGCUUAUUCAUCGGGGCUUUAUUACAUUUCCUUUUAUUUUCAAUAAUUAAUUUGUCAUCUAAUUGGUCAAUAAAUUUGCUUCUUGUUUGUCCACAGUCCAGUACACUAACAUAGAUGCUGUUCAUUAGAAGCAGAAACAGAGCUGUAACAGAGAAGAAAAUAGCUGUAAAAUUAUUUCUUAGGUUUUGAGAUAGGAAUGACGAACCAAAGUUAAAUUGGCCAUAUCAUUCAAGUGUCACCAUUAGCUUGGAUGCUUGUAAAGAUGAUUUGGACCCAUAGUUUUUGCAUAAAAACCUUUGUUAUCUUUACUUUUGUUGUCAAAAUUAUUAUUACAAUUUUCUUAAUGGUAGAAAUAGAACCUAAUCCCUCACAAUUAUAAUUUAAUAAUAUGUUAAUUACCAAACACUAUUAUUUUUCUAUUCAUACCUAGUAGUGAUUUAAAUUUGAAAAGCGACAAAACCAGCAACCAAUUUUCAAUACAUAAUAGACCAAUCUAUAUUUUUAUUUUUUAAGGAGAAAUGUAAGGAUCCAUAAAAAAAAAAAACCACCAACAUUACAAUGACAGAAUUAGAAACGAAAAUCACAACAACAUUAUAAUUGCAUUCAGUUUCUACGUCUCCUCCUCCUCCUUGUUGCCUUUUGCUGCGUUCCCAACUUCUCCAGAAUCCAUCCGAUAAUUCCAGUGCUGAAGUUGCACCCGAGAACCAAUCCUGCCACAAGCCCGCCCGCAUAGCCAGUCAGAAUGAUUUUCCAAUCAGAUGCGCUUGAAAACAGAGACUCCUCCGAGCCUUCAUUAUGAUCUUCAUUUGUUGGAGCUUCAUCACUCUCACAUCCUUUGGACAAAGGCCUUCCGCACAAUCCUGAGUUGCCGUCGAAAGAAGUGUUGUCAAAUGUAGCAAAUUGCUUUCCUUGUGGUAUGGGUCCUGUAAGGUAAUUGUCCGAGACAUUGAAGAAUUCGAGAAAUGUGAGCUCAACCAGUUGUUGAGGAAUCCGUCCUGAAAACUUGUUAUCUGAGAGAUCCAAUGAUUCCAAAUUUGUUAGAUUGCCCAAACAUGACGGAAUAUGGCCUUGGAGAUUAUUGUUGUGGAGGUUUAAAACUUGAAGUCCCUUUAAAUUCGCAAUCGAUGCUGGAAUAGCCCCAUCGAAUCUAUUGUUUGAAAGAAUAAUGCCCGCGAGGAUAUCAGGAAUCUUCUUAUAUGUCAUCAUUCGCCCUUUGCUGUUCAUUGUCAUUGAGUAGUCGUAAGUGCUAACUACAUUAUUGGACACUUGUCCAUACGGAAAAAGCACAUCUUGCAGAUAUCUUAGCUCACUUGUAUUGACAAUUUUCAUGGCAUUCCAACACAGGAAGCUCUUUGAUGGAAGCGUUCCAGUAAAUCUGUUGUUAGAUAGGUCAAUAAUGCGGAGUUUAGAAAAUCCACAAUCAGUUCUGGGUUCUUCUAUAAUGCCGUAAAAUAUGUUGGAUCGUAGGAUGAGAACAUUCAAGUUUGGAAGAGUUCCUAACCAAGAGGGAAAAGUGUCACUAAUCUGGUUGUUCCCAAGACCAAGAAAUUCCAACUUUGAACAGUUGAUCAAUGAUCUUGGAAUUCUUCCCUGGAACAGAUUAUGGCUUAAAUCAAUCACGCUUAAUCUACUUUCUUUAAUGAAAGUAUUUGGGAUGGUCCCAAAGAAGUUGUUCCCCCGCAAGUCGAGCACCGAAAGUUCAUCACUGAAAUUGCUUAAACACUGAGGAAGCAAGCCACUUAAGUUAUUGUGAGACAAAACAAGGCUUUUAAGAAAAUUCAAAUUGCAUAUCCACGAUGGAAUUUCCCCUGUUAAGCUAUUGUUUGACGCUAGAUAGUUAAUGGUUCCAGGGGGUGGAACGGGGAGUGGUCCUUGUAAAUUAUUAGAGCUAAGAUCAAAAGUUACCAAACCACCUUUAUUCCCUGGAAGAAAAACAGGAUGCUGAUCAAACCCGGUUAACAAGUUAUGCGAAAGGUUCAAGCCAAUGAGAUUCUGCAUAUUGGGGUCUAACAACCAUUUAGGUACUUUUCCCCGAAUUCUAUUGUCAGAAAGGUCCAAGACCACCAAAUGAUGUUGGCUUUCCAAGAAAUUUGGAAAUUUAGUAAGAUUGCAUGAACGCAAUUUUAUAUACUGAUGUUUCUUUGAAGUGGUAUUAGAAGUGGCUUUGGUGAGCACUGACAACCUAUUAGAUGAGAGACUUAAAUGUUCCAAAUUUUUCCAGCUAGUAAGUAAAACAUCUAACUCUAUCAUUCCGCUAUAAGAAUUUCGAGCCAUGUCAAGGACGAUAAGUUGGGUAAGAUUCCUAAGUGAAGAUGUAAUUUGACCUGAAAAAUUACACUUAGGGAUAUGUAUUACUUCCAAUGACCUAAGAUUUCCAAUGGAACCAAGUAAGUCACCCGAAAAACUAUUCAAUCCAGGAUACAAAAAUUGUAGCCGGGUGAAAUUACCAAUCGAAUGUGGAACUUUGCCCCAAAAACUACAUGACCUCAGAUCUAAUAACUUCAAAGAACUAAAAUUUCCAGUCGACCAUGGAAACUCACCCGAAAAUUUAUUGAAUGAAAGGUCAAGUUUUUCCAAAGAAAAAAGAUUUCGAAUGGAAGUAGGCAACUCACCAAAAAAUGCAUUGUGUGAAAGGUCAAGUUCUUUCAAAGAACCAAGAUUUCCCAUGGAAAUAGGCAACUCACCAAAAAAUCUAUUUUGUGAAAGAUCAAGUUCUUUCAAAGAACUAAGAUUUCCAAUGGAAAUAGGCCACUCACUCGACAAAAAAUUUGCAGAGAGAUCUAGUUCUUUCAAUGAAUGAAGAUUACCAACGGAAACAGGCAGCUCACCCUGUAAUUCAUUUAGUGAAAGGUCUAAAUGAAGGAGCUUCGAUAGAUUACCGAGUGAAGAUGGAAUUCUUCCUGAAAUUUGUAUUAAAAAAAAAAGAACACAUUGCUUAAGUAGAAAAUUAAAAAUAAUAAUAAUUUUUUCAAAUGAAUUUAACAUCGCAAUUGGCAAUUUUCGAGUAAAAUAUAUAUAUUUAACAAUAACAUGCAUGUAUAUUAAUUAAGGAGAAAAUAUAUAAAAUUUAAUUACCUUGCAAUUCACAGUUUCGAAGAGAAACAAAUGUCAAAGAAGAUAGAUUUCCGAUGUUAUGAGGUAUUGUUGAAUCAAUAGAAACAUCACCAAGGUCAAGUGUUUUUAGAUUGGUUAAUUUCUCGACUAAAUUUGUGAAACUGGGCUUCUGGAGUUCAAGUCUACCACCAGGAACAUCAUUUAGUGAUAAAUCAAGGGACACCAAGUUGGAGAGCUUUAGAAUUUCUGAUGGUAUUUGACCAGAUAAAGAAGUUCCAGAGAGGUUCAAGUAUGAUAACCUGGAAAGGUUGAUGAUUUCUGGUGGGAUUUCGGAGGAAUUGAAGUCAUUCAAAGCAAGAUUAAGCCACUCGAGAUGGACAAGCUUGAAAAGGCUGCUGCUAGAGUCGAUAGAACCAAAAAGGCAGCUAUGGGAGAGGUCAAGCUUGAUGACAUGACCAGUGUUCUUAUUGCAAUGAACGCCGUCCCAAGAGCAGCAAUCAACGCUACCUUCUUCUGGCUUCCAUGAUGCCAUUGUAGGACGACAGUCAAAUUUCCAAGCAUAAAAAUCACCACUGAUGCGGCUUUCUUUGAAUUGCAACAAAGCGGAGCGCUCAUCAUCAUGGCAGAGUGGCAGCAUAGAAGAAGCAGUGACGUUAGCAAUUGUGAAAUUCAAGAAAAAGAAGGGAAAAACUAACAGUAUGAACAUUGUGAAUAAACAUAUGGAGGAUAAACCCAUAGUUUUCUCAAAAAUAAAAUUUGUUUAACUUUGUCGAUGUGAAGAAAUUUGAGGAUCUUGGUUUGCUUUUAUAGGCAAAUUGCAGCAAUUCAAACAUUAUAGUCAUUGGACUCUUUUUUUAUUUUCUUAAGUCAACAAAAGUGUUAGGAAAUUGAGCUUCCUCCCAAGAUCUCUCCAAGCAAUUUAUCAAGCAACAAAUUAAUAAGAAAAAUUAAAUGGAGAAUACACCAAUCACACAACACAAGAUUUACGUGGAAAACUCCAAAUCCGGAGAAAAACCACGGCCGUUGUCACAAGACAACCAGAGAAAAAUAUUCACUAUGUGGAAAAUUAUUAUAACCACUUUCAGAAAUAAUUUUUCUCUCACCCAAGCCCCAAAUACAUAAUCCCGAGAAAUAUCCCUUAACAAAGCAAACCCGUAAUACCCAUAUUGAGGAGCCAACUUCUCCUUCAAUAUAACUACAUGCUUAAGAACAUUUCUCUCUCUCAAUUUCUCACCAAAACUUGGAUUCCUUCUCUGGGAUUUGGGAUACAAACAAUAAGGAGGAGCACUCCUCUAUUUAUAGCCACCAGUGACUACUGUUCAUCUUGCGGCUACUGUUCAUCUUGCGGCUACUGUUCAUCUUACGGCUACUGUUCAUUUUGCGGCUACUGUUCAUUUUGCGGUUUUGCUUUUCUUCAUUCUCCCAUUGGAGACUUGAUUUUUCAACUCUUUUUUUUUAAUCAAUUUUCAACAAAAAGUUAGUCUUAAUAAUAUUUAUUUUUUAUUAUUUGAUGUGAUGUCGUAAACUUUUACCAUUCCGUCACCACCGAAAAUACGUUUAUAGCAAACGUGAGGAUUAAUUCAUGAGUAAAUGAGUAAUACAUUCAUUUUUAUUUUUGUUUGAAAAAAUGAAAAACAUAAUUCCGAAGUGGUCCAGACCACUUGAAAUUUAAAAAAAAAUUGAUAAAUAUUAUUUGGAUAUGAUAUCAGCUCAAAAUUCAAACAAAUCUUACAAACAACUGGCGAUAAAUGGUGAAUUCCAUUCCUUAACCGAGGUUUAUUAAAUUAAAAAAAAAAGUGAAAAAAGAUGAUAAUUAAAUUAAUUUUAAUGCAAACAAAGUCAUAAUAGUAGAAGUGACAAUUUCGGCACGAUUAACUAAUUAAUCAGACACAAACACAAGAUAAAUUAAUGAAUUUGGAUUUACUAAAAUUGACAUGAUUUUCAGAGACUCGAGACUAGUAAUUAGAAGUCUUUGCACGCUCUGUACAUAUGCCGUGUCAGAAAAUUAUUUCUUAGUUUUUAACAUAAGAAUGACGAAAGAGUGAUGUAUUUUUGGACACUGUUCUAAGUCAGCUAAAAUUAAAAUUGGCCAUUUAUCAUUAUAAUGGAUGUUAAGAUAAUUUGAACUCAUAGUUGUUGAUAAAAAAAAUUGUUAAAAUUAGGUGUUAAUCCGACACAAACCCCUGAAAAAUUAAUGAAAUUUGGAUUUACUAAAAUUAAAAAUAUUUCAUUUUAUAGUGUCGGCUUCACUAUAAGUCGUCAUAAAUCAUUAUCAACAGACGAUCAAGGCUCGAUGAAGACUCAAGACUAGAAUUAGAAGUCUUCGAGAAUCAAUCAAUCUUAGGUGAUGGCAAGCUCGAUUUCAGUCAAGUGGUUUAGGUCUUUGCAUGUUCUAUGCAUAUGCCGUGUCAGAAAAUUAUUUUUUAGUUUCUUAGACAGGAAUGAGGAAGGAGAGAUGUAAAUAUGAACGCCGUUCUAAGACAACUAAAGUUGAAUUCCCCAUAUCAUUAUAAUGGAUGGAUGUUAAUAUUGCUAAUUUGGAGUCAAAAACAUGCGUGUAUUGCAUGUGUAUUGUCUGUAUGACUAGGACGUGGCAAAGGCUCAUGGAAUAAAUCUGCUUCUUUUUUCUCCUUUCCCCACCACCACCAGUUCACUUAACUUUUCUUUCACGGCAUGCUGAAUGAGAUCUUCUACUCCGUCAGUGCAUUUUGUUAGUAAUAUGCCCUAAAGGCCAAUCGAAUGGUGUUUGUUUGUUUAAGGAAUUAUUGUAUUUGAAUAACAUUUUGAUAUUUAUAAAAUGGCAAAGUUAUCAACAUUCAUAAAUUAAUUUAAUGAAUAUAGUUCAAGAAGUAAAAUAGUUAAGGAACACAUUCUCGAGUUUGUCGAGAAUAUGAAACGUGCAUCCUUUGUACUAUACUUCCAAAAUAGUUCCUAGUGGUGGAUUUAUGAUUGGACAUUAUAAAUUCCUAUAAACACUAGUAUGUGUUAUGACUCCUUAUGGUAUGUGAUACUAAAAUGGAUGGUGAGUUUCAUAUCAUUGACAUGAGAUGUCAAGUCAAACACAUAGGUACUUGUUGAGAGAACGAGUUUACUGAACUUGACCAAAUAUAGUAAGCCAUAUGGUUUUGAGUGUUAAUGGCUUAUUAUACAUUGUGAUAGACACUAUGUUUAGUAAUGGUCUUUAGACCUGAGACAUAAUAGAUGUCUUAUACAUAGAUAUCUCUGAUAUGUGAAAGCAUAAUGAUUGAUUCCUAAUCAAGGAAGAGAUCUAGCAAUAACUGUCAUGGUUGGCUAUGUAUGGAGACAAGUGUAUGGCCAAUAUGGAAUUCAUCACUUUGUAAUAUACAAAAAGGAUGUCCCUGUGAGAUAAUAUGAAUUGGCAUGAGAAAUCCUUGGCCAAGGUGAAAUAUGUUUGAAGGAGUUCAAAUUAUAUUUUCAUGCCAAGUUCAUUUAGAUUUAUUUUGAGAUAAAGCAUAACUGCUUAACAUAAUAAACUGUAAGGCGUGCUUUUCUCUGGACAUGGAUGAUGAAGAGACCAAGAGAGACCAAGACAUAGGGAUACAAUGGAAAAGGUUCUAUAGAUCCAACAAUUCUUGUUAUUUGGAUGGUUGUGAAAUACUGCUAGGUGUCACUCAUGACUUGUAGAAACCUUAAGAUUAAUAUUGGUAAAGCGUAUUAGCAAUGCAUCUUAAGGUCAUUAGAAAAGUUCUAUUUGAUGACUAAAGGGUUUAGCAUCAUUUAAUGCAUAAAGAGUUAUCAGUAAAAUAGUUCUACUACCUUAUAACAAAGAACCUAAAAAGUCACACACCAAAUAGAAAUGAAAAAAGGAGUUACUAGAAAAUGAGAAGUUAAAUUUCCUAAUUUUAGGAAAAUCGAUAUUUAUAUUAUAAUUCAUUAAGAAUGAAUAUAUAUAUAUAUAUAAAUAUAUCUUAAAUAUGAUUUAAGAUAGAAAUUUAGAUGUUCCGUAAAUAGUUUAAGGAACAAAAUAAAUUUCAUAAAUCCUCAAUUAAACAUUAUGUAUAAUAUCAAGCACGUAAAAUGACCAUUUUGGACAUGUUCCGAUUCAUAUAUGAUUAUGGACUUCUAGACCAAUUUUGGGUUUAGAAUUUUGGGCUUUUAUUGGACCUAAUAUGGAUUAAGAGAAAGCAUUAAAACAUGUCACAAAAGAAGCCCACAUUUAACCAUUUGAUUUGAUCAAAAUGGGAUUAAUUAAUUAAAGAUAAACUUAAUUAAUUUAGUUAUUUAUUUAUUUGAUUAAAUAAAUUAUUGAAGUGAUAAGAUCACAUUCAAUAAAUAAUGGCUUAGUGGGUGGGUCUAGCACAUGAUAAUGUUUGGUGCCAUUAUUAAAGAUAGUGGUGGCUUUAUUUGGUGGAAUGAAUCAUCAUGAACUAGCAUUCAUGUUCCUCAUUAUCACUCUCAUUUCUAAACGAAAUUUCGUGAUUCCCAAAUCCUAUGAACUCCUAGAACAUUUCUAAGUGUGGACUAACUAGAGGCAUCACAAUUGGGGUGCUUUAAGGAUCUCAAAUCGUGGCAAAACAGAAGCUGUUCGUUCAGAGGUUUAUUUUCUGGACAGUGUUCGUAGCUUGCUGUUGUCAGUCAUUUUCUCCUACUUCACGAAGUCUUUUUUGAAACUACAAGUGAGGUAAUUAAACUUCAAUCUUUCCUCUUGAUUUUCGUUUUUGAAUGAAGCCGAUCCGAGGUUUCUAGAGCUUCCGCCAUCCGUUUUAAUUUCACUGCACAAAAGUUGCGUUUUAAGGAACCUCAUGGACAAAUGUUGUCCUACACAUUUAGGAUUAGAUUUCUAAUUUGUCCGAUGUCUCUGCAUUUUCUUGAACUCUCUGACUCUCCUCGUGUAAUUAAGGAGGAUUAAAGUAAAAGAAAAGGGUAGAACCAGUUAUCCCUAAUUGUUGCACUAGCUAUCAGAUUUCCAUAUUAUAGUAAUUAUUGGCCAAAAACAUAAUUUUUUAUUUAAAUUGUCAAAAAGACUUGAAUGUUCUCAUCCUAAAAUAAGUUCCAUUAAAACAAUCAUAAUAUUUAUGGAAUGUUUAUAACUAGAAUGAGUGCUCCUACUUAAACCAGUAAAAUCUCUUGAACUAAUUUAAAGGUUCAAUCCUGCUCACAUAGUCACAUGAGUAAGAAAAAGGUAUUUGUUUUAAAUUUUAUUGUAUUGAAUUUCUCACUUUCAAUACUUCUACGUAAUUAUUACGAUUUCAUCAAGUUUACGAUGUUAAUGAUCAAACAGUACAGUUUCUAAACUAACUAAAAUAGUACCUAACUAGCUAAUUAGAUAACGGAUUAAUGGAAUAGAUGUGGAUGUCUAGUUUUACAGUUUGAAUUUUUUUUUUAAAAUUAAUCAAAGAAAACAUAUUUUUAAUUUUGGGUUAUUGUACUAUUAAUUAAUAAUUUAAUUAAAAAAUUUAUUUAUUUGCUUUCAUUCUAGUUGUUGAAAAUGCCUUUAAUAGGGGUUGGCUCAAUAUUUGGUUAGAGUCGCUCAUUUAUAGUGUGUUUACUUCAAGGAAUGGGAAUGGGCUGUAAUAGGAAUAUGUUGGAAUGUCAUUAAUGUGUUUACUUGGCAAAAUAAAUGCGAAUGAAAAAAGGGAAUGAGAAUCAAUUUACCAAAAUACCCAUAGUAUUAAUAAUUAAUAAAAAUAAUUAAUUUAUCAUUAUUAACAAUAUUAUCAUUAUUGUUGUUGUUGUUGUUGUUGUUGUUGUUGUUGUUGUUGUUGUUGUUGUUGUUGUUGUUGUUGUUGCUAUUAUUAUUAUUAUUAUUAUUAUUAUUAUUAUUAUUAUUAUUAUUAUUAUUAUUAUUAUUAAAAAUAAUAUUAACAAUAAUUAAUAACAACUAAAAUAUUAUUAUUAUUAUUAAAUUUUAUUAACUUUAUUAUUUUAGUUAUUAUUAAUUAUUGUUAAUAUUAUUUUUAUUAAUAUUAUCAUUAUUAACAUUUAUUAUUAUUAUUAUUAAAUUUUAUUAACUUUAUUAUUUUAGUUACUAUUAAUUAUUGUUAAUAUUAUAUUUAUUAAUAUUAUCAUUAUUAAAAUUUAUUAUUAUUAUUUAAUUAAUAUCACUUUUAUAUCUAGAUAAUGAAAAUUACAUUAUUAUUAUUAUUAAAUUUUAUUAACUUUAUUAUUUUAGUUAUUAUUAAUUAUUGUUAUUAUUAUUUUUAAUAAUAAUACUAAUAACAACAACAACAAUAAUGAUAAUGUUGUUAAUAAUGAUAAAUUAAUUAUUAUUUUUAUCAUAAUUUUUAUUGUUAAUAAUGAUAAUAUUAAUAUUAAUAAAAAUAACAAUAAAAAUAAUUAAUAAUAACUAAAAUAAUAAAGUUAAUAAAAUUUAAUAAUAAUAAUUAUUAUUAAUGGCAUUUAAAAUAAUAAAAUUAAUUGUGAUUUGAAUGAGGGUAAUUUGGAAAAUAUGAAAAAAUUAGAGGGAUACAAAAGUAAACAUAUAUUCCAUUCUCAUUCUUUCAUUUUCAUUCACAACCCCCCAUGGGAAUGUGAUUCCCAUUCCUUAUUCUCAAAUUGUGUGGGACCCACACAUUUUAUUCUCAUUCCCAAAUUACAUUUUACCAAGUAAACAUAUGUUUCAUUCUUAUUCCCCAUUCUAUGAAGUAAACACACCAUUAAUGCUGGCGGUCCAACUCCUUCUCUUCAUCCCACUUUGAUCAUUUGCAAGUAUCUGUAGUCAAACUUGGGUCUUCAAUGUACUCAUCCCUUGGUAGGAUUUCUCUCCUUCAAAGAUUAACGCUCUUUCUUCUCGAGAUGCAAAUGGCUUUUCAAAUUAUCAUUUUUGUUAUUGUAGGUCCUACAUCAUGGUUUCUUAAGAUUUUACAUCAUCUUAGCUUUAUGCAUUUAAUGAGUAAGAUUUUAUAUCAUCUUAGCUUUAUGCAUUUAAUGAGGGAUAAGUUUUACAAUAUCCCAUAAUUAAUUGUGUUAAGUUUAUUAUUUAUAGAGUUGACAUCUUAUGGCAAGUCUAGUGGCAAGUCUAGUAAAUUGAAAUUUUAUUUACUGAAUAUCAUGUAAUAGGGUUUAAGUUAUUAAAUUCCUAGCUAAUUUAGUGAAAUUCCAAUUGAUUAGGAAUAUUGUGUCCUAGUUUAAUUAGAUGUCUAAUUUAGCAAGUCAAUUAGUGACAUGAUUUUAUAAUUGGUGAGUAGGAUUUAUUUAGCGGAAGAAGUUAGUUUAAACAGAAAGUUCAUUAAAUGUCUAGAUAUUUCUUAGGAGACAAGCAAGGUAAGCAUAUCAUAUUUAUUACUAUUCAGAUUUAUAGGAAUUAUAAUAAGAAAGAAACUCUUAUUUGGAAAGAAUCAUAGUCCUUCAACUACAGUCUUAAUAAAUUGUUUCACAUCAGCCUCAUACUCAUCAAACAAUAUAUCAUAUUUAAGCCAAGAUUUAUCCAUUUUUUGUUUAGUAGCUGACAUAUAGUUGAGACAAAUUUCAACAUAAUGUACUAAUGGGCAGCAAUGAUAAACGGUUUCCAUUAUCAAUAAAUUAAGCAACAAAACAUUAUUAAUAUUCAGUUUAUAAAUUUAAUGAAAUAAAUGAAUUUAAAACAAAAACUUGUUAUCAUGUGCAACAAAUAUAACUUCACCAACCUGCUGUCAUCGUUUACCAAAACCUCUAACUAACAAUACCCACUAAUAAUAUCCUUAAUAAUUUAGCCCACAUACAUUUAACAUUUAUUUUAAAAAAAUUCUAACAAUCCAGCAUUUCAUGGGCCACAAGGCUAUAUAUAUAUAAGCAACUAGACAUUCCUUGGUCCACAUGACCAAACUUGCCGCUUCUGAAAAUGCAUUCUGGUAGCAGCUCUAGUUCUUCUCACGGUACAAGUAUGCGUACUCAUGGUAACAGCAAAUCCAAAUGCUGACAAUAGAAAUGCAGCAAGAAGGAUGCUCCUCUUCCCAAUCAACGAAAAAGUAUUGUCAUUCAUUAUGUGAAAAAUUUUACGAUCAGAAAUUGGAGGCCAAUUGUAUGCGAAACUCUGAUAUUUUACCUCGAUCUAUCCAAAUCCAAACAGGAAAAUGAAUACUUGAGCAAUAUUCAAAUGUCGAAAGAGCAUAUUUUCAAAAUUAAGUGAGGAAAAAAAAUUUCUGCAUCAAUUAUCAUCAACGGGUUCUUGAUGUUGAGCAAUAUGCUGAGUCAUCAACCACGUCAGCAGUCAGUUAUGGAGGCUGUUGCAAUAUGUUGAGCACAUUGAAUCACAAUCAAGCAAUAGCCCAAAGUCCAAACCUACCAUGGCUAAUGGUGUUGUUCAGUAAUACACAUUCUCACGUUUAAGAAUCGAACUUAGUAUAUAUAUGAACUCCCACUAUUAAUUAGCCAGCAUAUACAUAGAAUUCGAUUCAGCCAUAGAUAUCGAUUGAAUGAGACACAACUGUAUUUCACAUUAACAUUCACGAAUUAAGACUUUGUAAGAGACGUAAGUACGUACGCUAUUAUUCUUUGUCACUUUCAUGAAAUUUCACAUGCCUUUCUAUUUUAUAUUUACCCAAAAGUCCCAAAAAAAAAAAGUGUAUUUGAUGAUACAUACACGUCACAUGCUUAUGUGAAUUAAAUUUCAAAUAUGCCUUGUGUUAUGUUAUCUUACUCUUUCAGGCAUUGACAACAUUAUAGAACGAGGAAAGAAAUAAACUGCUGCCUGUGCUUCUUCUUGUUGAUUAAUUGUAGUGUAGCCAUCUCGUGAAGUGUGUCCCAUUCCUCCUAUUUUUGGGUGAAAUUCUAUAAUACAAUAGAGGUAUGAUAUCAAUUCCCAACAAACAAAUAAUUUGAUGACAUGUGUGUUUUUAUUUUAAAAAAUCUCCAUGUAAGUGUGAUUAAAUUAAUUUAAUUACACGCAUGCAUUAACUAAUUUUGUUAUUUCUAAUGUAUUCUAGAAUUUGUCGUUAGAUUUUUUAAAAAGCAACAUAAUAAUAAGGUUACAUAAAGAUUCAUAUGUGGCUGCAUAUGGUCAUUACAAAAAUAUACUAUUUGGUGUAGAGAAUAUUGUCUUCCUUGACAAUAAAUCAAACAAAUUAGGUUUGAAUAUGAUUUAUUCAAAUUUUAGAUUUUUCUUUUUAUUAUUAACAAAAUAGGCUAUCUAGUGGUGGAGAUGGUGUUGGCCUAGCCCAUCAAUGAAAGGCUUAUGCAUACUCAUACUCGUACCUUGCCGUGCCCACCCUGUGUUUCAUGCCGUCCUAGGUCGUGCUUUUUUUUUCUUUUUUACUUAGGCCCAGCACACGUACCGUAUCAUAAGUCGCGUUGUGUCGUGCUUAAGAAAAAAAACACGAUAAGUUUUUUUUUUUAAAGAGGGCAUACCAAAUUGUUGGCGUACUUUUUUCUAACCUUUGUACCUUUUUAUGUUCAUGUGCCUUUUGUCAAAUUCAAUAGAAUAAAAAAUUCAAAACUUAAUUUCAUAUUCAGUAAUAAUAAACUAUUAAUAUUAAGAGAAUAUAAUAUUAGUUUUUAAGUGAGACCUUACGGUAUUAGAAUUCUUUUUUACUACUUAACAACAACAACAACAAUAAUUUUUUUAAGGGUUAACUUAAUUGUUAAACUGGACUUACAUAUAGUUAUAAAUCAUAGUCGAUAAUAACAUUAAUACAUAAUUAUAAAAUCAUGAUAUUUAUAAUUUUAUUUAUUAAAAUUAAUGAUAUCAAUUAUUUAUUCAAUAAAUUAUAAAUGUAAAUCAAUUAAAAGAUUCUUUUGAAACUAAAAAUUAAAUAAUUUACAAAACUUACACUAAUAAAAUAUAUUAAAAGAUUCCAUUUUAAAUUAUUGAAUUAAUAGUAUAUGACCGCAACACCUUCAAACUCGCCAACAACAUAUUAAAUCUUAAAACAUUAUCUCCCUCGUCAUUGAUCGAGACAUUCAAUUGCAUGCAUUUACUUCAGCUUAGAUGGUAUUUUCUGAGACGAAAAUAUAAGUGGUAGUGCAAGGAUUGAAUAGCGAAUUGCCUUUAUUUCACUCGGCAAUUAAAUAAAUAAUUUAAUAAAAAAACCUCUUCUUCUUAAUUCUAACAGGGGUGUCUUCAAUUUUGGUUUUAUAUAGCGUGGUGUCUCAAUUUUUCAGCCACUGCAAGCUAGCUCCAUGGCGCUCCCUAUUCCUCUAUCUUUAUUAUUUAUUAAUAAACUAAUCAUCGAUCUCAAGGAGCUUCUCUUAGUGCUUGCUUUAAACAAAAAUAAAAAGAAAAAGAAGUUGCUUGUUGGAAGCAAAGUGUUCGUGCAAAUCUUUGACAUUACAAAAGUAGCUAGCUUUGGCUAUUAUUAAUUUAUUAGGCAUCAAAUACAACCAUUUACAGCAUUAGUUAUAAUGAGGCACCGCCAGUUAGUUGACUUCACAGUAGUAACUUAAAAAUGGUGACAACUCACAAUGUACGUAAUGUGUUCUACCAGAGCUGUGUUCUGCAGGCCAUGGUUCUGAAUGAAAAUCGAACCUAUAACAUUUGUGCUAAAGUAUUGGUCAAAUGUAGGCUUGGCAUGAACCAAGAAUUGAGCUAGCAAACUCUAGAAGCAUCACAACCUUUGCUGUCUAUCUUCACUACUCUUCUAAAACUUUUCUGCAACUUAACCUAAUUCUCUGUCACUGAAUUUAAAUUUGAGAUAACAAUCCACUUCCAGUUUUAGAAUUGUGGUCCCUUAUACUUAAUUUAUCUACUUGUGUCUGAUUUAUUUUUUCAUUUGUUCGUCAUCCCCACUACAAGAAAAAUAGGAUAUAACAACAAGAAUGUAGCCACGUUCACCAGAUGAUUGUUGUGAAAUCUACUUUUUGGCAACGUGCUUAAUUCACGCGCUGUUAAAAAGUAUUAGAAGUAUAGAUUUUACAACAUGAAAUCAAAAAGUAAUGGGUAUGAUUCGUGAUCUAUGAUUGAGUUGGUGGGUUGAGUAAAUGUAUAGCUUCUAAACUUUUAUCUUUGUUGGGUUCUAGUUUAAUAGCAAGAUUUGUCAUUAAAUUUGGGACUUAUUUCAAGCAAUAAUUUAUAGUUAAUACUUUUAGUAUUAAAAGUAUAGAUUUUCUUGACCUCCUAUAAAUCUUUAUCUUUCUAAUUGUGAGUUUUUAUUUCAUACACGCAUGCAAAUGAACACGAUAACUAAUUAUUUAUAAUGGUCGUUAAAAAUGUUUUGAUAUUAAUUCCUUUCCUCUGCUAAAAAAUUUCAACUUCAAUUCAAUUUUCGCUCAAUUUUCAGAAAUUGAUGAUUCAAGAGACUGAGAGAGAGAUAAAUCAUAGAAUAAAAUAACUUUUUGUUAUUUUUUUUUAAUAAUGAUAAAUUCAGAAAUAAAGGAGAUUAAUUGAAAAUUAAGGACCACUGAAAUAAAUACAUGGGGUCAAAUAUCACUACUCUCACAAAACUGUUUUGGCAUGAGAAGUCAAAAUACACGACACACAUAGAAUUUACUACUCAUUACACAACGAGUCAUAAAAUUCAUGUAUCAACCUAAUUUAAUUGAGGGUAUUUUAGUAAUUAUAUACGUUAAGCAUUUGUAUAUAAUUUCAAACUAUCGUGGCACGUGGAGAUAAUUAAAUAAUCAGUCACACUAGAAGGCCAAAAUCAAGGGAUUCGUCUCCUAUGGUCAAUGAUCAUAUUCGAGAGGAAAUAAUCCCUAUCUUGGAGGGCAAAGUUUUGUGCUAUAUUUAGCUCCUUAAGGAAUUUUAAAGUAACUCUUAAGAUUUCACAUUAAUUAUACAAUAAAUAAAUGAUAUUAGAACAUGUGAACAUUUAUUUUUAAGAAUAUACCUCCUCCUGAAGCCAUAAGAAUUAGAGUUGUGCCCUUUCAGAAGUCCAAGUCUAUUAAGAAAACAAUCUCAGCAGAUCCUCAAAAACCAUCAAUCGUUUAUCCCCUAGCCUCAGGAACAUGAUUCCACCAUUUUAUAUUUUAUUAUGAGUUUCUGAAAUUUAAAUCUCUUUUUUAUUUGCUUUUAUUUGGUGUUUAUAUGAUAAUUGUACGUCAGGUAAGAACAUUGUUCAUCAGCAGCUGAGAUUUUCUUAUUUUCUUUGUAUAAUCUUUCGCUUUUCUUUUUUUAAAAGAUUUGGCAUGUAAUGUAAUGAUUUAUAUAAUGGAAACUUAUGAUUUUUUUUUCUUUUUGGUAUCAGAUUGCUAGAAAAUUGAGUUGGAGCAGAAGGCGUGCUGACAAAGUCACUAAAAUUUAGUCAAUGUAUGGGUGCAAAUUUCUUAGUUUUAUAAACAGUUUGUAAAUGUUCAUUUUAAGAAUUUAAAAUGUACAUGGGUUUGCAGGCAGUAAGUGUAUAUAUGUAUAUACGUGUGUGUGUCUGUAUUCAUGUCACUUGAGAAAAGCACAUAAUUAAUUGUUGCGCAAAUUUUAAUAUAGUUGUAAAUGCAUGAGUCUACUAAAGUAUAGAAUAGGAAUAACAAGGUCGUACAUAUAAGAACCGUCAAUUUUUGGGAAAAUAAAAUUUAAUCUAAGUUAAUUAUAAUUUUACCUAGAUGGAAAGAAGAUAUUUUGUUUAAGAAAAUUAGAACUAAAUAGGCAAGAAAAUUAAGAAUUCAAGAGAUUAAUGCUACCAGUAUCUACGAAUCUAACAUAGUUCAACUUAAUCAAUUAAUUUCAAAUUUUAGAACGACAACUCAAAAUCAAUAUAUGUCUAUUGAUAAAUAUAACAAUUAAGUCAAGUGAUUUAAUUUUAUUUAGCCAUGAGCCCAGUUAUAAUCAUUGGGUCUAAUAAGCGGAAUAAAAAUAACAAGUUGGAUCUUUGUGUAGAUAUCUUGGAUCUUUGUGUAAAUAUCUUUUUUUUUUUAAUUUAAAAUUAGAUAUAUCAUCAAGCUUAUUCAUCGGGGCUUUAUUACAUUUCCUUUUAUUUUCAAUAAUUAAUUUGUCAUCUAAUUGGUCAAUAAAUUUGCUUCUUGUUUGUCCAGUACACUAACAUAGAUGCUGUUCAUUAGAAGCAGAAACAGAGCUGUAACAGAGAAGAAAAUAGCUGUAAAAUUAUUUCUUAGGUUUUGAGAUAGGAAUGACGAACCAAAGUUAAAUUGGCCAUAUCAUUCAAGUGUCACCAUUAGCUUGGAUGCUUGUAAAGAUGAUUUGGACCCAUAGUUUUUGCAUAAAAACCUUUGUUAUCUUUACUUUUGUUGUCAAAAUUAUUAGUACAAGUUUCUUAAUGGUAGAAAUAGAACCUAAUCCCUCACAAUUAUAAUUUAAUAAUAUGUUAAUUACCAAACACUAUUAUUUUUCUAUUCAUACCUAGUAGUGAUUUAAAUUUGAAAAGCGACAAAACCAGCAACCAAUUUUCAAUACAUAAUAGACCAAUCUAUAUUUUUAUUUUUUAAGGAGAAAUGUAAGGAUCCAUAAAAAAAAAAAAACCAACAACAUUACAAUGACAGAAUUAGAAUCGAAAAUCACAACAACAUUAUAAUUGCAUUCAGUUUCUACGUCUCCUCCUCCUCCUUGUUGCCUUUUGCUGCGUUCCCAACUUCUCCAGAAUCCAUCCGAUAAUUCCAGUGCUGAAGUUGCACCCGAGAACCAAUCCUGCCACAAGCCCGCCCCCAUAGCCAGUCAGAAUGAUUUUCCAAUCAGAUGCGCUUGAAAACAGAGACUCCUCCGAGCCUUCAUUAUGAUCUUCAUUUGUUGGAGCUUCAUCACUCUCACAUCCUUUGGACAAAGGCCUUCCGCACAAUCCUGAGUUGCCGUCGAAAGAAGUGUUGUCAAAUGUAGCAAAUUGCUUUCCUUGUGGUAUGGGUCCUGUAAGGUAAUUGUCCGAGACAUUGAAGAAUGCCAGAAAUGUGAGCUCAACCAGUUGUUGAGGAAUCCGUCCUGAAAUCUUGUUAUCUGAGAGAUCCAAUGAUUCCAAAUUUGUUAGAUUGCCCAAACAUGACGGAAUAUGGCCUUGGAGAUUAUUGUACUGGAGGUUUAGAACUUGAAGUCCCUUUAAAUUCGCAAUCGAGGCUGGAAUCGCCCCAUCAAAUGUAUUGUUUGAGAGAAUAAUGCCCGCGAGGAUAUCAGGAAUCUUCUUAUAUGUCAUCAUUCGCCCUUUGCUGUUCAUUGUCAUUGAGUAGUCGUAAGUGCUAACUACAUAAUUGGACACUUGUCCAUACGGAAAAAGCACAUCUUGCAGAUAUCUUAGCUCACUUGUAUUGACAAUUUUCAUGGCAUUCCAACACAGGAAAUUCUUUGAUGGAAGCUUUCCAGUAAAUCUGUUGUUAGAUAGGUCAAUAAUGCGGAGUUUAGAAAAUCCACAACCAGUUCUGGGUUCUUCUAUAAUGCCAUAAAAUAUGUUAGAUCGUAGGAUGAGAACAUUCAAGUUUGGAAGAGUUCCUAACCAAGAGGGAAAAGUGUCACUAAUCUGGUUGUUCCCAAGACCAAGAAAUUCCAACUUUGAACAGUUGAUCAAUGAUCUUGGAAUUCUUCCCUGGAGUAGAUUAUGGCUUAAAUCAAUCACACCUAAUCUACUUUCUUUAAUGAAAGUAUUCGGGAUAGUCCCAAAGAAGUUGUUCCCCUGCAAGUCGAGCACUGAAAGUACAUUGCUGAAAUUGCCUAAACACUGAGGAAGCAAGCCACUUAAGUUAUUGUGAGACAAAACAAGGCUUUCAAGAAAAUUCAAAUUGCAUAUCCACGAUGGAAUUUCCCCUGUUAAGCUAUUGUUUGACGCUAGAUAGUUAAUGGUUCCAGGGGGUGGAACGGGGAGUGGUCCUUGUAAAUUAUUAGAGCUAAGAUCAAAAGUUACCAAACCACCUUUAUUCCCUGGAAGAAAAACAGGAUGCUGAUCAAACCCGGUUAACAAGUUAUGCGAAAGGUUCAAGGUAUUGAGAUUCUGCAUAUUGGGGUCUAACAACCAUUUAGGGACUUUUCCCUGAAUUCUAUUGUCAGAAAGGUCCAAGCCCACCAAAUGAUGUUGGUUUUCCAAGAAAUUUGGAAAUUUAGUGAGCUUGCAUGAACUCAAUCCUAUAUAUUGAUGUUUCCGUGAAGUGGUAUUGGAAGUGGCUUUGGUGAGCACCGACAACCUAUUUAAUGAGAGAGCUAAAACUUCUAAAUUUUUCCAGCAAGUAAGUAAAACAUCCAACUCUAUUGUUCCGCUAUAAGAAUUUCGAGCCAUGUCAAGGACGAUAAGUUGGGUAAGAUUCCUAAGUGAAGAUGUAAUUUGACCUGAAAAAUUACAAUUUGAGAUUUGUAUUACUUCCAAUGACCUAAGAUUUCCAAUGGAACCAAGUAAGUCACCCGAAAAAUUAUUAUAUCCAAGAUACAAAAAUUGUAGCCGGGUGAAAUUACCAAUCGAAUGUGGAACUUUGCCCCAAAAACCACAUAACCUCAGAUCUAAUAGCUUCAAAGAACUGAAAUUUCCAGUCGACCAUGGAAACUCACCGGAUAAUUUAUUGACUGAAAGGUCAAGUUUUUCCAAAGAAAAAAGAUUUCGAAUGGAAGUAGUCAACUCACCAAAAAAUCCAUUCUGUGAAAGGUCAAGUUCUUUCAAAGAACCAAGAUUUCCUAUGGAAAUAGGCAACUCACCAAAAAAUCUAUUUUGUGAAAGGUCAAGUUCUUUCAAAGAACUAAGAUUUCCAAUGGAAAUAGGCCACUCACUCGACAAAAAAUUUGCAGAGAGAUCCAGUUCUUCCAAUGAAUGAAGAUUACCAACGGAAACAGGCAGCUCACCUUGUAAUUCAUUUAGUGAAAGGUCUAAAUGAAGGAGCUUGGAUAGAUUACCGAGUGAUGAUGGAAUUCUUCCUGAAAUUUGUAUAUAUAAAAAAAAAGAACACAUUGCUUAAGUAGAAAAUUAAAAAUAAUAGUAAUUUUUACUAAUGAAUUUAACAUCGCAAUUGGCAUUUUUCGAGUAAAAUAUAUGUAUUCAACAAUAACAUGCACGUAUAUUAAUUAAGAAGAAAUUAUAUAAAAUUUAAUUACCUUGCAAUUCACAGUUUCGAAGAGAAACAAACGUCAAAGAAGAUAGAUUUAUGAUGUUAUGAGGUAUUGUUGACUGAAUACAAACAUCACCAAGGUCAAGUGUUUUUAGAUUGCUUAACUUCUCUACUAAAUUUACGAAACUGGGCUUCUGAAGUUCAAGUCUACCGCCAGGAACAUCAUUUAGUGAUAAAUCAAGGGACACCAAGUUGGAGAGCUUUAGAAUUUCUGAUGGUAUUUGGCCAGAUAAAGAAGUUCCAGAGAGGUUCAAGUAUGAUAACUUCGAAAGGUUGAUGAUUUCUGGUGGGAUUUCGGAGGAAUUAAAGUCAUUCAAAGCAAGAUUAAGCCACUCGAGAUGGACAAGCUUGAAAAGGCUGCUGCUAGAGUUGAUAGAACCAAAAAGGCAGCUAUGGGAGAGGUCAAGCUUGACGACAUGACCAGUGUUCUUAUUGCAAUGAACGCCGUCCCAAGAGCAGCAAUCAAAGUUACCUUCUUCUGGCUUCCAUGAUGCCAUUGUAGGAUGACAGUCAAAUUUCCAAGCAUAAAAAUCACUACUGAUGCGGCUUUCUUUGAAUUGCAACAAAGCAGAGCGCUCAUCAUCAUGGCAGAGUGGCAGCAUAGAAGAAGCAGUGAAGUUAGCAAUUGUAAAAUUAAAGAAAAAGAAGGGAAAAACUAAUCGUAUGAAUAUUGUGAAUAAACAUAUAGAGGAUAAACCCAUAGUUUUCUCAAAAAUAAAAUUUGUUUAACUUUGUAGAUGUGAAGAAAUUUAAGGAUCUUGGUUACCUUUUAUAGGCAAAUUGCAGCAAUUCAAACAUUAUAGUCAUUGGACUCUUUUUUGUUUUUUUUUUUAAGUCAACAAAAGUUAGUCUUAAUAAUAUUUAUUUUUUAUUAUUUGAUGUGAUGUCGUAAACUUUCACCAUUCCUUUGCCACCGAAAAUAAGUUUAUAGCAAACGUGAGGAUUAAUUAAUUAGCACAGGGAAAAAAUGAAAAUGAGUAAAUGAGUAGUACAUUCAUUUUUAUUUUUGUUUGAAAAAAAUGAAAAACAUAAUUCCGAAGUGGUCCAGACCACUUGAAAUUUAAGAAAAAAAAUGAUUAAUAUUAUUUGGAUAUGAUAUCAACUCAAAAUUCAAACAAAUCUUACAAACAACUGGCGAAAAAUGGUGAAUUCCAUUCCUUAACCGAGGUUUAUUAAAUUAAAAAAAUAAUGAAAAAUAGAUGAUAAUUAAAUUAAUUUUAAUGGAAACAAAGUCACAAUAGUAGAAGUGACAAUUUCGGCACGAUUAACUAAUUAAUCAGACACAAACACAAGACAAAUUAAUGAAUUUGGAUUUACAAAAUUUGACAUGAUUUUCAACUUAGAUCAAUUAAAAACCUUUCAUUUCGUAUCAUCGGACCCACUAUUAAUCAUCAUAAAUUAUAGUGAACAGACGAUCAAUUUCAGAGACUCAAGACUAGUAAUAAGAAGUCUUUGCAUGCUCUGUACAUAUGUCGUGUCAGAAAAUUAUUUCUUAGUUUUUAGCAUAAGAAUGACGAAAGAGUGAUGUAUUUUUGGACACUAUUCUUAGUCAACUAAAAUUAAAAUUGGUUCCUAAAAUAUAACCAAAAAAAAUUUGAACCCAAAAAAAGAAAAUAAUUUUUUAAAAUAUAACACAGAUAAUAAUGGUGAGAGUAAUUUAGGUCAAUUCAAAAUCGCUAAUUUGGAGUCGGAUUCAUGUAUUAAUUGUAUCAUAAGUUACUGAAAAUUGCAUGAAUGGCGUGGAUGCAAAAGUAAUCGCUAAUUUGGAGUCAAAGUCAUGCGUUGAUUGUAUUUGUAUUGUCUGUAUGACUAGGGCGUGGCAAAGGCUCAUGGAAUAAAUCUGCUUCUUUUUUCUCCUUUCCCCACUACCACCAGUUCACUUAACUUUUCCUUCAUGGCGUGCCGAAUGAGAUCUUCUACUCCACCAGUGCUUGUGUGUUUGUGUUUCAUUUAGUCAAAGUCAUGCGUUGACUGACAACUCGAAGAGCCUGUUUGGGAGUGUGGUGAGGUAGUUGGGCAACACUUAUAGCUAGGCUUUGGCAACUCAACAAUUUUUUUUUCAGCUGUAAAUUAAAUUACUAAAUUAGCCUUACAUAUUAUUCAAUUUCAAUUUCAUCCUCCUCAUUUUUUAACUUCAUUUCAAAUCAAUUUUUUUUUUUUGUGAAACAAACCCUAAACGCCCAUUCUCAUCUGCACGAUUCCGACUGUGGCAGUUCUAAUUGAUGCAAUUCCGACACCGGCCACUCUCAUACGCCUCUGUCAGUGGUGCGUUUUUCUUCACCCGUUGUUCAUUUUUUAGUGCUCCUUUAUUCUAUUACAUGCAAUUUUUCAUUUUCUUCCUCUUUGUUCAUAAUAUGUUGGGGCUUUUGUUUAGAAUAAAUUGAUGGGUGAUGGGUCAUGCGUGAUUUAUUUGCUGCUUGUAACCACUGUUUUUAUUGUAGAUUUUAUUUUUGUAGUUGCUUUUUGUAGACAUGCACAGCCCCUGUUUAAUGAAAUUCCCCUAAUAAAAAUCCAUCUCAAACUUCUUUGAGCAGAGUUCAUGCCCUGAUAUUUUAACAAGUUUCAAUUUUUUUUAUAUUUACCUGUGGAAUUUGUAAUAUAUAUUAUGCACUUAUGAGUGGUAUCGGUUGUUUUCUUAAAGUUUGUGUUUAUGAUAGCUAUUAUCUGGGUUGUGUUCAUUUGCCUCAAAUUCUGUAAUUUUGAUUUGAGUUUCCUGUUCUUUGUAUAAUGGCAAAACUCAGACUUUAGAUGUAUUUCUUGGUUAUGAUGAUUGUUUAGUUGAAUUUCUUUGUUUCCUUGUCUGGUUUGUCUUUUGUUGCUUUAUUGAAUUGCUUGUAAUUGUUUCUGUUCGUGGGCUAUGAUCAUUAUUGUUUGCUGGAAAAGUAUUUCAAGUAAACUAAGUGUUUGAUUAAAAGUAUUUCAAGUGAAGUAAGUAACAAUGUAUUAUAUUUACAAUGUAUAUGAAUUAUUGCUAUUGAUUUAUUUGUGCAAAUUUAAUUAAUUAUGCAAAUUUUUCUGAAAGAUAUUCUUGAUUAUAAUAUACAUCCAUUGUUCUUACCAUGAGGCUUAUUUAUGGAAAAUUUUCUGGACUAUUUGCUUGAGGAAAAAUAAAAGCUUCUUCUUUCACACACACACACAUAAUUCUUUUAGUAUCCAUAUAAUAGCAUUGAAAUGAUUAUUAAUAUAUCUUCGAAAAUUAUGUCUUAACUUUCCAGCAAGCUCUGGCUUUUGGCGUAUAAUCUGCUUCACAAAAUCCACAUGCCCAAGCAUACAUAAUUAAUUACAUUUUAAUUUUAUUAUGCUUUGUUGUAUGAUCUUUAUUAGAUAACCAUAUCAUGUACAAACCGAAGCAAAACUUUCAAAAUAGGAUCUUUAUUGAAUGGAUAGAUAAAACACACUAAAAAAUAUGAUAUUAUCUAGAGUUUUGUGGGGGAAAAAUAAUAAAUAAUAAAUAAAAAUAUUCUACUGGGAUAAUUUUCAAAAUUACAAUAAAAAAACAUUAGUUAAUAAAAAGUGCUAUAUCAUCAAAGCAAAAUCAGUUCACACACAUGCAAGUUUUGACUGAAAAAUUACAAAAUAUAACAACAUUCAGACAAACCAUUGCCAGCAAGCAUUUUUUAAACAUUGAAUAAACCUGAUGUUAGAAAUCGAAUUCGAAAGGGAACAAAGCAGUGAAAUCCUGCAAUUCAGAAAAAAAUUAUAAAAAAAAAAGCGGACAUACUAAAUUAAAUAAUUGAGCAAUUUGGCUCACUAUUUUUCAAUCAAAACUUUUAAUAUUUUCUCUUCACUUUCUAGGCAAACAAACACAGCAACAUCUUUUUUAACUCUUGAAAUCUUCCAGCUCCGGUGCAAGCCUCAGUCACAAUGUAGUCACUUGAUGGCACAUCUUCACCCAGACUUUUCAAUAAAGUGAAUUAAAGCUUUUAGAACGACACAUAAAACUUUAAAUUGUUCCUGUAACACACAGACAGUCUUUAGUUCGGUAUCAUAAAUUCACUUUCUUAUAAUCUCAUUAAUAUACUUUUUGAACUUUAUUGUGAUCUUCAUUAGGCGUUAAUUUUUAUUUUUCCUUUUUUAUAAAAAAAAAAAAAAAGCUCUUCCGGAGUCAUUGUAAGAUUCAUGACAAAUACCUGUUUCCGCUGGUAAUCAUGUACAUUGGAACAACUUGCAGACUCUUCUUAGAAAAAUUUCAGCUGACAUCAGCGGUUAAGUCCCAAUGUACAGGAUCCAAACACAAAUUUAACACAUCAGUAAACCAUUAAAAUAUAAAUAAAUAAAAAUAAAACUUGAAGACUCUUCUUAGAAAAAUUUCAGCUGACAUCAGCGGUUAAGUCCCAAUGUACAGGAUCCAAACACAAAUUUAACACAUCAUAACUUGUUAACCGGGUUUGAUCAGCAUCCUGUUUUAGGUCUUUGCGUGUUCUAUGCAUAUGUCGUGUCAGAAAAUUAUUUUCUUAGACAGGAAUGACGAAGGAGAGAUGUAAAUAUGAACUCCGUUCUAUGUCAGUCAACGUUAAAUUCGCCAUUCAUUAUAAUGGAUGUUUAUAUCGCUAAUUUGGAGUCAAAGUCGUGCAUCAAUUUAGGUAUUAGUCUUUAGUAAAUCUGCUUCAUUUUUCUCCUUUCCCCACUACUACCAGUUCAAUUAACUUUUCCUUCACGGCAUGUUGAGUAUUCCGUAUCCUACAGCAGUGCCUUGAAUGAGAUCUUUUACUCCAUCAAUGCUUGUAUGUUGUGUUUCAUUUGAGGAUUAGAUUUCCCAGUACGUAGACAGAGAACUCUGGCUCUGUUGUCCGAUGUCUCUGCAUUUUCUUGAACUCUCUACUCUUCCUCGUGUAAUUAAAGAGGAUUAAAGUAAAAGAAAAGGGUAGAACCAGUUCUCCCUAUUUGUUGCACUAGCUAUCAGAUUUCCAUAUUAUACUAAUUAUUGGCCAAAAACAUAUUUUUUUUAUUUAAAUUGUCAAAAAGACUUUAAUGUUCUCAUCCUAAAAUAAGUUCCAUUAAAGCAAUUAUAAUAGUUAUGGAAUGUUUAUAACUAGAAUGAGUGCUCCUACUUAAACUAGUAAAAUCUCUUGAACUAAUUUAUAGGUUCAAUCCUGCGCACAUGAGUAAGGAGAGGAGAGGGCAUUUGUUUAAAUUUUAUUGUAUUGAAUUUCGCACUUUCAAUACUUCUACGUAGUUAUUACGAUUUCAUCAAGUUUACGAUGCCGAAGAGCCAACCAUGCUUGAUCAAACAAAAUUAGACCUCACUAAAUCUGAUAAUGUAAAUGCUAUAAUUUCAUUAACUUUCAAACGGCAGCUAACAGUUUAGUGAUCUGCAGAUAGCUUUUGUCAAUUUAGGAUGGACAAUUUUACACCCUCAAAAUGUUGUAGUAUUUUUUAUAAUAUAGCAAAAAUAGGGUAUAAGAAUGAUAACUUCCCAAUUUUUAAAAAAAGUUACUGUUAAAUUCAAAUUGUAAUUGUAAUUGAAUUUAAUAAUUUUAAAUCCAAUAAAAUUUGCCACAUAUUGAUUUAAAUUUAUAUUAUCAUUACUUAACGUCAUAUUAAUUUUCAAUUGUUGAGUAUACUAUUAAAUACAAUUUGUUGAAAUUUAGAUUGUUAAUUUUAUAAAGAAGUUUAGAAGGAUUAUUCGUGUUGGAGAUAAAAAUAUGGUUGGACAAAUAGAAGCUUGAGAUAAUUUAAUUACAAUUUAAGUACCCCUAUCUAAGGAAGAAAGUGACCAAUUAGGUUGUGCCACGUAUCCAAAAGAUUAAAGAUGCCUUGAUGCAAAAGGUCGGAUCCAACUCACAUUCAUCUUUUUCCUUGAGAUGGGGUUACUUUCUUCACAAUAUUGACUUGAUUAUCGAAAUACCAUCACUGACCACUACCAGCAAUCGCCCUCUAAUAGCCUUGUAAAUAAGAAAUUAAAAUUUCAACAUAAAUAGAGAUACACAAAAUAUAUUAAUUUGACACAAAAUAUUUCUGCUAUUAGUAAAUUAUCAUCAUUAAUAUCAAUACCUUACUUUAUCUUUUAAUCAACAUACAAGUGUUAUCAACAAUGUUAACAAGUAAAUUAUGUAAAAUUAUCGUUAACAAUUAAUUAAACAAAUAAAAAUUCAACUUUAGUAAGAAAUCAUUAGGUUCAAGUGACUAAAGUAAAACAAACAAAAUCUAUCAAUUAAAAUAAGAUAUCAGUAAUAUUAAGUUUAAAAAUUAUAAAACUUUUAGUUAUUAAAAGCUUAUUUUAUGUGUGUGUGUGUGUAUGCUGCGCUGAGAUAAGUUAGGUUUAGAAAUUAAGAACUUUAGCUGACAUUCAUUUAUGAUUAAAUUUUUUAAUGUAAGUUUUAUGAUUAAAAUUAAAAAUAUAAAUAAUUAAAAUAAAGAAUGUAGGCGUGAGUAUCCAGUAGAUUUUUUCUCAAUACCAAAUCAACUCGCAUCCUGCAGCGGAUUUCAAUUUAAAAUACUAAACCCACUCACAACCCAGAAAAUUAUUCACAGCAGGUAAGGUUUUAUAGACGAAUUUGGACUGCUUUGUGGGAUGAUGAAUAAUUUUGCCAUCCUUGAACUCAAGGUUCAUCGUUUGCAAGGUCCCUCAUAAAUCAAGCACCCUCUUUGGUGGCUCUAUUCUUCAAAGCUGAACUUUCCCGCCAGUUAUCAAAGUUCACCCUCAAGAUAGCCUGAAAGCUACUUCCUUAAAUAUUUUAGUUCAUCUGAGGCUUGACAAAAAAUGAGCUAAAAUAACUAGUGUCUUUUAUGCCUUAAAAUAUUAAAUUUGAAAAAUCAAAAAGAGUUAUUAGGAAAAUAUAAGGUGCAUUUAGUAUAGUUUUUGUUUUGUAGUUUUUCAUUUUCCUAGAAUGAAAACUAUAAAAAAAUUUUUUUAGGUCUAUUUUUUAAUAGUAAAUGUAUCAACUGAAAAAAAGUUGUUCUUGUUUCUCAACUUCACAAAAGAGAGUGCAGAACAGAAAUUGGCAUUCUCUACUAUACAAACACACACACUACUUGCCUCACUUUUGUAGCUUGGAACCAUUGCCAAUAUUUAUUAAGCUUUUAACCCUCUAUUUCUUCCUUUUUUUUUAUAAUAUCAACACAAUAUUUUACUAUUUACUCAUAAAUUUACGGUUUCUUGUCAGAUAAGAUUUAUUUUUGCUCCAACAUUUUGCAAUUUUAUAGAUAUUCUUAAAUUAUUUUUUAUCUCAUUUUUUAAAAAUAAAAUUUAAAAUAGUCAAAUAAAAUUUAAAUUGUAUAAAUUAUGAUAAAAUAAAUGAACAUUUUUAGUUCAUUAAAGAUUAGACAAUUAGAAAAAUAAUUACAUUUAUCAUUAUCAAUUUAAAACAUGAUAAUUUCUAAAAUUUUAAAUAAAUAAAUAUACAUAUUUAAAAAAAUUACCUACACAUUAUUCAAAAAGAAAUGUUUUGGACAAAAUACUAAAUGUAUUUUCAUUUUUUUUCAUAAAUUAUAAUUUAGAAAUAAGCUACCAAAUGUAUCUUCAAAUAUCGAAACAACCCAUCAAAAACAUCAUCUUUCUUCUGCAAAACAAGUUUAGAAAACACCAAUUGAAAAACAAUACCAAAUACAACCUAAAUGUUUGGUACAAUUAUUUGAAUUUAGUUUAGAUUAUAGAACUGUAAAUAAUGAAAUAUAAAAAAAAUAUUUUAAUAUUCCAAGUAAUUUAUUUAUAAUAUUAUAAUAGAUUUAACAAAAGAUUAUUGAAAAAUAAGUGUGAUUUGAUUAUUUGAUGGUCUCACUUUAAUAAAUGAAAUCUUGGAAGUUCAAGUCCUCUUCUCAUAAUAUAUUCCAUUUUAACAGACUAAUUCAACAGAUAGUUUGUCUCGAAAAACACUAGCGGGCCAGCCGGCGGGCUUGAAACAUUAGCCCAAUAUAGCAAUCACCGUGAACUUCUAAAGCAAUAUUAUCUUGUCAUCCCCUCAAAGUUUGCUGAAUAAAAUAAAUAAUUAAAUAAAUUCAGCCCAAUAUGGCCAUCUCUUCUUGGAAUAUAUUCCAUUUAUUGAAGGACGAACUAAAUAUAUAAACAAAUACCCACAGAUGUUUUUAAUUAUCAUCAAAUUAACAGGACAUCACUCAUAAGCUGACAAAUUAAGUAGAUCGAUCAAACCGCCUUGUAGUAUGAAUGAAAAUGAUUGUUCAUGAAUUAAUCAAAUGAAUUACCCUCUGGUUUGUUGGAUGACAAAUUCAAUGAGCAUUUCUAUGUUGCGAUGAGAAGAUCUGUUAGGAAAUUGGUGGGUAAAGCAGACACACAGCUAAGUUGAAAUUGGUAGAAACAAUAAAGAACAAGCACAAUAGAGGACACAAGAAAAUUACGUGGUUCGGCUUUUAGCCUACGUCCACAGGCGAACAUAGAAGGAAAUAUUUUACUAGUGAAAAGGAGUUACAAGUAUUGUAGUAUUUUAGCUCACUACCCAAAACCCCAAUACACCCAAACUCUCAAAUCACUAUAACAAGAGCUUAUAAAUAUAAGCUCUUAAACUCUCUCUCAACUCCCUAAAUUGCUCUCUAAAUGGAAUGCCUUUGCUCAUUCUCUUCGCUUUUAUUUAUAGAGAAAGCUUUGGCACUAUGCAGCAAUUCUAUAUUAUUUUUACGUUCUUUUUUCUUCUUUCAAAUGUCAAACCCGUGUGCUCCUUUUCCUUUCCAACUUGCUGCAAAAUUCCUCUUCUUUGAACAACAUGGAUACUGACUAUCUAGAUGGCUGUUUCAAACCAUCUAGAUGGCUGCUUUUGACAAGAUCCACCAACUCCAAUAGCACGAUUUGCUAUCUCCCCAAGCUGCCUUGCUCUCUUUCUCCUCUUCUCUCCUUGUUUGCCUCUAUCCAUCAGUUUUUCAAUAGCUUCUUUAACUUUCUCCCUCUUAAUCACUAAACCAGAGUUGUCUUCCAAACCCCAUGUCACUGUAGCCUCAAUUCCAACACUCACUCCAAUCCCUAAUACUUGCGCAGCUAACUUCUUAUUAUAAAAUUGCUCGGCAAACAAAGGGUAUGUUACUAACGGCACUCCCGCACUCACUCCUUCUAGUGUUGAAUUCCAACCGCAGUGUGUCAAGAACCCUCCAAUUGCUCGAUGAGAUAAUAGCAACACUUGAGGUGCCCAUCCCCGAAUUAUAAAUCCUCUCUCUUUUGUCCUUUCCUCAAAUCCUUCUUCUUGGAUCCACUUCUCUAAACCUUGUGAUCUUUCACCUCCUCUUAUUAACCAAAUGAACGGCUGAUUGAUGCUUCUAAGCCUGACCCAAGUUCUAAAAGUUGCCAAGUAGCAAGGCCACAUAUACGCCCAAGACAAGGGUAAAUCACAGACCCAGGUUCCCAUGAGUCAAGCCAUUUCAAGCACUGUUCAUAAUCAUCUUCCGUUGAUCCAUUUUCACCUCUGCAUCUCUCAGCUUUAUCUGUGUUCAACUUAUACCGGGCCAAUACACCAAACCUUAUCACCUUUGGUCCUUGUAUAUUCUUUGACAUAUUCUGCUUCCAAUUCUUCGAAAGUAUUAACCACAAUUCCAUCUGCUGAUUGUUCUGCUCCCCUGAUUGUCACACGCUUCAAUUGGAGGGUUUUUAACACAUUGUGGUUGGAACUCAUCUCUUGAAGGGAUAUCAGCCGGCGUACCCAUGAUCACAUGGCCACUUUUUGGGGACCAAUUUUGGAAUGAAAAGUUGAUUGUGCAAGUUCUAAAUAUUGGGGAGAGGAUUGGUGUGGAAGUUCCCUUAGAUUUUGGGAAGGAAGAAGAGAUUGGGGUAUUGGUAAAGAAGGAAGAUGUUGUAAAGGCUAUUAACAUACUUAUGGAUGAAGGAAGGGAAAGAAAUGACAGAAGAAAAAGAGGCAGAGAAUUCCACAUAAUGGCAAAAAGGGCAACAGAAGAAACAUGAUCUUCUUCCCUCAUGAUCAAACUAUUAAUCCAAGAUAUCAUGCAACCGCCGCAUGGUGAUGACCAACAUAUAUAACGCAUGAGAGAUUAAUUGCUUAAUUUGUUUCAUGCGUACUUGCUUCUCUUUUAUUAUUAUUUUUUUUGAGAGGUUAAUUCACUUAUCUAUUAUGGUACUAUUGUCAAAUCUGUCCUCAUCCAUUGAUCAGACAUGCAUUAUUCCCUGAUUAUCAAGGAAUCUUGGCCGAGCACCUGUUUAUAAUUUUAAUUAACUCAAACCAGUUUGUAGGGUAUCAUCAAUAAACAAAUAUAAUGAUUUACUUGCAAUUGACUGCAUUAAAAUAUAUUCUUUUAAUGUUUAUAAUUAUAAGUUGUACUAUCAAAAAGUUAUUGUUAAAUUAAUUAUAUAUAAAUUAAUUAAUAUCAGCCAAUGCAAUGUUAGAAAAGUUCUCUUAACUGCCCACUAUUUGACCGAACAUUGACCAGCCGCCAUUGCUCUAGUGGCGGCUGGUGGUGGUGAUUUGCCAAUACCGGAACCACCCCACACACCGGUGACUUCUCCUUUGGCCGGCAACAACCAUCACAACUGCACUCACACCCAAACCGAAGGCCAAAAACGUGUUCGCAAUCUCAAAUAUCGCCCAUCGCCGCCGCCACACCUGUUACCAUCGAUAAGGACCACCUUCUGCCAUUGACCAUCUCCUCAGCCCAAUCUCGUACAGCUACUGCUUUGAGAGAUAAUGCUGGAUGGGCUGAGAUAGCUAAGCCUUCUUCUUCUAUUCAGGAUGAUCUAAGUAUUCAGAGGGUUUCCACUGGUACUACUUUUUUCUGAGCUGCAGGAUAUUCGAUCCAUGACUAUGGGUUUUAAUUCCCAUUAUACAGAUAUUCAUUUUUAGUCGGAUGAGGAGCUUAGCUCUGAUGAGAAUCUUGUGGCUGAUGAUUAUUUUACGUCUUAGCCUGAGCAUUCUGAAGGGCGUGAUCUUGACCCCAACUUCAAUGUUGUUGGUCCACAUUCCUCUUGUUCGAGAAAAGAUUUCGCAUUAGUUACUGGUCACAGGUAUAGUAGGCAGUCUUAAGGCAUUUGCAUUAAUUAAUUAUCUUUAACUUCUUAUUUGUUCUCAUAAUGUUUUUGUUAUUUUUUGGAUUUGUUGGCUGUGUUGUUAUUUUGCUUGGAGCUUUUAGUUUGUGUCCUUCUCCAUAUGUACUUUCUUUUGUUUCAAUAGUUUACAGGUAAGAGGGUCCCGCCUAACCCGCCCACCUUAGGGUGGUUUUAAAUUAAAAAAGGAAAAUUAUCAUUUGUGUGAAUAUUUAGAGUCUGAAAUACUAUUUUUUCUUGUUUCAUUCAUUCUACAAGUUACACUUAAAUAGAAUGCAGAAAAUAAACUCCUAAAAAAUAUCCCCUAAUUGUAGGAUACUUAUCUAAACUUGAAUUUAAAAAUAAAACUAAUUAUCUAAAACUUUAUUCUGAUAAGACUUUAAAACUAACUGAAAAAUCCUAACUUCUCGAUACUCCCUCUCAAGUUGGUGUGUAGAUGUCAAUCAUUCUCAACUUGCUGCAAGAUGUCCAAAGUUAAGUGUGACGAAUCCCUUCGUUAGGAUAUCUGCUAUUUGUUGUUUUGUUGGAACAAACAAUAGGCAGAUAAUAUGAUUCUCAAGUUUCUCGUUGAUGAAGUGACUAUGAAUUUCGACAUGCUUGGUUCUAUCAUGUUGCACUGGGUUAUGUGCAAUGCUGAUUGCUGUCUUGUUGUCGCAGUAUAACCUUAUAGGUAGAACUGUAGGUCUUUUCAAAUCCUCUAGAACUUGUUUUAGCCACAAUACUUGACAAAGCUCAUGUGUCAUAGCUCUAAAUUCAACUUCAGCAGUACUUCGUGCAACUACAUUUUGUUUUUUACUCCUCCAAGUCACUAAAUUACCCCAUACAAAAGUGCAAUGGCCUGUAGUAGACUUCCUGUCUGUAAUUGAAUCUGCCCAAUUAGCAUCAGUGUAUACCUCAAUACCUCUAUUCUCUGUUUUUCUAAACAAAAGUCCCUUUCCUAGAGUACCUUUUAGAUAUUUGAGAAUUUUAUAAACAGCUUCAAGAUGUUCUUCCCGAGGAUGAUGCAUGAAGCGACUUAUUAUAUUGACUGGAAAAGUGAUGUCUGGUUUAGUAAGAGACAAGUAAAUAAGUUUUCCCACCAAAUUUUGAUAUCGUCGUAGAUCUACUAGGGCUUUUUCUCCUUCACCUAGUCUUAAAUUGUACUCCACAGGUCUAUCCACUGGCUUACAGCCACUCAUUCUAGUUUCCUUCAAUAAAUCAAGGAUGUAUUUCCUUUGUGAGACAACUAUACCUUUCUUGGAACGAGCAACUUCCAUUCCAAGAAAGUAUUUCAAGGCACCUAAGUCCUUGAUUUCAAAAUCAGUGGCUAGACUUUGCUUCAAUCUAUCCAUUUUAACUAAAUCAUCUCCAGUAUGAAUAAUGUCACCCACAUACACUAUAAGCACAGUGAUUUUACAUUUAGCUGAAACUCUAGUGAACGUUGUAUGAUCAGUCUGACUUUGUCUGUAACCUUGUCUAUUCACAGCCAUAGUAAAUUUCUCAAACCAAGCCCUAGGCGAUUGUUUGAGACCAUGCAAGGACUUUUGCAAUUUGCACACAUUUGACCCAAAAUUUUCAAAGAAACCAGGAGGAGGAUCCAUGUAUACUUCCUCUUUUAAAUCCCCGUUGAGAAACACAUUUUUCACAUCCAACUAUUGUAAUGGCCAAUUUAGGUUUGUAGUGAUAGACAAGAGAACUCGUACAGUGUUUAACUUUGCUACUGGUGCAAAGGUCUCUGAAUAGUCAAUCCCAUAAGUUUGCGUAAGCCCCUUUGCCACUAGGCGAGCCUUGUAUCUCUCAAGUGAACCAUCUGAAUUGUAUUUGACAGUAAAUACCCACUUGCAGCCAAUUGUCGACUUUCCUUUAAGCAAAUUGACCACCUUCCAAGUCUGAUUCUUCUCAAGAGCAUUCAUCUCUUCAAGGAUAGCUGCCUUCCAUUAGGUACACUUAGAGCAUCCUGCACAUUCUUUGGAAUUUCUACACUAGAAAGUUGUGAGGUAAAUGCAUAGAAAGAAGGUGAUAGGUUGUGAUAUGAAACAAAAUUAGACAAUGAGUAUUUGGCACAACUUCUAGUACCUUUCCUAAGAGCAUAGGCAUGUCCAGAUCACUAAGAACCUGAGAAUUUGAAUUUAACUCACUAGAAGGAUUAGAAUUUGAAUUUAACUCACAAGGAGGAUUAGAAUCAGAAUUACCUGAGGAAGAAGAAGUUUGAUCUGACCUUGGAUUGGAAGAGUAGAAGAGGAUAUAAGAGGUCUAAUUUUGUUUGUGAGAGACCAUUUCCGGGUUGGAAAACAUUCUCCAACCCAGUGGAACUCAAUGAAUUCUUGUGGUCCAAUUAGCCAUAAUGGAUUUGGCAAUGCAGGAAUCUCAUGGGGCUGGGAGAAACAAGUUUUGUAAGCAGUUAGGUAUAUAAUAUAGUUAGUAUAGGUAGUCUGGUUUAUCAUUAAGUUCAUUUAUUGCCCUGUGUCGCAAGUAUAUAAUACAGAUGAAACCAAUUUGAGGAAGUACUGGUCGUGUUUGCAUCAUGUUUAGUUUGUUUAGUAGACCCAUCCAAGGUUUUGAAAAUUGUUUGAUGUAUUGGAAGAUGGGCAUUGUUGUAGUGCUGGGUAUCUAUGUUGACUUUGUUCGCUGGCUUGGAAGUCUUGAAAGAGUUGAGAGGAUCAACCCUCAUCAAGAUGAUUGAGGUUUUCGGAUGAGUCUGGAAAGUUUGAUGUGUUACAUAAUUUUGAUCAAACAAUAAUGUGAGGUUCUCUUUCAGUAAUUCCCAUAUUCUCUUUACUGCUUAGGAGUUAUUACGUUGAUGAAGUUUAUUAGCUGUGUUGCAUGUAGGUCAGCAUACACAAAUAAUGUUGGUGCAAGAAUCAAAUAACAUUGGUAUAAAAUCAAAUAAUAUUGGGCAGCAUAGAGGUGAAAUGAAUAUCACACAGACACACACAGUUUCAAAAGCGUGUAGGUUUUUUUGGUCUUUUAUCUAAAAUUGAAUACUACUUAUUAUCACCAAUUUAAAUGCAUCAGGUUAUUUUUUCUUUCCACCUUCAGAUUUAUUUUUUUUUUGACAACUUUCCACCGUGAGAUUAAUUGUGAGAAAUUUGCAUUAAUAGAGAAAGUAGAAACGAUUUGAUUUUUAUCUGGAAAAAAAAAAGAAUCAAACUGAAUGUCAUAAUUUUAUUUAUGAAAGAUAAUCUUAUCAAUUUAUAUAAUAAUUGAUACGCAUAUAAAGUUUUGUCCCUUUUUUUUAUUAAAUAUUAUUUAAGCAAAAAAAUCAUAAACAAUUUCGUUUAAGAGGAAAAAAAACACAAAUUAUGUAGUUUUAUAUCAUCAAAUAAUGUAAUUUUUUUUAAAGUCUAGCUCAAUGGCAACUAAAUCUAUUCUCCACCCUUAUGAGCCAAGUAAACAAAAGCUCUUGUUUGUAAUUAAAUUUGUAUAUUUUUUAGGGAUUAAUUAUUUGCUUACAAAUGUUAAAAAAAAUGAAAUGCUUAUAUAGGGUUAAAUACAAAGUUAAAAUUUCAAAUGACGUGUUAUUAUCAAUGACUGACAUGUAUUAAGUAAUAUUUGACGUUUUAUACUAUUAUUAAUGAGAUAAUUUAAUAGGAUUGAUGAGAAUGAUUCCUCAUCGUUAAUGAAUAAACAAUAUAUUAAAUACCACAUGAUUCGAAAUACAAAUUAUAUUUUAAAAAAAAUCUUUGUAAGCAUAUAUUACUCCUUUUUUAACAACUGAAAUCAGUUUUUUUUUUUUUUUACAACAGAGAAGAAAAAUCAUCCAAAAUAAUAUACUAAAUUAGCACAAUUGGGACAAUUAAUCAUCUCUAUGGAAUGUCUAAAAUAUACUAAAUCUUAAGUUACACACUCAUUUGACGUCAUUUUUUUUAUCUUUUUUUUUUCCCUCAAAGUCACCAUCCGAUAUUUUAAGGCAACUUUCAAUUUGGUAUAUCAAAAUUAUUUAGGGGCCAGUUUAAUAUAAAUUGACGAAUUAUUUCUUUAUUUAUGAAAGUAUUUAAGGAACUUUAAUGUUGUUAUCAAUUUUCCAUCGUAUACUUUAUUGUUAAAAGAUUUCGUAUUGGAUAUACUUUAAUCCAAACAUAGCUUUCGAAACUAAACAAAUGGAGUUUACUAACUUAAUUCCCUGUUUGUCUUGAGUAUUCGUUUAAAUUACUAAUCAAUUGUAACUAAACAAAUGGAAUAUAAUUAAUUAAUCAACUAAUCGCCACAUUAACCACUCUUUAAUUUAUAUAAUACUGUUUAAAUCUCGGAAUCUUUGAGUAAAAACUAUGUUGUACAUCAUAAGUUCAAAGUCCACCAUUACAUUAACCUUCCAACCGAUUUGAUAACUACCAUUCGCUAACAUGAUUAAUUUUCUUAUUACUAAAAUUUUUAUUAUCAUAUCUUUCUAUUUUUCGCAUUCAACGAUUGUAUGGCGUGAUGCAUGUGGAAUUCUUUUUCGUUGGGACUCAAAUCAUCCACCGUCUGAUCAUUUACCAUUUGAUGUUGGAAUGCUUGGGUGGCCAAUUUUCGUCAUCGAUUUACCGUCAAUUAAUUCGUCACAUUUGUAAAUGAUUUGCACCGACGCAAGCUGCCGAGUCCAAAUGGAUAAAAACACAAGACCGUGUUUGGCAAUUUUUUUAAUGACACGUGGGGUCUGGGCCGCCUGGCCUGCGUGUAUAAAAUAAGAACAAACAAAAAACUUUAAAAAAAAAAAAGAAGAAAAAGAAAAGAAAGGAAUUAUUGUGCCUAUUUUGCAGUCUUGUUCGAGGUGGAAUAAAGCAACAUCGCAACAACAUGGCUGUUAUGGACGUAUCACUAAAGGGACAUUAAAUUAGAUUCUUGUAAAAGUUUUUGACCAACAUUUUCUAUGAAACAAUUUGAUCCCUUAUGAAUCUUAUACAAAAUAUAACUUCAAAUUAUUUAAAUGGAUGAUCAUUAGACCAAUCAUUUUAAACAUUUGAUAAUAUUUUUUACCUUGUUCUUUUUAUGAGCAUAGUUUUUUUUUUUUUUUAAGAAACGAUUAUCAAUAUCCUAGUCUAUUGCUAAACUGCUUAAAGUGUAGAAACUGCUCGAGUAUCAAUUUUUUUUUUUUUGUAAACUAAGUUUUAUCCAAAUAUGAUUUCUUUAUCCAAAUACAAUCAUAUUUGUCGGUGAAAUGAUUAUUAUUAUUUAUUUUAAUUUAAAAGAAGCAUCUAAUACAAAAAUAAUCGAUUAUCAAGUAAAGGACAAGAAUAGUGUAGAAACCACCAAUAAAAAGCCAAUAUUUUUAGCUCACGUGGCUUGUGCACGUAAGCAAAAAGUUCCAUGAUGAAUAUUUCGUGAUUUCUAAGUUCUCGUGCCCUGCACGUCAAAUUUAUUGCCGUCACGGGCAACUAGUUUAGUGCCAUUUGGCACUUAAUUACAAGCUCGCUUCUCCUUUAACCAUAUUGUUUGAUUGCAUGUACAAAAAAUAUAAUAAGAAACUUUUUUUUUUUGCAUUAUUUUUGAAUGAAUGUAUUGAUUUCUCUCCUUUAUUAAAGGCUUUGUCUUAGAAUAUAAAAUACGCGGGAGGUUGCCAUCUUGCUUUAAUUAUAUGGUCAAGACUUGAGGGUGCACGAUGGACCUACCCGAUCAAUCAAUCGAUCAAUCUCAAUGGCGCUAAGACCACAUAUUUUACACGUGACAGAGUGAGUGUUCACACACUUCUCUUUAGGCAUUUUCUCUCGAAAUAGCCCAAUCCAAAUCUAAGAAUCAAGCACCAGGACAUAAGCAGAGAGCUCUAGGGCCAAGGCCUCAGAGGGGUUGGCAAAAGUCGAAAAGUAGACGGAAUGUGUUUCUAGUAGUAUGAAGCAUAUGAUAUAGUAGUAGUAAUUGACAAGAAUAUUAACUACCAUUAGCUCCCUAUCAGGAUCUAUAUGAGUUAAUCUAUAAACAUACACACAGAAAAGCCGAUAAUGCAAUACUGCAACCUUUCUCAUUGCUUUGUUAAGUAUCAGAGAGAAGGAUUGCCGGCUGCAGCUUUAAACCCCUCAGGCCGUGGUGAGAAAAAUUCCUUCCCCAGUCUUUAACAGUAGAUGAAUGAGACCUGUUUAUGGUAUGAUAAUGAGUCAAUGUUAUGGAAGAGGCGCGAGUCUGAACUGCAAUCACCAGUGUUGGUUCCCAUGUUCAGAGCCCAGAAUUUAUGAUCAAACUUUAUUGCUUCAUAUCUUCCAUAUCUUCAUCAGAGGCAGGAUUUUCAACCUCACUCCCGCCACUUAAGUCAUCGUCGUUGCCUAAAGGUGAAAACUUGUCACUCGUGGUGUUCUUAUGAAAAUGACACUUAAACGGCAGAGCAACCAUGCUUGAUGAAUGGAAAACGGCAGAGCACUUUCAAUAAAUGAAAAACAUUUAUUUGAGGAAAAAUAAUUCAAUUGUGUGAGAGAGACCAGUUACGUAGGCAGUUGCCCACCGAGACUGUUAGUUGGUCAUGUUUGAAAUUUGACACUAGAGUUGUCUGUCAACUACGUCUUCACUUCACUUGAGCUUUCGAAGUUAAUGCCACGUGGACAUGAAUAAGAAUAAUAAUAAUAAUAAUGAGGAGUCUACUUCGUGGUUAUUAGAGUUAUGCCUUUGCUUUUCCUGCACCUUAGGGAUAUGGGACUAACUAUGAACACCUGGAUGGAGCAUAGGUAGGUAUGUGCAAAAUCCUGGAAUAUCACUUCUAGGAAGACGUCCAAAUCUUGAUCACUUGUUGGAACAGGUAGGGAUGCAAAUGGCUUUUCAAAUUGUCAUUUUUGUUAAUGUAGGUCCUAGAUUCAUGGUUUUCUUAAGAUUUUAUAUCAUCUUAGCUUUAUGCAUUUAAUGACCAUUUAAUGAGGAAUAAGGUUUAUUAUAUCCCCUAAUUAAUUGUGUUAAGAUUAUUAUUUAUAAAGUUGACAUCUUACGGCAAGUUUAGUAAAUUAAAAUUUUAUUUACUGAAUAUUAUGUAAUAGGGUUUAAUUUAUUAAAUUCCUAACUAAUUUAGUGAAAUUCAAUUUAUUCAGAAUAUUGUUUUCUAAUUUAAUUAGAUGUUUAAUUUAGCAAGUCAAUUAGUGACAUGAUUUUAUAAUUGGUGCAUAGGAUUUAUUUAGAGGAAGAAGUUGGUUUAAACAGAAAGUUCAUUAAAUACUCUAGAUAUUUCUUAGGAGACAAGCAAGGCAAGCAUAUCAUAUUUAUUUCUAUUUAGAUUUAUAGGAAUUAUAAGAGAAAAGAAAUUCUUAUUUGGAAAAAAUCCUAGUCUUUUAACUACAGUUUUAAUAAAUUUUUUCACAAAAUUUUUUCACAUCAGCUUCAUACUCAUCAAACAAUAUAUCAUAUUUAAGCCAAGAUUUAUCCACUUUUUGUUUAGUACUUGACAUAUAAUUGAAACACAUUUCAACAUAAUGUACUAAUAGGCAGCAAUGAUAAACGGUUUCCAUUAUCAAUAAAUUAAGAAACAAAGCAUUAUUAAUAUUCAGUUUAUAAAUUUAAUGAAAUAAUUAAAUUAAAAACAAAAACUUGUCAUCAUGUGCAACAAAUAUAACUUCACCAACGUGCUAUCAUCGUUUACCAAAACCUCUAACUAACAAUACCCACUAAUAAUAUCCUAAAUAAUUGAGCCCACAUACAUUUAACAUUUAUUUAAAAAAAAAAUUCUAACAAUCUGGUAUUUCAUAGACCACAAGACUAUAUAUAUAUAUAUAUAUAAGCAACUAAACAUUCCUUGGUCCACAUGACCAAACUUGCCCCCACAAGGUACCAUUUCUUUCAAACAUAAAAAAAACAAUUGAAAAAGGAGCCUCACUUUUUAACUCAAUAAAAUACACUAGAAAGUAUUAUCAGUUACCAAAUCUAACUCACAAUCAUUCAAAAAAUGUCAACACCAUUGGACCUUAGUUUUGGAUCCAUCCCAAUAAAACACACUAGUCAAUGACAAAGUGCUAUAUCAUCAAGCAAAAUCAGUUCACAAACAUGCAAGCUUUGACUGAAAAAUUACAAAAUAUAACAACAUUCAGACAAACCAUUGCCAACAAUCAUUUUUUAAACAUUGAAUGGAAAGGCAGUAAAGAAUUGAACAAACCUGAUGUCAGAAAUCGAAUUCGAAAGGGAACAAAACAGUGAAAUCCUGCAAUUCAUAAUUAAAUGAUUGAGCAAUUUCUAGAUUUAAUAAAAGGAUAAAGUAUAAGCUUCUUGAAUUAAAAAAAUAAAAAAAUAACAAAAGAAACAAACAAGAAUUUUAAAAAAUAAUAAUAAAGAUAAACCAUUCAUGAUAGAAAUCCCAAAAAAAAGGCAUAAAUUAUGAACAAAUAAGGGAGAUAACAAAAAAACUGACAAUUAAUUUUAUAAUGCCCAACUAGUUUAUUCAAAACAAAAAAUAAAAAAGCUAAUUGACAAUAAGCCUAGGGAUUCAGCAAUUACAAGGAUGGCUUCUCCAUCGCCAAUUAAACAAUGCAAAGAAUAGUGACAACGACCGCUUCAACAGUGGACGUGUUGAUCGAAGGAGCAACAAUGAGCAUAUAUGAUGAUUUUGUGCCUAAAAAAUUAUAAUAAAGUGGUUGCUUCAAUAGCAUAUACGAUCAUUUUGGUUUCCAUGCAAUGGAUUUCAAAACCAAUUUGUAGAUUAAAGUAGGGCUUGUUAAUUCUGGAUUUUGAGGGGUUUCAAUGCUUAGGUUUCUUAGCCCUUGCCGAUGGAGUGAUGAAGUCAAAGGAGCUGAAGUGUUUAUUAACACCUAGAAUAUCACUACCACAAAAUUGGUCUUUUACAACGGUUUUAAAACCGUCAUUGUCAUCUUAGGCACUGACAUUAAAGAGGGUAUGUUUUUAAUUACGGUUCACUAACCAUCAUUAAAUGUAUAUUUUUAAUAACAAUUAUUUUUUAAAAUAGUCAUUAUUUAUAGUAAUUAUAUAUGUUUUGAUGACUGUUCUUUCAUAUAACUGUCAUUAAAUGUGCCAUUUUAAUGACGGUUUAUUAUAAGAACCGUCAUUAUAUAUAUGUUUUUAAUGACGGUUUAUUGUAAGAACUGUCAUUAUAUAUAUAUAUAUAUCUUUAAUGACGGUUUAUUAUAAGAACCGUCAUUAAUUAUUGAACAACAUUUUAUGACGGUUUUUAAAAAAAAAACUGUCAUCUUUGUUUCUGAACACUACAUUUGAUGACGGUUCUUUUGAAAUAACCGUCACCUUUGUUAUUUAUUAUUAAAAAAAAUAAAUGGGAAAUUUCAUACUAUUUCAAGCCCCAUUUUAAUUCUAAUUUCAUAUUAAAUUCUUUACAAUUAUUUUUCCAGAAACAAAAGGAUGCAAAUGUUUCAUAUACAAAGAGAUAGCUUUACAAAAAUUCUCACAACUAUUUAAUAUCCACUAAUGACUGCACUAGCAACCAACAAGAUUGGCAUGCGUGAGACAUCUAAUUUCUCGUCAAGUCUUCAAUUGCAAACAAGUCUCACCAGCGUCAGCAAUCUACGUUAUUCUUACAAAGGAUAAAGAGAAAUUAAGAUAUAUUCAUAUAUUAUAAAUCAUAAAUAUUAAAUCAUUUUAGUGACUUAAGUUGUAAAACAAGACUUUAAAGUACCAAAUCACUAUUAAUUAAUAGACUUACCUAAGUAAGUUUACCAAAUCCUUCUGACUUCUUCCUCAUAACGACCGUCAUCACCCAAAAGUGAGUUUCAUGCAGGCAUUGUACAUUUACCAGCUGAAUUUGUAAAUGAAAUAGGGAACUUUUGUCUGGUUAGUGAUUAAGGGGACUCAACUUGAAAGAAAUAUUCCAAAGCCAAGUUAAAAGAUUGUUUUGUGUACAAGUAAAUUGGACUAAUUGUCAUACUAAUUAAAAAAAAGUGAUUAACUGUCAUACAACUAUAGGAAACUAACACAAUAAAGUUUGUCCAAUACUAUGGAAAUGGUACCACUGCAAUAUGGCAGAAAAAGAAAAAAAAAACUUCUGCAUUAACAGGACAAAAUAAAUGAUAGUUCAAGCAGGUCUUUCAACAAAUACCUUCAAGAUGUUUUUGAUUUGCAUCAAAAAUUACAAAUGCAACCAAGAAACCGAUUCCCUAAAUCACAGUUAGAUAUGAAAAUAUGAAAUUAAAAGUAACUAAAUACUUAAUCACAGGGAACUAACUAAUCGAAGCGGUGGAAUUAAAGCAAUCGUAUAAAAACUUCAGCCAACAAAGAAUGCAAAUAUAUUAUCAAACAACAAAGACUCACAUGGUAGAGUGUUUUCUUCAGCGAGUGAUGGCAAGGCUAGGGUUUAUCUAGUUCGAUGGUGAUUGAUGGAGAAGGCUUUAAUUUCAAGCCUUUAAGGAUUGGGUUUUCUUCGACGGCAACGAUUUGGAUAUGGGUUAGAGUUUUCAUGGGUAAGAGGGGUAUAGUGUUGACUCCGGCGUAGUAAAGAGCGAGCAUGAGAGAGAGGGGUUGUUGGUGCUGGCCUGCUGUUGCCUGUGCAUAAGAGCGUGCGUGAGAGAGAGCGGCUACUAGUGGCCUGGUGCUGCCAUGCUCGACUGCUGCUGCACGGGCUCAGUUUGCCAACGGCGUGCGUGCUACUGAGAGAGAGGGUCUGCGUGCGCGUGUGCUAUUAGUGUUUACAAAUUAUCUGUAAUUUUAGUGAUUUGUUGUUUGUAUAGGGUGGGGUUUUUUUUUUUUUUUUUUAAAUAUAUCAAUGACGGUUCUAUAAUAACCGUCAUUAAUUUGGAUAUAUAAUGACGGUUGAUUUAUUAAACCGUCAUUAAAAUUAUUCACUUUCACAUUAAAAUUUAAAGUAUUUUAUCUACAUAUAUAAUGACCGUUAUAUAUAACAACAGAUAUUAAAAAUUAUCACUUUUAAUGACGGUUUUUUAAGAACCGUCGUUAAAUAUAGUCAUUUUCAAUUAAUUUUUUUCAAAACCAUCACCAAAAUUAAAACUAUUUUUAAGUAUGUAUAUAAUGACCGUUUCAUGUAAAAACCAUCAUUACAAAUUAACACUAUUUUAAUUACACAUAUAAUGACCGCUGUAUAUAAAAAGAGUCAUUAAAAAUUAAGACUAUUUUAAUUAUUUAACUAUACAUAUAAUGACCGUUGUAUAUAAAAACCGUCAUUAAAAAUUGUCAUUUUUAAUGACAGUUCAUUUAUUAAAACUGUCAAUAAAAUUAAGACUAUUUUUAACUACACAUAUAAUGACUGUUGUAUAUAAGAACCGUAAUUAAAAAUGGUCACUUUUAAAGACGGUUUUUAUAAAUGAACCGUCAUUAAAAUUAAGUGUAGAUUUUGUUUGACAUUUAAUGAUGGUCCUAUUACAUAACGGUCAUCAUAAGUGCUACAAAUUAUAACUGUUUGCAUAAUAACCGUCAUAACUUAUGGGUCAUUCUUUUAUAUUUUUGUAGUAGUGAAUUUUCUUGUAGUUUAAAGUCUAUAGUAAACGACAUCGUUUAGAAGUUAAAUAAAUAUUUUUAUUUUUAAAAUUUUUUAAAUUAUGAAAAAUCAACAUAUGGUGCCGUUUCAUGCCCAAAUUGAUCUAUCCUAAACUCACCGUUUCAUUAAAUAUUACUAUGCUAUCAUAUUUCUAUGAUAUAUAAAAACUCUAUCACAAUUUGUCAUGCCUUUAUGAUGUAUGAAAAUUCUGUCAUGUGUCUAUCAUAUUCUUGUGAUAAAUAACUAAUUUUCUAAUAUCUAUCACAAAAAUUCUGUCAUUUUAGCCCAUUAUUCUAGUAGUGAUAUUUAUCCAACUGGACUACAAAGUAAUUGAAAUUAAUUGUAACACCUAUGGACAAAACUUGGACCCAGUGUUAUUUUAUAAUCAAAAUUGAAACCUAUAAUUACAGUAAACUUGAAUCUGAAUCAAAUGGGCAAAUGGGGACAAAUGCCUUCUCUAGGCUCUAACCAUGAAACAAUAAUCAAAUCGUCAGACUUCUAAAAUAAGCCAAUGACACAUUACUCACAAACCCAUCUAUUAACAUCUUCAAAGCUUUGGCACUGAAACUUAAAAGAGAGAUUUGUGUUAAAUAGCAUUGAAAGUAAACACAACAGCAAUUAUAUAUAGCAAAGAUUAGUGGGAAAAAAGAUGUAUUAAAAUUGUUCUUGACUCCCAAUUCUGCCCGAAUAAAAUAAAUGAGCAUAACAAGCAACCGGACCACAGAGAAAGAUAUCUCCAACACCAUAAGCGGUGGCUUCUGAAAAUGCAUUCUGGUUGCAGCUCUAGUUCUUCUCACGGUACAAGUAUGCGUACUCAUGGUAACAGCAAAUCCAAAUGCAGCAAGAAGGAUGCUCCUCUUCCCAAUCAACAAAAAAGUAUCGUCAUUCAUUAUGUGAAAAAUUUUAAGAUCAGAAAUUGGAGGCCAAUUGUGUUCGGAACUCUGAUAUUUUACUUCGAUCUAUGCAAAACCAAAAAUGAAAAUGAAUACUCGAGCAAUAUUCAAAUAUCGAAAGAGCAUAUUUUCAUAAUUAAGUGAGGAAAAAAAUUUUCAGUAUCAAUUAUCAUCAACGGGUUCUUGAUGUUAAGAAUAAGCAUUAAAAUGAGCUGUUCAGGUCGUCUGAUGAAUCAGCAAGCUGUUAAGAAGGCUGUUGCUUUGCUUAAGAAGCCUCUGGACAUGUAUAUAUAAAUCCCUGUAAUCUCUUGUUACAAGCGGCCGAGGUCACGCUCAUGAUUUUGUUGCUUAUAGAAGCUCCUGGACAUAAACCCCCGUAAUCUCAGUUCAUUUUGUAGCUUAAUGAAAUGAAUUUGGCUCACUAUUCUUCUAUCAAAACUUUUAGUAUUUUCCCUUCACCGCAAACAAAUACAGCAACAUCUUUUAACUCUUGAAAUCUUCCAGCUCCGGUGCAAGCCUCAGUCACAAUGUAUUCACUCGAUGGCACAUCUUCACCCCGACUUUUCGGUAAAGUGAAUUAAAGCUUUCAGAACGACGCAUAAAACUUUAAAUUGUUCCUGUAACACACAGAAAGUCUUUAGUUCGGUAUAGUAAAUUCAAUUUCUUAUAAUCUCAUUAAUAUACUUUUUGAAUUUUAUUGUGAUCUUCAUUAGGCGUCAAUUUUUAUUUUUCAUUUAAAAAAAAAAGCACUUUCGGAGUCAUUGUAACAUCUUUUUCUGUGUAAAUAUCUUUUUCUUUUAAUUUAAAAUUAGAUAUAUCAAACUUAUUCAUCGGGGUUUUGUUACAUUUCCCUUAUUUUCAAUAAUUAAUUUGUUAUCUAAUUGGUCAAUAAAUUUGCUUCUUGUUUGUCCCGUACACUAAUAUAGAUGCUGUUUAUUUCUUAGGUUUUGAGAUAGGAAUGACGAAGGACAGAUGCAGGGGCACCGUUUUAAGUUAACCAAAGUUAAAGAUGAUUCGAACCCAUAGUUGUUGCAUAAAAACAUUUGUUAUCUUUACUUUUGUUGUCAAAAUUAUUAUUAUUAUAAUUUUUUUAAUGGUAGAAGUAGAACCUAAUCCCCCACAAUUAUCAUUUAAUAACAUGUUAAUUACCAAACACUAUUAUUUUUUUAUUCAUACCUAGUAGUGAUUUAAAUUUGAAAAGCGACAAAACCAGAAACCAGUUUUUAAUAUAUAAUAAACCAGUUAAUAUUUUUAUUUUUUGAGGAGAAAUGUAAGGAUCCUACAAAAAAAAAAAACCACCAACAUUACAAUGACAGAAUUAGAAACGAAAAUCACCACAACAUUAUAAUUGCAUUCAAUUUCUACGUCUCCUCCUCCUCCUCGUUGCCUUUUGCUGCGUUCCCAACUUCUCCAGAAUCCAUCCGAUAAUUCCUGUGCUGAAGUUGAACCCGAGAACCAAUCCUGCCACAAGUCCGCCAGCGUAGCCAAUCAGAAUGAUUUUCCAAUCAGAUGCGCCUGAAAACAGAGACUCCUCUGAGCCCUCAGUAUGAUCUUCAUUUGCUGGAGCUUUAUUACUCUCACAUCCUUUGGACAAAGGCCUUCCACACAAUCCUGAGUUGCCGUCGAAAGAAGUAUUGUCAAAUGUAGCAAAUUGCUUUCCUUGUGGUAUCAGUCCUGUAAGGUGAUUGUCCGAGACAUUGAAGAAUUCGAGAAAUGUGAGCUAGUUGUUGAGGAAUCUGUCCUGAAAACUUGUUGUUUGAGAGAUCCAAUGAUUCCAAAUUUGUUAGAUUGCCCAAACAUGACGGAAUAUGGCCCUGGAGAUUAUUGUUCUGGAGGUUUAGAACUUGAAGUCCCUUUAAAUUUGCAAUCGAUGCUGGAAUCGCCCCAUCAAAACUAUUGUUUGAGAGAAUAAUUCCCGCUAGGAUAUCCGGAAUCUUGUUAUAUGUCAUCAUUCGCCCUUUUCUGUUCAUUGUCAUUGACUAGUCGUAAGUGCUAAGUAUAUCAUUGGACGUUUGUCCAUUUGGAGAAAGCACAUCUUGCAGAUAUCUUAGCUCACUUGUAUUGACAAUUUUCAUGGCAUUCCAACACAGGAAACUCUUUGAUGGAAGCGUUCCAGUAAAUCUGUUGUUAGAUAGGUCAAUAAUGCGGAGUUUAGAAAAUCCACAAUCAGUUCUGGGUUCUUUUAUAAUGCCAUAAAAUAUGUUAGAUCGUAGGAUGAGAACAUUCAAGUUUGGAAGAGUUCCUAACCAAGAGGGAAAAGUGUCACUAAUCUGGUUGUUCCCAAGACCAAGAAAUUCCAACUUUGAACAGUUGAUCAAUGAUCUUGGAAUUCUUCCUUGAAAUAGAUUAUGGCUUAAAUCAAUCACGCCUAAUCUACUUUCUUUAAUGAAAGUAUUUGGGACGGUCCCAAAGAAGUUGUUCCCCUGCAAGUCGAGCACUGAAAGUUCAUCACUGAAAUUGCCUAAACACUGAGGAAGCAAGCCACUUAAGUUAUUGUGAGACAAAACAAGGCUUUCAAGAAUAUUCAAAUUGCAUAUCCAUGAUGGAAUUUCCCCUGUUAAGUUAUUGUUUGAAGCUAGAUAGUGAAUGGUUCCGGGGGGUGGAACUGGGAAUGGUCCUUGUAAAUUAUUAGAGCUAAGAUCAAAAGUCAGCAAAUCACCUUUAUUCCCGGGAAGAACAACAGGAUACUGAUCAAACCUCGUUAACAAGUUAUGCGAAAUGUUCAAGGCAUUGAGAUUCUGCAUAUUGGGGUCUAACAACCAUUUAGGUACUUUUUCCUGAAUUCUAUUGUUAGAAAGAUCCAUGAACCGCAAAUGAUGUUGGUUUUGCAAGAAAUUAGGAAAUUUAGUAAGAUUGCAUGAACGCAGUCCUAUAUACUUAAGUUUCUGUGAAGUGGUAUCAGAAGUGGCUUUGGUGAGCACUGACAACCUAUUUAAUGAGAGACCUAAAAAUUCCAAAUUUUUCCAGCUAGUAAGUAAAACAUCUAACUCUAUCAUUCCUCUAUAAGAAUUUUGAGCAAGGUCAAGGGCGGUAAGUUGGGAAAGAUUCCUAAGUGAAGAUGUAAUUUGACCUGAAAAAUUACACUUAGCGACAUUUAUUGCUUCCAAUGAUCUAAGAUUUCCAAUGGGACCAAGUAGGUCACCUGAAAAAUUAUUCGAUCCAAGAUGCAAAUAUUGUAGCUGGGUGAAAUUACCAAUCGAAUGUGGAACUUUGCCCCAAAAACUAGAUGACCUCAGAUCAAAUAACUUCAAAGAACUAAAAUUUCCAGUGGACCAUGGAAACUCACCCGAAAAAUUAUUGAAUGAAAGGUCAAGUUUUUCCAAAGAAAAAAAUUUCGAAUGGAAGUAGGCAACUCACCAAAAUAUCCAUUUUGUGAAAGGUCAAGUUCUUUCAAAGAACCAAGAUUUCCCAUGGAAAUAGGCAAUUCACCAAAAAAUCUAUUUUGUGAAAGGUCAAGUUCUUUCAAAGAACUAAGAUUUCCAAUGGAAAUAGGCCACUCACUCGACAAAAUAUUUGCAGAGAGAUCAAGUUCUUCCAAUGAAUGAAGUUUACCAACGGAAACAGGUAGCUUACCCUGUAAUUCAUUUAGUGAAAGGUCUAAAUGAAAGAGCUUGGAUAGAUUACCGAGUGAGGAUGGAAUUCUUCCUCAAAUUUGUUAAAAAAGAAAAAAGAAAAAAGAACACUCGAGAUGGACAAACUUGGAAAGGCUGCUGCUAGAGUUGAUAGAACCAAAAAGGCAGCUAUGGGAGAGGUCAAGCUUGAUGACAUGACCAGUGUUCUUAUUGCAAUGAACUCCGUCCCAAGAGCAGCAAUCAACGUUACCUUCUUCUGGCUUCCAUGAUGCCAUUGUAGGACGACAGUCAAAUUUUGAAGCAUAAAAAUCAUUACUGAUGCGGCUUUCUUUGAAUUGCAACAAAGCAGAGCGCUCAUCAUCAUGGCAGAGUGGCGGCAUAGAAGAAGCAGUGAAGUUAGCAAUUGUAAAAUUAAAGAAAAAGAAAGGAAAAACUAACCGUAUGAAUAUUGUGAAUAAACAUAUGGAGGAUAAACCCAUAGUUUUCUCAAAAAUUAAAUUUGUUUAACUUUGUAGAUGUGAAGAAAUUUAAGGAUCUUGGUUUGCUUUUAUAGGCAAAUUGCAGCAAUUCAAACAUUUUAGUCAUUGGACUCUUUUUUUAUUUUUUUUAAGUCAACAAAAGUUAGUCUUAAUAAUAUUUAUUUUUUAUUAUUUGAUAUGAUGUCCCACAAAAAAAAAUUGAUUUAAUGUGUUAUUAACAAUCUAUCCAGAAAAAACAAUUCUUUAAUAGGAUCUAUCGAACUUGACCUAUGUUUAUAUUUCCUUUCAUUUUCUAUAAUUUCAUUUUCUGCAUUAAUUUGCUUCUUUUUGUUUUUUUUUCUCCUUUCCCCGCUUGUAUUUCCCUUCACGGCCAGUUGCGUAUCCUGCAUACUCGAGUUUAUGUGAUUGGCUUGAUGACUUUUCACUACAACUCAAAAAAAAAUUGAACCCAAAAAAGAAAACAAUUUUUUAAAAUAUAACACAGAUAAUAAUGGUGAGAGUAAUUUAGGUCAAUUCAAAAUCGCUAAUUUGGAGUCAGAUUCAUGUAUUAAUUGUAUCAUAAGUUACCAUCUCUGUGUCUAUGGCGUGGCAGAGGCUCACGGAAACUCCAGACUAGUGAGUCUAUCGUUACUGAAAAAUGCAUGAAUGGCAUGGAUGCAAAAGUAAAAAAAUUUGGAACUGAUGAUUAAGCCAUUAGCUAACAAUAAUUAACUUCUGAAGAGGCAACGUCCCACCCAAAAAAAAAAAAGAAAAAAAAAUGAUUUAAUGUGUUAUUAACAAUCUAUCCAGAAAAAAAAAAAAAUUAUUCAAUAGGAUCUAUCGAACUUGACCUGCGUUUAUAUUUCCUUUCAUUUUCUAUAAUUUUUCAUCUAAUGGGUCAAUGAAUUAAUUUGCUUCUUUUUUCUUUUUUUUCCUCCUUUCCCCACUUGUAUUUCCCUUCACGGCCCGUUGAGUAUUCUGCAUACUCGAGGGUAUGUCAUUGUCUUGAUGACUUUUCACUACAACUCUAAAAUUUUCCUCCCCAUGGCAUGUUGAUAUUAACUCCAAAUUAGCAAUAUUAUCACUGUCACUCUUCUUUGUAAACUACGCACUCGUUGGUUGAGUGAUGACACCUCCUCAACUUAAUUAUUCUCAGGGUCAAGAAUUUGAGUUUUACUCCUAGAUUUCUUAGCCGAUCUGCCAAUGCGCCAAUUUGUAAUGAGCUUUAGCUGAUGGUUUCUGAGAUGGGCUCUAAUUAGUGCACCUAAAAUGCAACAAAUAUCUCACGUUAACAACCCAAAGUUCCAUAAUAUCAUGCAAAAUCAUUCUAGAAGUUAAAAUUAGGUGUUAAUCCGAUACAAACACCAGAAAAAUUAAUGAAAUUUGGAUUUACUAAAAUUGCAUGAUUUAUUAAUUUAGAUCAAUUAAAAAUAUUUCAUUUUAUAGUGUCGGAUUCCCUAUAAGUCGUCAUAAAUCAUUAUCCAGACGAUCAAGGCCGGCGGAUAAAGACUCAAGACUAGAAUUAGAAGUCUUCGAGUAUCAAUCAUAUGUCGUGUCAGAAAAUUCUUUCUUAGUUCAAGCCAACUAAAGUUGAAUUCGCCAUAUCAUUAUAAUGGAUGUUAAUAUUGCUAACUUGGAGUCAAAAGUCAUGCGUUGAUUACAUUUGUAUUGUCUGAAUGACUAGGACGUGGCAAAGGCUCAUGGAAUAGAUCUGCUUCUUUUUUCUCCUUUCCCCACUACCACCAGUUCACUUAACUUUUCCUUCACGGCAUGCUGAAUGAGAUCUUCUACUCCAUCAGNNNNNNNNNNNNNNNNNNNNNNNNNNNNNNNNNNNNNNNNNNNNNNNNNNNNNNNNNNNNNNNNNNNNNNNNNNNNNNNNNNNNNNNNNNNNNNNNNNNNNNNNNNNNNNNNNNNNNNNNNNNNNNNNNNNNNNNNNNNNNNNNNNNNNNNNNNNNNNNNNNNNNNNNNNNNNNNNNNNNNNNNNNUUAAAUUGUCAAAAAGACUUGAAUGUUCUUAUCCUAAAAUAAGUUCCAUUAAAACAGUCAUAAUAUUUAUGGCAUGGUCCUACUUAAACCAGUAAAAUCUCUUGAACUAAUUUAAAGGUUCAAUCCUGCUCACAUGAGUAAGGAGAGGAUAGGGUAUUUGUUUAAAUUUUAUUGUAUUGAAUUUCGCACUUUCAAUACUUCUACGUAGUUAUUACGAUUUCAUCAAGUUUACGAUGUUAAUGAUCAAACAGUACACUUUCUAAACUAACUAAAAUAGUACCUAGCUAGCUAAUUAGAUAACGGAUUAAUGGAAUAGAUGUGGAUGUCUAGUUUUAGAGUUUGAUUUUUUUUUUAAAAUUAAUCAAAGAAAACAUAUUUUUAAUUUUGGGUUAUUGUACUAUUAAUUAAUAAUUUAAUUAAAAAAAUUUAUUUAUUUGCUUUCAUUCUAGUUGUUGAAAAUGCCUUUAAUAGGGGUUGGUUCAAUAUUUGGUUAGACUCUGAUUUCAUGCCGGCGAUCCAACUCCUUCUCUUCAUCCCUCUUUGACCAUUUGCAAUGUACUUGCAUUGCAAAUGUCUGUAGUCAAACUUGGGUCUUCAAUGUACUCACAUCCCUUGGUAGGAUUUCUCUCCUUCAAAGAUUAACGCUCUUUCUUCUCGAGAUGCAAAUGGCUUUUCAAAUUGUCAUUUUUGUUAAUAUAGGUCCUACAUUCAUGGUUUUCCUUAAGAUUUUAUAUCAUCUUAGCUUUAUGCAUUUAAAGAGUGAGAUUUUAUAUCACCUUAGCUUUAUGCAUUUAAUGAGGGAUAGGGUUUACUAUAUCCCCUAAUUAAUUGUGUUAAGUCUAUUUUUUAUAGAGUUGACAUCUUAUGGCAAGUUUGGUAAAUUGAAAUUUUAUUUACUGAAUUUCAUGUAAUAGUGAAAUGGCCCGCCCCGAACCCCAGGGUGAGUCUAUUUAAUCUCAUCAAAACUGGAUUGAUAAUAAUCUAAUUAGUGAAAAUUCUGUCGAAAAUUCGGCAAAGUCUCCUUUAUAAAUAUAACACUCCCAAUCUGAAAAUAUGUAAAACAAGCACUUCCAAAAUAAUUCAAUUUAUAAUAAACUCCAAUGAUCAACAUCCUCAACCAAAAUGCUGAGUGUUUCUCAAGAUAUCUCUAGAGUCUCAAAGGAUAAUAUUAUAAUUAAUAUUAAUAUACCUCAGUUUAUUCUUAAUCCCAAAAGAACAAGAUAACCAGGAUGUCCUAACAAAAAGCAUCUAUAUCUUCUAACACCAUCACGUGGCCAAGACUCAAAAUACUUCUGAAGAGGCAACGUCCCACCAAAAAAAAAAAAAUUUUGAUUUAAUGUGUUACUAACAAUCUAUCCAGGGAAAAAAAAAUUCUUUAAUAGGAUCUAUCGAACUUGACCUGUGUUUAUAUUUCCUUUCAUUUUCCAUAAUUUGUCAUCUAAUGGGUCAAUGAAUUAAUUUGCUUCUUUUUUUGUUCUCCUUUCCCCACUUGUAUUUCCCUUCACGGCCAGUUGACUAUUCUGCAUACUCGAGUGUGUGUCAUUGUCUUGAUGACUUUUCACUACAACUCUAAAAUUAUCACUGUUACUCUUCUUUGUAAACUACGCACUCGAUGGUUGAGCGAUGACGCCUCCACAACUUAAUUAUUCUUAGCCGAGCUGCCAAUGCGCCAAUUUGUAAUGAGCUUUAGCUGAUGGUUUCUGAGAUGGGCUCUAAUUAGUGCACCUAAAAUGUAACAAAUAUCUCACGUUAACAACCCAAAAUUCCAUAAUUUCAUGCAAAAUCAUUCUAGAAGUUAAAAUUAGGUGUUAAUCCGACACAAACACCAGAAAUAUUAAUGAAAUUUGGAUUUACUAAAAUUGGCAUGAUUUUUUAAUUUAGAUCAAUUAAACAUAUUUUUAAUUUUUAUAGUGUCGGAUUCACUAUAAGUCGUCAUAAAUCAUUAUCAACAGACGUUCAAGGCCCGCGGAUAAAGACUCAAGACUAGAAUUAGAAGUCUUCCAGUAUCAAUCAGUCUUAGGUGAUGGCAAGCUCGAUUUCAGUCAAGUGGUUUAGGUCUUUGCAUGUUCUAUGCAUAUGUCGUGUCAGAAAAUUCUUUCUUAGUUCUAAGCCAACUAAAGUUGAAUUCGCCAUAUCAUUAUAAUGGAUGUUAAUGUUGCUAACUUGGAGUCAAAGUCAUGCGUUGAUUGCAUUUGUAUUGUCUAUAUGACUAGGACGUGGCAAAGGCUCAUGGAAUAAAUCUGCUUCUUUUUUCUCCUUUCCGCACUACCACCAGUUGACUUAACUUUUCCUUCACGGCAUGCUGAAUGAGAUCUUCUACUCCAUCAGUGCAUUUAGGAUUCGAUUUCUAAUUUGUCCGAAGUCUCUGCAUUUUCUUGAACUCUCUACUCUUCCUCGUGUAAUUAAGGAGGAUUAAAGUAAAAGAAAAGGGUAGAACCAGAUAUUCCUAUUUGUUGCACUAACUAUCAGAUUUCCAUAUUAUAGUAAUUAUUGGCCAAAAACAUAAUUUUUUAUUUAAAUUGUCAAAAAGACUUGAAUGUUCUCAUCCUAAAAUAAGUUCCGUUAAAACAAUCAUAAUAGUUAUGGAAUGUUUAUAACUAGAAUGAAUGCUCCUACUUAAACUAGUAAAAUCUCUUGAACUAAUUUAAAGGUUCAAUCCUGCUCACAUGAGUAAGGAGAGGAGAGGGGAUUUGUUUAAAUUUUAUUGUAUUGAAUUUCGCACUUUCAAUACUUCUACGUAGUUAUUACGAUUUUAUCAAGUUUACGAUGCUAAUGAUCAAACAGUACACUUUCUAAACUAACUAAAAUAGUACCUAGCUAGCUAAUUAGAUAACGGAUUAAUGGAAUAGAUGUGGAUGUCUAAUUUUUGAGUUUGAAUUUUUUUUAAAAAUUAAUCAAAGAAAACAUAUUUUUAAUUUUGAGUUAUUGUACUAUUAACUAAUAAUUUAAUUGAAAAUUUAUUUAUUUGCUAUCAUUCUAGUUGUUGAAAAUGCCUUUAAUAGGGGUUGGUUCAAUAUUUGGUUGGAGUCUCCGAUUUCAUGGUGGCGGUCCAACUCCUUCUCUUCAUCCCUCUUUGACCAUUUGCAAUGUACUUGCAUUGCAAAUUUCUGUAGUCAAACUUGGGUCUUCAAUGUAGUCACAUCCCUUGGUAGGAUUUCUCUCCUUCAAAGAUUAACGCACUUUCUUCUCGAGAUGCAAAUGGCUUUUCAAAUUGUCAUUUUUUUUAACGUGGGUCCUACAUUCACUAUUAGAAAAAUGGGCUACCAUGACAGAAUUUUUAUGAUAAAUAUUAGAAAAUUAGUCAUUUAUCACAAGAAUGUGAUAGACACAUGAAAGAAUUUUCAUACAUCAUAAAGCCAUGUCAGAUUUGUGAUAGAGUUUUUAUAUAUCAGAUAAACAUGAUAGCAUAUAAAUAUUUAAUCAAACCGUGAGUUUCAGAUGGAAUUAAUUUGGGCAUGAAACGACACCGUUUAACAGAUUUAAAAAAUUUUAAAAAUAAAAAUAUUUAUUUAAUAUUUAAACGCUAUCAUUUAACUAUAUUGACUAAACCACAAAAAAAUUAAGUGUUGGCACCUUUGACUUAUCACUUCAUCAGCAAGGGCUGAGAAACCAAAGCAGUGAAACCCCUCAAAAUCUAAAAUUAACCUAUUUUAAUCUACAAAUUGGUUUUGAAACCCAUUGCAUGGAAACCAAAAUCAUAGUAUAUGCUAUUGAAGGAGCCUUCGUGUCCUUAUUUUAAACCCCCAUUAUUUUGAACCGAUUGGUUUUAGGCACAAAAUCACCACACACGCUCAUUGCUGCGCCUUCGCGUCCAUUAUUGAAGCCGUCGGUGUCACUACUUCUUUGUAUUGUUCAAUCGGCGUUAGAGAAGCCAUCCUGUAAUUGUUUAAUCCCUAGGUUUGUCAUCAAUUAACUUUUUUAAUUUUUAUUCUGAAUAAAUCAAUUGGCCAUUAUAAAAUUAAUUGUUAGUUUUGUUGUUAUCUCCCUUAUUUGUUCAUAAUUUAUGCCCUUUGUUUUGGGAGUUAUAUUAUGAAUGGUUUAUGUUUAUUAUUUAUUUAUUUUAAUUCUUGUUUGUUUCUGUUGUUAUAUAUAUAUUUUUAGUUCAAGAAGCUUAUACUUUGUCCUUUUAUUAAAUCUAGAAAUUGCUCAAUCAUUUAAUUUAGCAUGUCCUCUUCUUUUUUAACAAAAUUUUUUUGUUCUGAAUCGCAAGAUCUCACUGCCCUGUUCGCUUUCAAACUCGAUUUCUAACAUCACGUUUGUUCAAUUUUUUACUUGCCUUUCCGUUCAAUGUUUAAAAAAUGUUUGCUGGUAAUGGUUUGUUUGUUAUAUUCUAUAAUUUUUCAGUCAAAGCUUGCAUGUGUGUGAAGUGAUUUUGGUUGAUGAUAUAGCACUUUUCAUUUACUAGUGUCUUUUAUUAGGAUGAAGCUGAAACUGUGGUCCAAUGGUGUUGGCAUUUUUUUUAAUGAUUGUGAGCCAGAUUUUGUGUAUUUUAUUGAGUUACAAAGUAAGGCCCCCUUUUUCAAUUGUCUUUUUUAUGUUUGAAGGAAGUGGUACCAUGUGGGGGCAAGUUUGGUCAUGUGGACCAAGUAAUGUUUAGUUGCUUAUCUAUAUAUAGUCUUGUGGUCCAUGAAAUGCUGGAUUGUUAGAAUUUUUUUUAAAAUAAAUGUUAAAUGUAUAUAGGCCAAGUUAUUUAGGAUAUUAUUAGUUGGGUAUGGUUAGUCGGUGAUUUUGGUAAAUGAUGAUAGCAUGUUGGUAAAUGAUGAUAGCACAUGAUGACAAGUUUUGUUUUAAACUUAUUUAUUUUAUUAAAUUUAUAAACUGAAUAUUAAUAAUGUUUUGUUGCUUAAUUUAUUGAUAAUGAAAACCGUUUAUCAUUGUUGCCCAUUAGUACAUUAUGUUGAAAUUUAUCUCAAUUAUAUGUCAGGCACUAGACAAAAUAUGGAUAAAUCUUGGCUUAAAUAUGAUAGAUUGUCCGAUGAGUAUAAGGCUAGUGUGGAAAAAUUUAUUAAGACCACAGUUGAAAGUAAUCAAGAAAUUAGUGUUGUUAGGUGUCCAUGUGAUAAAUGUCGGAAUUUAGCAUUUCAUAGGCCUAAAGAAGUGAAAGAUUAUUUAAUUAUAUGGGGUUUUGUUACGUCAUACAAAACAUGGGUUUGGCAUGGGGAAGAUAUCUGUAACAAAUCUCUUGACAAUAUAGGUUGCCAAAAUGACAGUGGAUAUAUGGAUUAUGAUGGUGGUAAUAUUGUUGAAAUGGUUGAAGAUGCUUUUAAGGAUUGUGAUAGUGAUCCUAAAGCAUUCAAAAAACUAUUAGAAGAUUCUGAAAAGCCUUUGUACCUUGGAUUAAACAAAUUUACCCAGUUAUCAGCUUUAGUUAAAUUGUACAAUAUAAAGGGCAGAUAUGGGUGGUCUAAUAGUAGCUUUUCAGAUUUGUCGAGUGCUCUUUCUAACAUGUUACCGGAAGGAAAUGAAUUGCUUGUAUCAAUGUAUGAGGCCAAAAAGACAAUGAGUGCUUUAGGCUUAGAGUUAUAAAAAUUCAUGCUUGUGCAAAUGAUUGUAUACUCUAUAGAAAAGAGUAUGAAAGCCUUUCUAAUUGUCCUACAUGCUGCUUAUAGGAAGGAGGUUCCUGCAAAAGUGUUAUGGUAUUUCCCUUUUAUACCUAGAUUUAGGUGUAUGUUUCAGUCCUCACAAACUGCCAAAGACUUGACUUGACAUGUAAAUGAGAGGGAAAUAGAUAUUAAGCUUCGACAUCCAAUUGACUCACCCGCAUGGAAGUUAGUUGAUGAAAAAUUGCCUACCUUUGCAUUAGAGCCUAGAAAUCUACGUCUUGCCCUAUCAGCUGAUGGCAUUAAUCCUCAUAGCUCUCUUAGUAGUACGUAUAGUUGCUGGCCGAUUCUUCUUGUAACAUACAAUCUUUGAAACAACCCGCCCCGAACCCCCGGGGAUGAGUCUAUCUAAUCUCGCCUAAACGAAUUAAUAAUAAUUAUAAUAUCUAAGAAUUCUACCAAAAAUCUAGCAAAGUCUCAUAUAUAAUUAUGACAUCCCCAAACUUGCAAUUUAUAAAAUUAAACCUGCAAUUUAUAAAAUUAACGCUCCCAAAAAUGAUACAAUAUUCAAUCAACCUCCACAACCAACUUCCUCAAUCAAACACCAAUAUUCUUCAAACAUAUAAUGUCAAGAAUACAAUAAUUUAUCCUUAAUCACAAAUAAAUAAUAAAUUAUACAAUUCAAAAUAUCCCAACAAAACAUCUAUGAUUCCUAACACCAUCAUGUAGUCAUAAUUUCAAAUCUAACUAUCGUUGCUGGGUCGACUGAUGUACCUGCAAAUCUCCUGUGGGGGGAAAAAAUAUAAUAAAAACGGGAUGAAUAUAAAACUCAGUGAGCUCAGUGAGUGGAUAGUAAUUUUUGAAAAAAUAAAUUUAUUUAAAAUGAUUUAAUCUUUCCCAAAUCAAUUUCAUCAAAAAUAUCAUAAGAACUUACAUAAACUUAUUUAAUUCAAAUCAUGCACUGAAAUAACAAUAUUACAUAAAUAUGCGUAAAAUCAAUGAAAUCAUAAUACUUAUGAUAUCAAAUACUGAAUACCAAAAACUAUCACCAAACAAGUACCCAGGAGAAUAAUCUCAUCAUAUUCGGACCUCGACGGACGGGCAAUCAGGGAACCAUCAUGCCUCGGAGUUACAACAGAUAGACGGGGAAAUGUCAUAUCAUAUCUCAUAUAUCUCAUUAUAUCUGUGCAUGCAUAAUCUGGUCCCUAAAUGACAAGGCACCCAAGCACACGGCCCAAAGUCUCUGUGUGUAUUCAGACGGGCCCUAAAGGCCUAUAUCUCAUCUGUAUCAUCAUAUCUCGUCUGUAUCAUCAUAUCUCGUCUGUAUCAUCAUAUCUCAUUUGUAUCAUCUGUAACUCAAUAUUUGUAUCUCUGUAAUCACCAUACUGCAUGCAUAUUCCCCCAAAAGGCAAAAGCGCCCAAACACACGGCCCAAAGCCUCUAUGUGUGUUCAGACGGGCCCCAAAGGCCUCUCAUCUAAUAUCAUAUGUAUCACUGUAUCUGGAGGCGAUGGGUACUGUCCAAUGAUUUUCUAAACAACCUUUUACACACAUGUACAUAAACAUAUAAUCACAUCUGAAUUCGCAUUACCUUUUUAUUCAACAUACUCAAUUCCACUCAAUUCUCUUUAAAACUAUUAUCAUGAAUUUACUCAAAAGCGAUAAUAAAAUCAUUAAUCAAACUCAUUCUUAAUAAUAAUAAAUAUCAGCACGCAGAAAAAAAUCCAUUUUCUAGAAAAUCAUUAAAUCGAAGCAUCAAAUACUUAUUAUCAAAACAUGUUGUAUUGUAUAGUAAAAUCAUAAUAUACUAUAAAAAUAGGUUUUAUAUAUUCCACUCAGAGUGAUGACGUCCAAACUCGGUAUUAACAAUAUUCAUGGGUUGAUUCUCGUGCGCGGGUCCUCCUAAUCAAGAAAAUGACAUAAUCAUUCUCUAUAAAUUUGAAAUAUAACUAAUUUUACAUAAUAAUUCUCGAAACAAAUAUCUAACCACAAUAAACUAUUCCCGCAUGCACAAAAUUACCAAAAUACCCCUAUAUGCCAAAAUUACCAAAAUACCCCUAACAUCAUUAUUUUACAAAAUUAUCCUCAGAAUCUUCAAUUACCAAACUAUCCUCAAUUCAGAUCACAAAAAUAACCACAAUGUCAGAAAAUUACAAAAUUACGUUGGAGUGUAAAAUUACCAAAAUACCCAACAACGUAAAUUAUUGAAUUACCCCCAAAAUCUCAAAUUACCUAAUUGUCCUAGUCCGAAAUUACAAAAUUAUCCACCGAUUCCAAAAAUUACAAAUUUAUCCUCGAAGUUUAUGAAAUUACUGAAUUACCCCCAUCGGUCCACGGUGACCGGAGUUCAGUCAACGCGACGUGAAGCUCAGGUCUAAUAGUUUUGACCACGCUGAGUCCAAUGGUGGUGGCUGUGAGUUCCCACGCACGGUGACAGUGGCGGAUCGAGCUUCCCAAUCUGCGAGCUUUCUGGUGGUCGAUCGGUGGAAUUUCGACCGUUUCAGGAGGCGAGGUUGGUCGGAAAAUGAUAAGGGUUAGGUGAGGAUCAAGAUCCAGGCAGUGGCAUCACCCAAAAUUGGCGGAGUUAACGGUGACGAAAACGGGUUGAGCUGCGGGUUUUCCGAGCUUGAUCACCGGUGUUCUCGUUGUUUUCCAACGACGAGGAAGGUAAGGGUAUGACCAGUGUCUCACAAGCUUUCUAUCCGUACCUUGCUCGGCCGGUGAGGUGGCCAAAAAUGGAAGUUACGAUAGGGUCAGGGUUGCGGGUUUCGGGUCGAAUUCGGGUCAAAAUCGGGUCUAUCUCUCUCCCGCGCCCUCUCACAUCUUUCCUUUUUUUGAAACCGGCUCCCUUCUUUCAAUUUAUAGAAACUAGCUUUUUUUUUUAACUUACUUCGAAUUAAGCCAAUGUCAAACCCGUGUUGAAAUAAAAUCCGACUACACAACCAUUGAAUCGUGUUUGAAAUGUCUCAAUUUUAUGUUGUGACAAAUUUAAAUUUAUUCAAAACACGAUCCAUUUAUUAGCUCGACCCGAAUCCAUUAAUUCAUGGUAAGAAAUCGACCCGCGUCAAGUUUGCUCGUAAUAAUUUGUAGCCAAUCUGAUGACUUUAAAAUUAAUACUAAAAUGAAAAACACAUAAUACACUUAACUAGGAAAAAUUAAGGUGCAUAUAUUAUAAUCCUCCCCCGUAUAAAAAUUUUGUCCUCGAAAUUUACACAUCUGAUGAGAACAGGUGAGGGUAUUGGGCUCGCAUUAAGUCUUCGCGUUCCGAAGUAGCCUCUUCCCUUGUGUGAUUCCUCCACAACACUUUUAAGUUGUAUAUUCUCAUUAGUAUUCUAAACCAAUUCGGGACCAAAAAGCUUUCGCUCACCAACCUCAUCCCAACAUACGGGAGUUCUAUAUUUUUUGCCAUGCAAAGCCUCAUAAGGUGCCAUCUCGAUACUAGCUUGAUAACUGUUAUUAUAAGUAAACUCCAUCAAGGGUAAAUAAAUGUCCCAACUACCCUUAAAUUCCAAAACACAAGCUCGUAACAUAUCCUCCAGGGUUUGAAUAGUACGCUCUGACUGACCAUCAGUCUGUGGAUGAAAAGUUGUCCUAAAAUUCAGCUUGGUGCUUAAUGCCUUUUGCAAGCUUGUCCAGAACUUAGAAGUGAACUGGGAAUCUCUAUCUGAAACAAUAGACACAGGUGCUCCGUAAAGCUGAACCAUCUCGGCCACAAAAAUAUUCCCUAACUUGUCCAUCGAAUAGGUGGUCUUGAAUGGUAAAAAGUGAGCAGAUUUUGUAAGUCGAUCAAAAACCACCCAAACACUAUCAUGACCACCUUGGGUACAUGGAAGUCCCGCUACAAAAUCCAUGGUGAUGUGCUCCCACUUCGACUCAAGGAUCGGAAGCGGUUGCAAAAACCCUGCAGGUCUCUGAUGUUCAGCCUUAAUCUGCUUACAAACUAAACACCAAAAUACAAAUUCUGCUAUCUCUCUCUUCAUAACUUGCCAUCGGUAAUGAUCCCUCAAGGUACGAUAUAUCUUCGUACUACCAGGAUGCAUUGUGUAAGCUGAAUAAUGAGCUUCUUCCAUGAUCUCCUUUUUCAGCUCCUUAAUAUUGGGUACACAAAGUCGAUUACCCAUAACUAAAACUCCAUCAUCUCUCACUACAAAAUCAGUUCGUAAGCCUUUCAGUACAUCCUCUCUUAACUUUAAUAAUUGUAUAUCCUGAUCUUGCAUCUGAUGUACUUUGUCAAUCAAAGUCGGCCUAACUCAAAAAUUAGCUAUCAAAGCUCUGCAAUUUUCAAUAUCCAACUCAACUCCCAAAGAUCUCAGCUCGAUCAAUAAAGGCAUAUAUGUCACUCACAAGUGAGCUAUAGAGCUGGAAGACUUCCUACUUAGCGCAUCAGCUACCACAUUCUCUUUGCCCGGAUGAUAAUCAAUAGUGCAAUCAUAGUCUUUAAUUAGCACAAUCCAUCUCCUCUACCUCAAAUUUAACUCUUUUAGAGUAAACAAAUACUUUAAUCUCUUGUGAUCAGUGAAAAUCUGGCAUGUUGCCCCGUAUAAAUAAUGCCUUCAUAUCUUGAGUGCAAAUACCACUGCUGCCAGCUCUAAAUCAUGAGUUGGGUAGUUUUGUUCAUGCUUUUUAAGUUGUCUAGAAGCAUAAGCCACUACUUUCCCAUAUUGCAUUAGCACACAACCCAAUCCUUGCCUGGAUGCAUCACUGUAUACUACAAACCCUUCAUUACCAGAAGGAAGUGUAAGAACUGGUGCUGAAGUAAGACCUGUCUUGAGUUCUUGAAAACUCUUUUCACAGUCAUCAUCCCACUGGAACUUAGCAUUUUUUUCUAGUUAAUCGUGUCAGAGGAGUAGCAAUCUUAGAGAAUCCCUUGUGCAAAUUUUAUUGAACUCGCAAGUGCACGAAUCUAUUGUAGAAUAUAGUAAUGGUGACGAGUGUCGAUCCCACGAGGAUGUGGAUUUUAAUUAUGUGUAAAAUUAAUUUUCUAAGUGGGUGGUUGGAUUUGUGGUGAAAAUGAUUUGGAAUAUUCUAAAAUUUAAAUUAGAAUGGCGGGAAUAAAUUAAAGCGAAGUCUAUUGAAAUGAAACACUUGGGUAUCUGGAUCUACAUCAACAUGUACCAUGAGCUAAAUAUUCCUUAUUAAUGUCAAUUAAAUCAUAAGGGGGGUUUUCACUUCUCAUGAACCACACUCUAAUCAAUAUGGUUCUAAGGGCUUAUCAUGCCAAAUAGUAAUAACCUUGCACUAGGGAGCCAGUUAUACCAGUGCGGUAUCUAGACAAGAUUAUUACUAUCUGUCGACGAAAAGUCAAAACAUCCACAUAAAUUAGAGGGGAAGAGAAAUAAAUUUACCAAAUCAAACCCAUGGAAUAUAUUGAGACUUCACCUUCAACCCAAGCUUGAAAGAAAAUUAGCUACUCAUAAUUGAAUUAGGGGUAAAAUGAGAAUUUAUUAAAAUACGUAGAAAAUACAAGAUGAAGAAGGAAUUAUAGAAAAUGGAGUUAAAAAAUGAAUUUAGGGGUCUCAAAUUAGGGGGGAGCCCCCUUUUUAUAGAUACACUGAGUAAAUCAUGGCCAUCGGAUUAAAAAUAAUUUGGACGCUCAGAAUUGCGCCACGUGUCAACAGUACGCGGUUUGACCAUGCGGUUUGAAUAGUGACGCGGUGUGAACAGUGAGGCGGCUUGAAUAGUGACACAGUUUAGUUAUAAAUAAUUUCGUGUAUAUGCAUGUACCGUACGCACGAUUUUUGGUCCACUAACAUACUGCCAUGUCACCGAAACAGUACAUAAAAAUUUUAGUCCAAUAGGAUCGUGACACCUCAUCAGUUAAUGUCACGUCAUCGAUCAAUGCCACGUCAUAGUUCCGUAUAUGUGAACAGUGUCGUAAACAGUAAUAUGGACAGUUUCGUACAUGUAAAUAGUGCCAUUUUUUUCUUUUAUGCUCCUCCUAAGAUUUUCGACUGUCCUGAGUUCAAAAGUGUUGUCCGUUUUACUGUCUGAUCUCUCGUUCAUUGUGAAAUGACCAUGAUGCCCCUAAAAUACAUAAAAUACUUAAUUAUAAUACAACACACAUAAUUAAAUCACAAGAGACUUAAAUACAUAAAAGUAGGGAUAUUAGUGAAAUUUGGAGUGUAAAUGACGAUUUUCUCCUAUAUAAAUAUAUAUUUUCUAACACUCAACACACCCCCCAACCAGCUUAUUGCUAGUCCCUAGUAAUUAAAGUGAAAACAAAAUUCAAACCCAAAAUGAUUUUUUUUUAAAAAACUCAUAUUUAUUGAAUCAGACUAAUGAUAGCAAUCAAAUAAAAGUAUAAGCAUUAUCUUUAGUAUAAAGGAAUAUCACUCCCACAUCAACCAUCCACAUGAAUCAGUCAAGUAGACUUUGUCACAGCUACUUUCAAGAAUGAUAUGUGAAACCCCAAAAUCUCAUUGGAAGUAGUGACACUCUCACAAGGAAAUUAAACCCAAUAAAAAUAGUCACUCCAAUGAAUGUUAAAUUUGAGAGAAAAUAAUAAAGAAGUAAUAUCACACGCUCUCACCAAGAUAAAAGAAAUAUGCCCACAACUUAGAAAUAAUACGAUCUUAAGUCAAAUAAAAUGCUAGUCAACCCAAUUUUUUUUUUUAAUGCACCACUACAUCUUUUUAGCUCAUAUAACUAGCUUCUACUUCAGACUAUAGAUCCCUAAAAUAAAGAAGGGCUUUUAUUAGGAUGUAACGUAGUAUAGGAACAUGGUUAACAAAAGAGGGGAAAUAAGGAAAACAAAAUAUAUGUUUGAGAAAAAGUAGAGAGCUUUUGGAAAUUACAAAGUGCAUUUCGCUUAUUUAUUAUUAUUGUUAUUUUUUUCUUUUUCUCUCUUUUUUUUUUGAAACAAAAUUUUUUUGUUUUGUUUUGUCUUUUGUAUGGCACAACUUCACUGAACAAAAUAGUUAUUUACAUUGUUCUCAAACAUAAAUAGGUGAUGAAACUUGUAAGAUAUCAGGUAAUACUCUAAAUCAGAGAUGGUCAAGAGGAUAAGUUGACAAAGAAAUUUUUUUUUUUUUAAUAUAUAUGAAAGGCUCAAAAGGGUUAACUAUGGAUAUUUCACAAAAGGGAUGACUAGAAAAGCUCAAACGGGUCAAAGAUGACCUUUUUAUCAUCUUUUAGGGCUCUAAAUAAUCUUCCAUAUCUACUAGUUAGAUGGACCUUCAGAUGUAGCGACACAUUUUUUUUUCUCUUUUUUUUUUAGAGGAUUGACUCAAAAGAAAUCUAGAGAUCGUGUACAAAAUAAUAAACUGCUAAGCUGUAUGAGGAAUGGGCAAAAAUGGUUACUCUCCAAAAAAAAUGACAGGCUAAAAAAUUCACUUAGUUUUCAUUAUGACAUGUACAUUCCUUCAAGCAACUCAUAUUUGUCUCCGACAUCAACAUGUAGAGUAGCAAACAUGGCGUAACAUCACUUAAGACCAAAGAUAAUACAAAUACUAAAAUUUGAAAGUCAUCAUGUCAUCCAAUGUUAAAAAAAAUCACACAAUUUUUUUUUUUUUUAGGUUCAAACGACAUUCUACCCCCCAACCUAUUCUAAACAUGAAAAUAAAAUAUGCAUGUAGAAAGGUGAAAAUGAUGCAGAAAAACUAAUUAGAAAGGUUACACUUAAAAUGAUAGAAAAAGGAAAUGUUUGAAAUUUUUUUUUUACCUAAGAAGAUGUGUUUCUAGAGUCAUUACACUCAAUAUUCAGCCAUCUUCAAAUCAAAAAUUUGAAAGUAUAUAUUUAUAAAUGAGAAAUUAGAAAAAAGAAGUUAGAAAAAAUUGAUUGUCAAAGCUUAAUAAAGAAAAUGUUUGGAUUUUUUAUUUUUAUUUUUACUUCCAAACCAAGAAGAUGUGUUUCUAGAGUCAUUACACUCCAUAUUCAGCCAUCUUUAACACAAAAAGUUAGUCACGGUUAGUCUCUACAACAAAAAAAAUAAGUAAAAACUUAACCAAGAUUCCACAAUUGUCAACUAUUCCCUCCCCCCAACCAGAAUGAAACAUUGUCCUCAAUGUUUUAAAGGAAAGAAGUAGAGUUUAGAAGACAUUACCUGGGUGGUGCAACACAUAAGAAAAUAUUUACAAGCGGAGAGUUAAAUCUAAUUUACACUUCUUACUGCUGCUACUGUUCCCAUCAUUAUUUGGACACUCCAACACCAAGGUCCUGGGAUCUGGGUCUGGUUGAUAAGCUUGUAACAGAUCAAGUAGCUCAUUAGCAGUAUGAACACAAAUAAAAACGUUUUUCGCUGUGGAAUGAAUGAAAUAGUUUUUUAUUGCAUGGUUAAUAAAUGAGAUGAAGCCAUCAUAAAAAUUAUUGACAUUUAACAAACUAAUCGAUUUUUGGUGAAUGUUCAGAUGGACCCAAGAUGCUAAUGUGAUAAGUGCCUCUAGAGUUGCAAGAUCUCCUGGUAGGAAAAUAAAAGCAUCAAUAUGAUUUAGCAUUUCAUUUAUUCUCUCUUGCAUAACUGAGACUACUAACUCUUCUCCAGUCGGUGAGUCAGACAAACUACGCAAAGGCUUUAAGGCUCUUGGGAUGAUGCCUAACACUUGGCUUCCUCUAACAAAAGCAGCUUCUGAGACCAAUUUUGAUAGCCCUCGGUUACCUCCUCCAUACAAUAAGUGUAAUUUUCUCUCUGUUAUGCUUCGACCAAGAUCUAUGGCUGCCUCAACGAACUCUUUAUGUUUGCCACAGUUAAAUUUAGAAAGCACACAAAUAUUUUUGAAUUGCUUAUUGGGAGUAGCUGCCAUUAGGAUACUUCUAGAAAACAAUGUGUGUGUGCUUAACAAAAAAUCAUUUUUAAAAAUCUUGGUGACAGUGGGUCACAGCUUUGUAUGAGGUAGCAUGUCUGUGUUUAGUAACGCGUAAAGCACAUGGCUCGAGAAUAAAAAAGGAAACAAUAAAAAGGAAAAAAAACAAUGUUAAAAUAAAAUUAUUAAAUACAAUAAUGCAAAUGAUAAAACAACAGUGAAAUAAAACAAUAGUGAAGUAAAAGGAUAUUUACAGGUAGUUGUGACUGUAGCUCACAUCUUCCUCUAGUUUUACGUCUAGAAAUGGCUUGAACGCCCUCUAUGGGUCGAGGAUGGGCUUCCCAUCCAAUUUUCUUAUAAACUGGAAAACAUGGUUAUAAUUAGAUUCCCGAGACUAUAUAGUGCACGCUCUUUCUGGAAUAAUGGCCACAACUGGAGAAUUGCUCCUUGUACAUAUCCACUGGGAUGCGUUUCAAGAGACAAAAGGAUAUCAUCCAAUGAUUAUUUAUUCAAGCCAUCCCUAAUGAAUUGAAUCUUAUAUUCCCUAUUAUUAGACAUCAUUCCUAAAGAACAUCAUUUUUUAUCGCAUCUCAUUCUGGUACACUUAUGACAAGCAACAAAAAGUCUUCGAGCUUUUCGUUUUCUUGUAUUAUUUCCUUUACCACAACCACACAUGUAUGCAAUAAAUUUAGGAGGCAACUCACCUGCCAAUCGUACCUUGGCCUCGAUUAACUAGCGGAUGUCAGCAGGUAUGUUAUUCCUCAUAAGCAAUCGCAUGCGUUCGAACCGAGAUUUAUAGAUUGUAAAGAUUGUGAAGCUUUGCUAAAAUCUUAUUUUUGUCCAUACUUUGCCUUAGAAUAUUAGUUAUUAUGGGAAACUGAAGUAACCGACUUGAUUGUCACGGAGUACUGUUAUUCGCCACUUAACCGGGUAACAAACUAAAGUACACAAACAAAGUAACAAACUAAAACACACAAAGAAAAUUACAAUCAUCCUCUUAUUGAAUUUACCUCAAGCUCCAACUGGAUGUCGAAGAUACCUGCCUCAAUGUCUCUGAGUUGUCUUUCUAAAGCCUCAACAUGAGAUACUAACUCUGGUGGUUGUAGAUCCCAAAUAUGAUGUGUUUUACAAAAUCGAAUCUGGCUUCUGAGAUGAGAUUUUACACAUUCAAGUCGUCUAAGAAGGUCCAAGAGGAUUUGUUUAACUGAGGCACUUAUGCUUAACAAUGAUAAAAUAAAACUUAAUGGUUAAAUAAAUACACUUAUGCAAAAAUAAUUUCAAUUAGCAAAAGAAUAGUAAAAAGAAAGAAAAAAAAAUCAAAUCACCGUAAAGAAAGAAAAAUCUCUAUUCAAAUUUGGUGGGUCACUCAGAUUUAUUUCAGUGUCCUCUCCAUGUUGUUGGUACUCUAGAUAUGCCUUUAAUAUUUGACCAUUAACUUUAAAAGUGACACCGUUCUUUGGAUCCUUAAUUUCAAUUGCUUAAUGUGGAAAAACAGUGUGAAUAAUAAAAUGGCCAGACCAUCGAGAGUGUAACUUACCUUGGAAUAAGUGUAAGCGAGAAUUGAAUAAAAGCACUUUUGACCUGGAGUGAAAGAUUUUCUCAUAAUUUGCUUGUCAUGAAAGACUUUCAUUCGCUGCUUGUAAAUCUUGGCUUUUUCGUAUGCAUCAUUGCGAAUUUCUUCAAGUUCUGCCAGCUGUAAUAUUCUUUCUGAGCUAGCUUGCUACAUGUUAAAGUUGAAUUUCUUGAUGGCCCAGUACGCACGAUGCUCGAGUUCUACAGGUAGGUGGCAAGUUUUUCCAUACACUGGCCUGUAGGGUGACAUCCCAAUCGAGGUCUUGAAAGCCGUUCUAUAUGCCCAUAAUGCAUCAUCGAGUCUUAAUGACCAAUCUUUUCUGUCUGGCUUCACCGUCUUUUCUAAUACGUGUUUUAUUUCUCGAUUAGAGAUCUCAACUUGGCUAUUGGUUUGCCGAUGAUAUGGGGUCGCCACUUUGUGAGUGAUGGAAUAAUUUGUCAAAAGAACUUUGAAUGCUUUGUUACAAAAGUGGGCACCACCAUCACUGAUUAUUGCUCGAGGGAAUCCAAAGCAUGAAACGAUGUUGCUUUUCAAAAAUCCUAUCACCACCUUGUGAUUAUUGGUUCUACAUGGAAUUGCUUCUACUCAUUUUGAUACGUAGUUAACAGCAACCAAUAUGUAUUGAUGGCUAAAAGAAGGGGGAAAGGGUCCCAUGAAGUCGAUACCCCAUACAUUAAAAAUUUCAACCACUAAAAAUGGGUUUAGUGGCAACAUAUUCCUUCGUGUAAUGCUCCCCAUUCGUUGACACCUAUCACAUGAAGAGCAGAAAGUGUAAGCAUAUCGAAAUAUAGUUGGCCAAUAGAAACCACAUUGUAAAACUUUAGUAGUUGUUUUCUUAGCGCUGAAAUGGCCUCCACAAGCUUGUUCAUGAUAGAAUGAAAUUCUUUAUUUCCAUAAAAAAUUUGGCUUUAUCUUGCUUGGUCCAAUGCUCUGGAAGUUGACCUAUAACAAGAUAAUUAACGAUAUCAGAAUACCAUGGUAAUGCUUCCACACUCAUUAAUUAUUCAUCUGGAAGUGAUUUAUUCAAUGGUAAUGGUUCUGUAAUUGUGUUAAAAUUGAGACGAGAGAGAUAGUCAGCCACAACAUUUUCUGUGCCUUUUUUAUCUUUGAAUUCCAAGUCAAAUUCCUGCAAAAGUAACACCCAACGAAUUAGUCUAACUUUUUCAUCUUUCUUUGUGACAAGAUAUUUAAGAGCAACAUGAUCUGUGAAUACAAGUAUUUUACCACCAAUGAGAUAAGAUUGAAAAUUCUCUAAUGCAAACACUACUGUUAAUAUUUCUUUUUCAGUAAUUGAAUAAUUCAACUAUGCAUCAUUCAAUGUCAUACUAGCAUAGUAAAUAAUAUGGGGAUUCGAUCAACUCUGUCCUAAUACUGCUCCUACUACAUAAUCAGAUGCAUCACACAUGAGCUCGAAUGGUAAGCUCCAGUUUGGGGGUUGAAUGAUGGGUGAUGAUAUCAACAAUUGCUUUAGUUUUCUAAAUGCCACAAGACAUGAAUCAUCAAAGAUAAAAUGUACAUCCUUAGCAAGUAGAUUGCAUAAAAGUCUAGAAACUUUGCUAAAAUUCUUAAUGAAACGUCUAUAAAAACCAGCAUGCCCAAGGAAAGAUCUUACUUCUCUAACUGUUUUAGGUGGAGGAAGAAUGGAAAUGAGAUCCACCUUGGCUUUAUCAACCUCAAUACCUUUGUAUGAAAUGAUGUGACCGAGAACAAUACCUUGUUUUACCAUAAAAUGACACUUCUCACAAUUUAAGACCAAGUUUUUCUCUAUACAUCUCUGCAAAACUAGUGUUAGAUGAUGUAAACAUUGAUCGAAUGAAUUACCAAAAAUAGAAAAGUCACCCAUAAAGACUUCAAGGAAUCGUUCAACCAUAUCAGAAAAAAUGCUUAAUAUGCAUCAUUGAAAUGUAGCAGGUGCAUUACAUAAUUCAAAUAGCAUCCUCCUAUAUGCAAAAGUGCCAAAAGGGCACGUGAAAGUGGUCUUCUCUUUAUCUUUUGGUGUUAUAUGAAUCUGAUUAUAUCAUGAGUAGCCAUCUAGAAAGCAAUAAAGUUCAUGGCCUACUAAUCUAUCAAUCAUUUGAUCGAUAAAUGGUAAAAGAAAAUGGUCUUUACAUGUGACAGAAUUCAACUUUCUAUAAUCAAUGCAUACACGCCAUCUUGUAGUCACUCUAGUGGGUAUUAAUUUAUUAUCAGAAUUGGUAACUACUGUGACUUCUGACUUUUUGGAGGACAACUUACACAGGACUGACCCAUGAACUAUUAGAAAUUGGGUAAAUGAUACCUGCAUCUAAUAGCUUAAGGACUUCAGUUCUAACAACUUCCUUCAUGUUAGGGUUCAACCGACGUUGCAUUUCCCUAGUAGGUUUAGCAUUUUCAUCAAGGUGAAUGUAAUGUAUGUAGUCUACUGGGUUUAUACCUUUUAUGUCGGCUAUGGUCCAUCAUAAUGCUCUUUUGUGCUCUUUUAAAACUUCCAACAACUUACCUUUUUGUUCGUCAUUUAGGGAUGAUGAGAUGAUUACUGACAAAGUGUUUUCUUCUCCCAAAAAUGCAUAUUCUAAAGGGUUGGGUAAUUGUUUGAGCUCGAAUUUCGGUGAUGAUUCUAAUGAUGGGUUGAGUUUCUUUUCUGAUGGUGCUAAUUGUUCAACUCUUGACUUCCAUUUAUUAGUAUCUGUUGAUAAAUCUUUUAAUCAAAUGCUAUUGAUGACAAUGUGCAAGUGUACACAACAAGUAAUAAAGUGAUGAAUAUUCAAGAUCAUCUCCAUAGGGAUUGAUGUUACUAGAAAUGUUACAGCAAGCACAAUAGUGCAAUCUAUCUUUAUUCCGGGAUGAACAAAUGUAAAGUUGGUUACUAUUAAAAUUAAUAGUUGUGAGAGAACAAAAUAAAACAAUGCAAUGAUAAAAUAAAUUAAAUAAAAAUGCGUCAAAGAAUCAAAUGAGAAUACGGUAGUUGAAUGAUCAAACUCUCUUUAUGGGCUGACUGUUUUUCACCAAGUUAACACCAGUUGCUACAACAAUUUCUAUAGCACUGGGCAAAAUUUAUUAUGCAUCCUCAGCUGUUGCCUAUUGGAAUCCUCAUAUCCUUAAGUAUCUUAGCAAUGACCAGUUACUAUUCUACCUACGGCAUGACAUUAUGAACAUUCAUUCUCUCCACCCUACAAGGUGAGUACCUAUGUCUAGUUUAUCACAAAUCUUAACUUCAAGUAUGGCCCUUAUGGGAUUCAAGAUAAACUUAAUACAAGAAACUUAAAUUAAGAUCAAGUAUUACUCUAAUAAUAUCCACUAAGACAUGCCAUUUUGCGGCUCUAUCUUAACUUGAACCAUUAAAUGGGUGGUCAACCAAAAUAACAGUUAUAAUAAUAGCUACUAGAGUAAAAUGCUACAGCAAUGAUAUAACAACUCAUAAGAACAGUCAAGAACUCAUUAGAUUGUUUGUCACUCAACUACAAGCAAGUUAAGUUCAUGUUCUUAAAGAGAAAAACAAACAACAACAUAUUGGUCAUGAAAUACAUUAUUUCAGUCAAAGAGUGAAGAAAAGGAUAAGUUGAGAACGGCAAAGAGUGAAUCCAAAUAACUCUGCUAGAUUCUUCAAUGAUGCUGCAUCUGCUCCCUUGAAUUCUGAUCUUCCUCUUCUUUUUCUCUCCAAUUUCUCCAAAUAAUUCCUUGCCGCCGUUUUAUGUGAUGCGCGCCUCCUUUUAUAACUGAAAACUAGAGUAAACAAAAGCUUCGGGCGUACAUGAGUCAAAUUAGAAAACUGCAGAUCGCAAUUCUGCAGCUGACCCGAGCUAAGUUUUCUCCUUCGGUGUUCUAGGAUUGCUACAGCAAUGGUCGCUUCAGUAAUGGCUAUAAUACUGCACUGUUCCCGGUUGUGUUUCACUUCUUUUGUGGCCAUAUUCUUUCUUCUUCUUGCUAGCCUAAUAUCUCAGCAUCCUUUCAUAUAUUAUAAACUUCUGAAAACCUAUAAUUAUGCACAUGUUUUGAGCACAAGUUACUUUAAAUCUAGCAAAACUUAUUAAGACUAAACUAAAAUGGAUGUUUAUGCAAAACAUAACCAAAGUAUAAUAAAAACACAUCAUUUACUCUUUAAGUGGUAUUGAUUUAAGUCUAGAAUUGCCGUAAUAACUCUCUUUUCAUAAAGUUAUCAGUGUCCAUGAAUGGUACUGAGUCAAGUAGGGCGUUGACCUCAUCGACUAAACUGUCAAUAUCAAAAUCCAAACCAAAGUGAAUUAAACAUGUUUGUAAAGGGUCAUCACUAAGGUUUGAAAGAAAAGUAUUAUCAACUAAUGCUUCUAUUAAAUCCACAUCAACAAUUCCAUCAUCUGCAUUGUGAGGUUGUUUGGCAAUGUUGAAGAUGUUUAGCUCCAAAGUCAUGUUGCCAAAGGACAAUUGCAUAUUUCAAGUCCUGCAUUGAAUGUGAGUAUUGACAGUUGCCAAGAAAGGUCGACCUAGGAUAAUGGGGAUGUGCUUCCUUGAAUCCUGGAUUGGUUGAGUGUCAAUUACAAUGAAAUCAACAGGAAAAUAAAACUUCUCUACCUGGAUAAGCACGUCCUCCACAAUACCACAAAGUAUUUUCAUGAACCGAUCUGCAAGCUGUAACACCACUGGAGUUUGGUGUAAUUCUCCCAGUCCAAGUUUUAUAAAUACUGAAUAGGGUAACAGAUUUACACUAGCUCAUAAAUCCAACAAAGCAUUCUUAAUUAUGUGGUUCCCUAUACUACAUGAGAUAGUGAGGGAGCCUGUGUCUUUGUAUUUUAGAGUAAUUUUGUGUUGGAGUAUAGAACUAACGUUUUCUGUUAAAAAGACCUUCUUUUGAACAUGAAUAUUUCUCUUUUUAGUACAAAGGUCUUUAAGAAACUUGGCAUAAAAUGACACUUAUUUUAUAGCAUCAAGUAAAUGGAUGUUAACACUUACUUGUUUGAAGAUUUCAAAAAUCUCACCUGUGGAUUUUCCCUUCUUUCCUUUAGCUAACUUCUGAGGAAAUUGAGCUUUAGGAACGUAUUCUCGCGGGUUGGUUUCUUCUUUCUCCUCCGAUAAUGAGUCUUCAACAUUUACAGGUACAAUUUGAUUUUUUUUUGUCACCAGCAUCUCCACUUUGUUGUUGACUUCUUUUCAUUUUCGCAAGGUCAUGACGGCUUUUACCUCUCUAUUCUGCCAUGGUGAACUGGUACUUGCUUCAUGCACUUCUUUAGGAUUAGGCACUGGUUGACUUGGAAAUUUAUCUUUCUCAACAGUUAUUGCCAGAGUUUGAACUGACAAGGCAAGUUGUCCCACCAUCUUCUCGAGGUUUGAAACUGAUUGGACUGUGAAUUGAAGCCUACUCUCAUUUCAUUUUGUAGUUCAUCAAAGGUGUGGUUCUGUUGCUCAAUCGUGGAGUGAGUAAGAUUCUCAAAAUUUUGGAUUGCAUCCUCCCAUGGUCUGGGUUGAGAGUAGUUCUGGUUAUGAUUGUAUGAUCUAAAUAGUGGCUGAGAGACUUGAGGAACUUGAGGAAUUGGUUGCAUUGGUAGAGCUGGAGCUACUGGUCCAAUCUGUUGGAAUCCCCGGCAACGGCGCCAAAAACUUGUUGUGCAAAUUUUAUUGAACACGCAAGUGCGCAAAUCUAUUGUAGAAUAGAUUAAUGGUGACGAGUGUCAGUCCCACGAGGAUGUUGAUUUUAAUUAUGUCUAAAAUUAAUUUUCUAAGUGGGUGGUUGGAUUUGUGGUGAAAAUGAUUUGGAAUAUUCUAAAAUUUAAAUUAGAAUGGCGGGAAUAAAUUAAAGCGAAAUAUAUUGAAAUGAAGCACUUGGGUGUCUAGAUCUACAUCAACAUGUACCAUGGGCUAAAUAUUCUUUAAUAAUGCCAAUUAAAUCAUGAGGGGGUUUUCCACUCCUCAUGAAUCACACUCUAAUCAAUAUGGUGCUAAGGGCUUAUCAUGCCAAAUAGUAAUAACAUUGCACUAGGAAGCCGGUUAUACCAAUGCGGUAUCUAGAUAAGAUUAUUACUAUCUGUCGACAAAAAGUCAAAACAUCCACAUAAAUUAGAGGGAAAGAGAAAGUAAAUUUACCAAAUAAAGCCCAUGGAACAUGUUAAGACUUCACCUUCAACCCAAGCUUUAAAGGAAAAUUGGCUACUCAUAAUUGAACUAGGAGUAAAAUGGAAAUUUAUUAAAACACGUAGAAAAUACAAGAUGGAGAAGGAAUUACAGAAAAUAGAGCUAAAAAAUGAAUUCAAGGGUCUCAAAUUAGAGGGGGGGGAGCCCUCUUUUUAUAGAUAUACUGAUUAAAUCAUGGCCAUUGGAUUAAAAACAAUUUGGACGCUCAGGAUUGUGCCACGUGUCAACAGUACGCGGUUUGACUACAUGGUUUGAAUAGUGACGCGGCUUGGUUAUAAAUAAUUCCGUGUAUUUGCAUGUAAUGUACGCACGAUUUUUGGUCCACUAACACGCUGCCACGUCACCGAUCAAUAGUAGAUAAGAAUUUUAGUCCAAUAGGAUCGUGACACCUCAUCAGUCAAUGUCACGUCAUCGGUCAAUACCACAUCAUCAUUCCGUAUAUGUGAACAGUGUCGUGAACAGUAACAUGGACAGUACCGUACAUGUGAAUAAUGUCAUAUUUUAUUUUAUGGUCCUCCUAAGAUUUUCGACUGUCUUGAGUUCAAAAGUGAUGUCUGUUUUGCUAUUUGAUCUCUCGUUCAUUGUGAAAUGACCGUGAUGCCCCUAAAAUACAUAAAAUACUUAAUUAUAAUACAACACACAUAAUUAAAUCACAAGAGACUUAAAUACAUAAAAGUAGAGAUGUAAGUGAAACUUGGAGUGUAAAAUGACGAUUUUCUCCUUUAUACAUAUACACUUUCUAACACUCAACAUCCAUCUACAAAUCUACAAUAAUAACCAGCCAAUCCAAGGAAACUCCGAACCUCUGUGACAUUUGUAGGUCGUUCCCAAUUCACAACAACUUCGAUCUUGUGAGGAUCGACAUAAAUUCCUUCAGCUGAUAUCACAUGGCGCAGAAAUACUACUUUAUCCAACCAGAACUCACACUUGUUGAACUUGGCGUACAAUUGCUUUUACCUUAAAGUCUGCAAAACAGUUCGCAAAUGUUCUGCAUGUUCCUCUUGGUUUCGAGAAUACACCAAAAUAUCAUCAAUGAACACAAUCACAAACCUACCCAGAUAAGGGCGAAACACCCUAUUUAUAAGAUCCAUAAAAGCUGCUGGAGCAUUUGUUAACCCAAAUGGCAUCACCAAGAACCCAUAGUGUCCAUAAUGGGUUCUGAAUGUUGUUUUAGGUGCAUCGACCUCUUUAAUUCUAAGCUGAUGAUAUCCCGAGCGCAAAUCAAUCUUAGAAAACACCUUCGCUCCCUGAAGUUGAUCAAACAAGUAAUCAAUAUGCGUAAGUUGAUAUUUAUUACGUACUGUAACUUUAUUCAACUGCCUAUAGUCAAUGCAGAGUCUAAGAGUACAAUUUUUUUUCUUAACAAACAAAGCUGGAGCUCCCCAUGGAGACACACUAGGUCUAAUAAACCCUUUAUCUACCAAUUCUUGCAGUUGAAUCUUAAGUUCCUUUAGUUCAGCUGGAGCCAUCCUAUACGGUGCUAUAGAUAUAGGAGUCGUCCCAAGGACUAAAUCAAUAGAAAACUCAAUCUCUCUGUUAGGUGGCAUCCUUGGAAGUUCAUCUGGAAAUACAUCUGGAAACUCCUGGACUACUGGAAUAUCCUCCAAUCUCGACUCUCGAAUUUCAGUGUUUAUCACAUGUGCAAGAUAAGUUGAGCAACCUUUUCUUAGUAACCGUCUUGCACCAAUGGCCGAUAUGACACAUGAGGGUAAAACGCUACGCUCACAACAAAAUUUCACCUCAGCUUCUCCUGCCUUAUUGAACACAACUUCUUUUUUGGAACAAUCCACAGUAGCAUGGUGAGAUGCAAGCCAAUCCAUGCCCAAAAUGGCAUCGAAAUCUCGAAUAUCUAAAAUAAUUAAAUUUUCUGACACGACUCAAAAGUGUAUUACUCCCAAGUAUAAGAUUGUCUAGUUACAAUAUAACCCAGUGAGUCCGGGGUCGAACCACAGGGAAUUUUAAAAUCUAGUUGUCAAUUUGUUAAACAAAGAAAAUAAAUUGUGGGAAAAUAAAUUAUUUGAAAACAAUUUAAAAAUAUGCUAAGGUUACGGGAUCCACUCUCAGUAUUCAAACUAUAAUUUUAAUACUCUCUCAUUUAUAUUUUGCCUCACUUUUACCAGUUAAUUAUUAUAUCAUUUAAUUCUAUGUGUGUGGAUAAAUAUGGAAUAAAGUACCUAAUGUGCCACACUAUAUUAAUGUGUCAAUAUUGUGUCAAAAUGCCAUACAAAUCCUAAAGAAAUUUAUAAAUUAACAUGACAUAAAAAUAACUAGAAAAGAACAAAAUAAACUUUAAAACUCAUUUGAGAAAAUAAUAAAUUUAAUAGUUUGAAACAUUGAACUUCACCCUUCACCUCAGCUUAAUAAAAUUAGCCACUCAUAUUGAAAGAAAACACAACACUAUUUAUUUGAUAAACUUUUAAAAUAUGUUAUAAGAAAGUUGAUUACAACAAAAGAAGAAAAAGACACAAUUUCUCAGUUGCACUCUAUUCUAUUUCGGCUUAAUGUUGCGGACCGCCCAAUUCGCUAGCCCAAUUGCCCACAAUUUCGGGCUAGAGAGCCAACACAAGGCCAAGAGUGCUAGCUUGGCCCAAUUCCGGAAACUUCUAGGCAACUCUAGCACAUUUGAGCUUGUAAAUACUCUAGAAUUCUUCAUAGAAUUCCAGCACAUGUAAAUAGCUAGGAAAUGGUAGAAUUCUCUAGAAUUUCUAGAGCUUGGCAAGCCUCCCCUAUAAAUAUGGGAUGGCAUUAGGCAUUUGUAUCCAACAAACACUACAACAAGCAUUGUAAUCUCUCUUUGUGCAAUACAAUUUCUCUUAUUCAGCUCCAUUGCUUUCUUCUCUAGUUCGAGAAGCUCUAGGCUUACUUAGCAACAUUCGGAAAAAUUGUCUAAGUGCCGCACAGGUUAGCUGCGCAAAAUACUCAUCUCGUGACAAGUGGUAUCAGAGCUAAGGUUUGCACACACGCAAGUUAGCUCACGAGCAAUGGCCAACCCUUCGAACGUAGCACAAGAGGGUGUUGUUGGUGUGGAUGUUCCACCGGAACCAAGCCGCGGCCGAGAGGGAGAACGCGCCCAAGGCAAGACUCGCAGCAAGUCCAAGGCCCCAUCCGUGGAUGCAUUGGAGCCUCGUGUGACUACUCUCGAAAUCGCUUUGUCCACCGCUCAAGAUAGCCUCGAGGGAUUGGAGGAAAGGGUGGACGGUCUCGAGGGGGAAUACGCCGAGUUCACGGUGGCAACCAAAGCUCUCAUCCAAGAGCAAGCGAACACUCUCCGAGGUGAGUUUCGUUCCUUCCACGAUGAGUUGCUCAAACUUCGUAGUUUUGUUCAGGAUGAACUACGCGCUGUCCGUGCGGAAGUGGAUGAAGUCCGCUCGGAUUGGGCAUGGCACAAGCGCACACUCUCCGCUAGUCCAGCUUCCGCAAACUCGAGUGAUGCACGCCGCAUUGACGUGCCAAAGCCCGACACAUACGAUGGCACACGUAAUGCCACCAUCGUGGAUAACUUUCUAUUUGGGCUUGAUCAAUACUUUGAUGCCAUGGGUGUUCGAGAUGAGGCUUCGAAAGUGGGCACUGCACCCACCUAUCUUAGAGGCGCUGCACAACUAUGGUGGUGUCGCAAGCAUGGCGAGAUGGGCAAGGGCAUUUGCACCAUCGACACUUGGGCUGACUUCAAGCAAGAACUCCGAAAGCAGUUCGCCCCAAGCAAUGCGGAGAAGGAAGCGCGAGCGCGCUUACGUCGCCUCAAACAAACAAGUAGCAUUCGGGACUACAUCAACGAGUUCACUACCCUUAUGUUGGAAAUAAGCGACAUGUUCGACAAAGAUUCACUCUUCUACUUCCAAGAUGGCCUCAAGGAUUGGGCCAAGACCGAGCUUGAUAGGCGUGAUGUUCAGACACUUGACGAUGCCAUCGCCGUUGCGGAAUCGCUCACCGAAUACUCUACCCAAUCCAAGGACAAAAAGGCCAACCAAGGCAAAGGUGGGGGAGAGAGUCGCAAGGACAAGGGUAACAACCGCAAAGAUUGGGGGGCAGAAAAAGCCGCCUAGCAACAAGAGCGGGCAAGGAAAAUCGGAGGGCAAGAAGGAGGCGCCAAAGCCGCGAAGCCCAUGCUUCAUAUGCAAUGGUCCUCAUUGGGUACGCGACUGUCCGGAGAAAAGGUCGCUCAAUGCUCUUUCUGCCCAACUUAAGAGCAACCCCACAAUGUCCACGGAGGAACCCCAACUCAACAUGGGUUCUCUCUAACGCCUCGGCGCACUCAAUCGCCAACAGCCCGCACUCAUCAAGAAAGGGCUCAUGUAUGUAAGCGCAAAGGUAAACGGUCAGUCCGUUCGCGCGCUGCUAGACACGGGAGCUACGCACAAUUUCGUGUCCGUAGACGAAGCCAAGCGCUUAGGCCUCAAGACCACCAAGGAAGGAGGCACGAUGAAGGCUGUGAACUCACCCGCCAAGCCAAUUGGGGGAAUCGCACAAGGCGUGUACAUUACACUUGGUACGUGGAGCGGGAAGCUUGACUUCUCCAUUGUGCCCAUGGAUGACUUCAAGAUGGUCCUCGGCAUGGAAUUCUUCAACCAAGUCCAUGCCUUCCCGCUGCUCGCUACAAACUCCCUAAGCAUCCUCGACGGGAGCAAAGCAUGCAUGGUACCCACGGAGCGAGGCAAGUCCGAGGAGAAGACACUCUCCGCCAUGCAAUUCAAAAGGGCUUUUAAGAAGGACCCAAGCUUCUUGGUCUCCAUCCGGGAACUAAACGAGGAAGGAAAUAGCGGAACGUCACCAAGCCAAGUCCCUCCGCGAAUUCAAGCCGUCCUCAAUGAGUACAAGGACGUGAUGCCUCCAGAACUUCCGAAGAAGCUCCCACCUCGACGAGAGGUAAAUCAUGCGAUCGAGAUGGAACAAUGUGCGAAGCCACCAGCCUUGGCGCCCUACCGCAUGGCGCCACCCGAAUUAGAGGAGUUGCGGAGACAACUCAAAGACUUGCUGGACGCAGGCUACAUUCGCCCCUCAAAGGCCCCAUUCGGUGCACCCGUGCUCUUCCAAAAGAAAAAGGAUGGAUCGCUGCGGAUGUGCAUAGACUAUAGAGCGCUCAACAAGAUCACCAUCAAGAACAAGUAUCCAAUUCCCUUGAUCGCGGACUUGUUUGACUAGCUUGGCAAAGCGCGGUACUUCACCAAACUUGACUUGCGCUCCGGGUACUACCAAGUGCGCAUCGCCAAGGGAGACGAACCGAAGACAGCGUGCACAACAAGGGACGGGUCUUUUGAAUUCCUUGUGAUGCCUUUUGGCCUUACUAAUGCACCCGCCACAUUUUGCACGCUCAUGAACAAGGUGCUCCAACCAUUUCUUGACCGCUUCGUGGUCGUGUACUUGGACGACAUAGUGGUGUAUAACACCACGCUCGAGGAUCAUGCCCAACACUUGCGACAAGUCCUCCAAGUACUCCGAGACAACGAGCUCUUCCUCAAAUUGGAGAAGUGCUCAUUUGCUCAACAAGAAGUGGAGUUCCUUGGCCAUAAGAUUGCGGGCGGAAAGAUCAUGAUGGAGAACGUCAAAGUAAAAGCCAUCCUCGAUUGGGAGCCUCCCUCGAAAGUGCCCGAGCUUCGCUCAUUCCUUGGGCUGGUGAAUUACUACCGCCGCUUCAUCAAGGGCUAUUCGGCCAAGGCGGCACUCUUGACGGAUAUGCUCAAGAAAAACAGAACGUGGCAUUGGUCCGAAGAGUGCCAACGCGCAUUCGAAGAGUUGAAGAAGGCAAUUUCGGAGGAACCCGCCCUCGCUCUUCCGGACCACACUAAACCCUUUGAAGUCCAAACGGAUGCCUCGGAUUUCGCCGUAGGAGGAGUCCUUAUGCAAGAAGGCCACCCCAUAGCGUUCGAGAGUCGAAAGCUAAAUGACACGGAACGCCGCUACACGGUGCAAGAAAAGGAGAUGACCGCAAUCAUACAUUGCUUGCGGGUGUGGCGACAUUACUUGCUCGGCUCUCACUUCACGAUUAUGACAGACAACGUGGUGACAAGCUACUUCCAAACACAAAAGAAGUUGAGUCCGAAGCAAGUACGGUGGCAAGAUUUCCUUGCAGAAUUCGACUAUCAGCUCGAGUACAAACCGGGUAAAGCCAAUGUCGUUGCGGACGCUCUAAGCCGCAAGGCCGAAUUGGUGACACUUAGCAUGAGCCAACCGAAGUCCGACCUUGUCUCACGCAUCAAGGAAGGCCUCCAACAAGAUCCGCUAGCAAAGGACUUGCUGGAGAAGGUGCUCGAGAGAAAGACAAGGCACUUUUGGCAAGAGGAAGGCAUCCUCCUCACCAAGGGAGACCAGCUGUUUGUGCCAAGGUGGGGAAGGAAGUAAUCAAGGAGUGCCAUGACUCCAAGUGGGCUGGUCACCCAGGAAUCGAGCACACCACUGCACUAGUUCAAGCCUCAUAUUUUUGGCCACACAUGAGGGACGACAUCGAGGCAUAUGUGCGAACUUGUCUUGUGUGCCAACAAGACAAAGUGGAUCAUCAACUACCAGCGGGAUUGUUGGAGCCGCUACCACUAGCAACAAGGCCAUGGGAAAGUGUCUCCAUGGACUUCAUCACAUCGCUGCCCAAGUCCGAAGGUUACGGUAGCAUCAUGGUCGUUGUCGACCGAUACAGCAAGUAUGCCACAUUCAUUGCCGCACCAAUCAAUUGCAAAGCGGACGAGGCAGCCCGCCUAUUCGUCAAGCACAUUGUGAAGCUUUGGGGAGUUCCGAAGAGCAUUGUGAGCGACCGAGACCCUCGGUUCACUGGGCGUUUUUGGACAAAACUCUUCAAAAUGUUGGAGACCGAUCUCAAGUUCUCAACAAGCUUUCACCUACAAACGGAUGGGCAGACCGAGCGCAUCAAUGGCCUCCUCGAGAUGUACUUGAGGCAUUAUGUGAGCGCUCAUCAGCGGGAUUGGGCAAAGCUACUCGACAUCGCCCAAUUUUCUUAUAACUUGCAGCGAAGUGAGGCUACGGGCAAGAGUCCAUUUGAGAUCAUCAUGGGAUUCCAGCCUAUGACCCCCAAUGCCAUAGCCUCGACUUACGGAGGGAAAAGCCCCGCGGCACACAAGCUCGCUCGCGAAUGGCACGAGGAAGCGGACAUCACGCGAGCCUACCUUGACAAAGCCGCGAGGAAAAUGAAGAAAUGGGCGGAUACAAGGAGACGACAUGUUGAGUACAAGGAAGGUGAUCAAGUCAUGAUCAACCUCCUACCCCAACAAUUCAAGACGUUGCGGAAAGUCCACAAGGGGUUAGUGAGGCACUACGAGGGACCCUUCCGAGUUGUUCGACAUGUGGGCAACGUCUCGUAUCAACUCCAACUUCCGCCAAGACUCAAGAUCCAUCCGGUCUUCCAUGUGAGCCUUCUCAAGCCAUAUCACGAAGACAUGGGAGAACCAAGUCGCGGAGAAUCGAGGCGCGCGCCAACUGCCGUUGUCACCGCGUUCGACAAAGAUGUAGACUACAUCAUUGCGGACCGCAUGGUUUCGAGGAGAGGCGUGCCAGCACAUAGCGAGUACUUGGUGAAGUGGAAAAAGCUCCCCGAGAACGAAGCCACUUGGGAACGUGAAGAAGAUUUGUGGCAAUUCGCUGAGCACAUCCAGAGGUUCAAGCACGAGAGCGCGACGAGGACAUCGCGAGCUUAGGUGGGGGAGGAUGUUGCGGACCGCCCAAUUUGCUGGCCCAAUUGCCCACAAUUUCGGGCUAAAGAGCCAACACAAGGCCAAGAGUGCUAGCUUGGCCCAAUUCCGGAAACUUCUAGGCAACUCUAGCACAUUUGAGCAUGUAAAUACUCUAGAAUUCUUCAUAGAAUUCCAGCACAUGUAAAUAGCUAGGAAAUGGUAGAAUUCUCUAGAAUUUCUAGAACUUGGCAAGCCUCCCCUAUAAAUAUGGGAUGGCAUUAGGCAUUUGUAUCCAACAAACACUACAACAAGCAUUGUAAUCUCUCUUUGUGCAAUACAAUUUCUCUUAUUCGGCUCCAUUGCUUUCUUCUCUAGUUCGAGAAGCUCUAGGCUUACUUAGCAACAUUCGGCAAAGUUGUCUAAGUGCCGCACGGGUUAGCUGCGCAAAAUACUCAUCCCGUGACAUUAAGCUCUCUCUGUUCAGCUCUCUAACUUCUCAAUACUCAGCUCUUUGCAUUUCCUUGCCUUUUAUAGGCAAGGAAUGCAUUAUCUUUAUUUAUUUUAUUAUUAUUAUUAUAUAUAUGUACAUUGAAAUGUGUAAUGGUCAAGUGGCCAUGACCAUCACGAGAAACUAAAUUGCUUGGUUUUUUUUUUUUAUUCAUUUUCAUUUUUUUAUUUUUUAUUUUUUUACAUCUCCUCAAUAAUGCUUCCAAAUUGCUCCAGCAAUCCUUCUUUGUUCCCGCUUUCAAUUCUAAUUUAUUCUUGAAAAAUAUUUAUAAGAUAAAAAUUAACAGAUUAUGAAUUAAUUUAACACAAAAAUUUAUUUGGGGAGCAUUCAUAUAAUUUAUAGGUUAUGCGUGCAUUAAUCAACACUUUAAGUGAAAAACUAAUAAUUUUAUCCUUAUUACACGUACACAUUUUAGUGUUAAUCACAGCCCCCUCCCCAACCAGCUUAUUGUUAGGCCCUAGCAAUUUAAGCGAUAAAAAUUUAGAGAAAUUUCAAAACCAAAUUGAAAAUCUUUUUUUUUUUUUGGAAAAAUUGUGUUUACUUCUUUCAUCAGAUUAAUGACAACAAUCAAAUAAAAGUAUAAGUAUUAUCUUCAGCCUAAAGAAAAUCACACCCACAUAAAUCAGUUAAGUAAAAUCAUGUAAAAUGAUCAAUUAUCAGAGCUACAUUAAUCAAGCCACUUUAAGUAAAAUUUAUGAUGUUAUCAUUAUUAAUGUUUGGUCCACAACAGCGCGAUAAUGAUAUUGAUGUGUACUUGGCACCACUAAUAGAGGACUUGCAAACUCUAUGGGAUGUUGGUGUGGAAGCUUAUGAUGCCUACAAAAAAAUAGUUCUUUAAUUUACGGGCUGUGCUAUUGUGGACUAUAAAUGGUGGAAAGCUCAAUGAAGAUAUAAUCUAUGAUGAUUUGCGAAAUUAAAGGUCAAUAUAUGUUGUGUGCACUUAUUUAUGCUUCCAAAGAUUACCAAAAAUAAAUUGGAUUUGAGUUUAUAUAGUUUGAGCCCAAAAACUAGCCAUUAUGGAUUUUCUAAUGAUAACCGGCUUGCCGCUUUUGGAAUCCGGUUAGCCGCUUUUAUGUUACCGUUACAACAAAUAUUUGAAUUUUACAACAUCCAGCAUUCCACUUUCAAAAUUCGGUUAGCCUUUUGCAAAAGUGAUUGCUACAGUGAACUAUUUUAUAAAAUUAUAGUUUUGACCCAAAACUUUAUAGAAUUAUGAUAUGGCCCAAAACGUCAUAAAACUUUACACAAAGGUCUAAUAAAAAAUAAUUUGAGCUUUUAAAAACUUAAUCAUUCUUAAUUUUAUUUUUUAUCAUCAAAAUCAACAUUAUGGAAACAUAUAUGUUAACAAUCUUCCCAUUUUUUAUGACGACAAACCUUUUAUGUAUUUAAAGAAUGAUUACACAAAUUGCUCCCCCUAAAUGUAAACUUCUCUUACAAUUUAGCUAAAUUAACAAAUUUAAAUACAUGUAUUCUUCUCCCCCUUCAUCAUUAAAAAGAAAACUUAGUGGAAAAAUAAAAAAGAGUAACAAAUUUGUUAUAUAUGUUGUCCGAGUAGAAAUUUCGAUAGAAUCUCCCUCUAACAACAAACAUUACCUUAAAUACAAGUUUAAUAAUAUUACUCCCAAAUUAUUAUAAAUAAUGAUACAAUCCAACUCCAUAUACAAAUCAUCACACAAUCCAUCAACCAUAAAAAGAUUAUGAACCAUUAUUCCAUCAAUUACCAAAUCAACAACUCAUAACAUAAAAUUAUCAUAUAAAACAACUAUGUAAUCAAAUCAUCAUCAUAUCCCAAAAUCAUCAAAAUCAUCACCAUAAUCACAUAUCAAUCAUCAAAACAAUACUCAAAGUGCAUAUUAUUGUCUUUCUUUUGACAACAUCGAAAUGAUGUGUUACUUUGUCUCCCCCUUUGGACAACAAAAAAAUUCAAAAUGCAUAUUAUCCAAAAUCAUAUUGUAUGCUCCCCCUAAAUAUAUGGCCAAUUUAAAAUUUUAACCAAAAUAAUUUUAUCCAAAAACAUAUCAUAUUUAUCUCCCCCUUCAUUGUAAAAAAGAAAAGAUAGAUAGAUGCAAUCAAAACAAUAUCAUAAAAAAUAAUUCGAUGAAGAGAUUACCCAUUUUGUGCGAGCAAAAAUUUCGGCAGAGUCUCCCCUUAAAAAUGAAAAAAUCCUCAAAUACACAAAAUGGUUAAAAACACUUCCAUAUAAGCUUAAACAAUUAUAACAAAUCAACAACUCCAUCAAUUCAUCAAGCAACACACAUAAUCAUCAAUCAUUAAAAUCAUCAAGAAAUCAAAUCAUCCCAAGUUCGUGUCGAAUUUUUUAAAAAUGUUCUUCGCAAAAAGGUUUUGAUUUGUUUACCAAAUUGGCAUGCAAAAGUUAUAAAAACGUAUUAUAAACUAUCCAAGCUCCAUAAUUACUAAUCACAUUUUAGAAAUCAAGACAACUAAACUCAUCAAAGAUCUAAUGUGACAUUUCAAUAUAACUUAAAAAAUCUUAUAUGCUUAAAAUUCUCGAAGUAAAUGUAUUUUUCUCCUUUUCGAUAUCAUUUAAAACAAGUAAUGCACAUUCAACAAUACAUCGAUAAAGUACAAAAAAUGCAUCCAUUCACCAAUCAUAGAUUGCAUAAGAUCAAACUUCAUCAAAUACAAUGUAAUCAUCAAAGCACAUUCUUUAUCAUCAAAACAUAAGUAAAGCAUAAGUACAUAAUGACAAUAUAUAGAUCAUCAAAAUUAACAUAUGGCAAUAUAUAGAUCAUCAAAAUAAACAUAGCUAUUAAGAAAAGCCAUCAUUAUGAGUAAAGAACAAGUGCUCAAAUCCAUUAUUACAAAUGCUCACAUAGGCCAAUUUAAUGAAUGAUGAUAUAAUACAAUAAAUGACAUAUGAAUUCACACAUACAUAAGUGAUGAACAAAUAAGGAAGAUGAAUAAAUAACACGAAACAUGAUGAUAGACAAUUUAAAAGAUGAAAUCAAGGAUCAUACAAUCAUCAAAAUCAAACAAAGGCAUCAUGAUAAGUUGCCAUACUACCAUCAUAUAUAUCUAUCCAUGCAUCAUGAUUACACACAAUAAUAAUUCAAUUAUGUAAACGUACGAGCAUGCUUUCGUAAAUUCAAGCUAUUAUCCAUCCAUCAUGAUCCAUUCAACCAAAUCAAAAUGGUAAGAAUUGUUACCAAAACAAUUAAAUCAUUUUACUUAUCGUUUUCUCUUAGAUCAUGAUCAAGUGAUUAUUCUCACAAGCUUUCAUUGAAGAACUCUCCACCAUUUCUUGAUUAUGGUACCUACAAAAAAAAAUAUUCUAGUUGUGCCUUUUGAUACCCAAAUACUCUUGGGUCUUUGAGUGUUAGUAAUGAUUCCUUUUGGAACUCCAAUACAUUUUGCUCCAUAAUAUGCAUUUCUUUUAACUGGACACCUAUUCUUCAUGUGACCAUUUUGAUUGCAAUGGUGGCAUACAACUUGAUUGUUAAUGGAGGUACUCUUCACAAAAUAAUUCUUAUAAUACUUUUGUUUCAAAUUUGGCUUAUAGCCAAUACCUCCUUUGUCAAACACACAUUUUUGUGAAUUAAGCAAGUUAUCCAACAUUUUUUGCCCAUUUGUAAAUUUUAAGACAACAUCACUAAGUUCAAUAUUCUUUUUCUUAAGCAUCUCAUUUUCUUUUUUCAAAUCAUCUACAUGUGAUUCUAUAUGUUCAUGUAAAGUGCUAGGUUUCCCAUUUGAUAAUGCAACUCUAUCAUGCAAUGUUUUAUUUUCUAAUUCUAGGCAACUAAUCUUUGCACUUAGAGAUUCAUUUUUAUUUGUGAGUUCUACCGUUUUCUUUUUAAGACAUGCAUUCUUUUUACCAACUUUCAUCAAUUCAUCAUACAAUUCUUUAAGAGCAUCAUAUAACUCAUCAUAAGUAGGAAGAUUAUUUACCUCAUCAAGUUCAUCAUCUCCUAUUGCCAUAAGUGUUAGGUUUGACACUUCUUGGAAAUCUUCUUCAUCACUCGAUUCUUCAUCGCUAUCGUCCCAAGUAGCCACCAUGGCUUUCUUCUUGAGUUUGUUGAGAAGUGGAACACUCCAAUCUUAUAUGGCCAUGCUUUUUGCAUUCAAAACAAACAAUUGCCUUUUUAUUCCCUUUCUCCACCUUAAGGUUUUCUCUCAUGAGAUCUUUAAAGUUUCUUCUCUUGAUUUGCUUUUUAAAGAUCCUUCUAAACAUUCUAGCAAUCAUCUCAAUGCCUUCAUCUUUAAAGUUACUUCCAUCAUCAUCACUUUCAACUAUAGAAGAUUUAAAAGCAAAACUCUUCUUCUUUUUAUCUUCAUCAAUUCUUUCAUUAGUUAUAUCUUCUUCAUAUGAAAUAAGUGAACCAAUAAGAUCAUCAAGUGAUAAAGUAUUAAAACUUUUUGCUUCUUCUAUGUCCGUUCUCUUUGGUCUCCACUAUUUUGGCAAUGAUCUAAUAAUUUUUUUUUUACUUUUUUCACUAUUAGUAAAUAUGUUACCUAGUGCUUCAAGAGAAUUCACAAUAUCGAUGAAUCUAGUGUACAUAUCAUGAACACUCUCAUAUGAUUCCAUUUGAAACAUCUCAUAUUGCCUAGUGAAUCUACUAAUUUUACACUCCUUGACUUGAUUUGUUCCCUUAUAUACAACUUCAAGUUUCUUCCAAAUUUCAUAAGCAUUUUCACAACUAGAAACUCUAUGAAAUUCUUUCUUAUCGAAAGCACAAAAUAAUGCAUUCAUUGCCUUGGAGUUUAACGAUAUCUUUUUCUUUUCUAAUUCACUCCAAUGACUUGAAGGUUUUGGAAUAUCAUCUCAUGCUUCAUUUUUAGUCAUAGGCAUGAACGGACCAUCACAAAUAACUUCCCAAAUUUCGUAAUCUAAGGCUUGCAAAUAAAUUCUCAUCCUAGUUUUCCAAUAAGGAUAGUCAUUACUAUUAAAGAAUGGAGGUCUAGUGGUAGAUGGGCCUUCCAUGAAGGUUGAGCUAAUUUGGGUUGCUAUGGAUCUUUAACUCUAGAAGAUUAAGUCUACACAAGAGCACCUCGCUCUGAUACCAAAUGAAAUACUAACUAGGCAACCUAAGAGGGGGGUGAAUUGGGAUUUUAAAAUUUAAGUUAAGCAAACCACACAACAAUUUAAUCUAAUGCCUUAAUGGAAUAAAAAAUAAUAAAUUCAAUACAGCACAAUAAUAAGAGAGUAAGGGAAGAGAAAACAAACACAAUGAUUUUUAUGUGGUUCGGGAAUCCUCGCCUACGUCCAUGCCUCCAAGCUCACCCGACUUGAGGAUUUCACUAUCCAAGCCUCCCAAGGCUUCAAGUUCUUUACAAUUGACUUUCAAUGUGUCAAUGGACCUUUCCAAUCAAGAGAUUAUCUCUCCAAUCUCUUCACCUCAAGUGUUUCUCACAUUUAUACACUCACAAUUUAAUGUGAAAUGAAAAUUACAACAAACAACUCUCUUUUAGAGUGGAUAUACAAAUGAUAGCUUAAUGAAGAUUUAAUCUAUGAUGAUUUGCAAAAUUAAAGGUCAAUAUAUGUUGUGUGCACUUGUUUAUGAUUGCAAAGAUUACCAAAAAUGAAUUGGAUUUGAGUUUAUAUAGUUUGAGCCUAAAAACUAGACGUUAUGGGUUUUCUAAUGAUAACCGGCUUGCCGUUUUUGGAAUCCGGUUAGCCGUUUUUAUGUUACCGUUACAACAAAUAUUUGAAUUUUACAACAUCCGACAUUCCGUUUCGAAAUCCGGUCAGCCGCUUGCUACAGUGACUGCUACAGUGAACUAUUAUCUAAAAUUAUAGUUUUGACCCAAAACUUUAUAGAAUUACGAUAUGGCCCAAAAUGUCAUAAAACUUUACACAAAGGUCCAAUAAAAAAUAAUUUGAGCUUUUAAAACUUAAUCAUUCUUAAUUUUUUUUGUUAUCAUCAAAAUCAAUAUUAUGGAAACAUGUAUGUUAACUGUGAGCACAUUAAAUGGCUAACGGGUCAUCAUUCACAAAAAGCCAAGAAUGAGAGAUGGUUGAGCAAUGAUCACAACUGCCACUUUUCAACUUGCCUUAAUAAAAAGGUUAAUAAUAUAUGUUCCAUUAUAUAUUCUUUUUAGUAAAUCUAUUGUCAUGUUUAUACAAUUAUUCAUUCAUUAUGAUUAUUAUUAUAUAGGUAUAUGAGAUCAUAGAUGAUGAUGAACAUGUCUCAGACACCUUGAGGUGGUUAUCUCAAGGACCCCGUCCUUUUGUAGUUAAGCACCCAGGAUAUGACAUCAAUGGAUAUCGUUUCCAUACUCGGGAACGAGACCAACAAUGAGUUCAUCAAAAUAAUGGAGUUAGUCUUAUUGCAGCAACUUUACAAGUAGCAAGUGUCAAGGACAAAAAUCCUAUCCUUGGUGACAUGUCUUACUAUGGAGUUAUUAACAAAAUAUGGGACCUUGACUAUCAUAUGUUCAGAAUCCCUUUGUUCAAGUGUGAUUGGGUUCAAAAUAAUGGGGAUGUUAAAAUCGAUGAAUUUGGCAUCGCUUUAGUGGACUUAAAUCGCUUGGGACAUAAAUCAUACCCAUUUAUAUUGGCUUCAAAAGCAACACAGGUCUUUUAUGUCACUGAGCAACUUGAUAAAAGAUGGUCAGUUGUAAGUCAUAUGGAGGUGUUCCAAAAAUGACAAGUGCUGAGGAUAUAGAUAUCAUGAUGGAACAUAAUCCUUUGACCAAUGGGUUACCAACUAUUGAAAAUUUAAAUGAUGCGGACAAAUAUGCAAGAGAUGGCAAGCAUAGAAUCUCGAUUGAUGCUUGGAAAAGCUGAUGGCAUUCACUGCUUGUAUGUCUUAUAAUAGUUUUGUGUUACAUUAUCUUUUAUUAUUAUAUGUUCCUUGUAUUGACUUUAGAUUAUUAUUUUUCAUUAUUUAUACUUUACAUAAUGUUCUAAUAUUAAAUGUGGAUUCAUUGCAGAAGCAACCUUAUGGAUAAAGGAAAAGGACUUGCUGAUGAACACUCUAAUGAGGAAAGUAUUGAUUAAUCGGGUAAUAAAGAAGUUCCUGAUGAAGGUAAUUCAAGUGAUAAGGAGGUUCCUGAUGAGUUUCCUAAUUCAGAGGAUCAAAAUGAUGUUCCAAAGAGUAGUUCCACUGUGAGAGAACCAACUAAAAACUCUGGCAAGAUGAGGAUGAGUGGUGGGAAGAUUGUAGUCAGGUACAAUGGGCUCCUUGUACUUGUUGGCACUGAAUCUACUGAAUUAGCAAGCUUUAUUAGGCUUUAUACUUCUAUUCCGGAUAUUAAACAAGAAUGAAAAAAGGUUACUCCACAUUUAAAGAGCCAUUUGUGGGAGUUUAUAAAGGUAAAAUGAUUAUUCAUAUUUAUAUCUUAGAAUUAAAUAAUGUAUAUGUUAAACUAUUUGAUCAUUAUGCUAUGUAUUUUUCUUAGGAACGUUUUAUUGUUCAUCCAAAUAGUAAGAAGCAAUUUUUUCAAGCACUUGGUAGUGCAUUCAGAAGCUUUAAGUACUUGCUCACCAGAAAGUAUAUCUUGCCACACAAGCACAAACGUAAAAGGUUGAAGAGGCCACAUUUUUCAGUACAGUAAUAUUCCUCAAAAUGUUUGGGAUACAUUUGUGAAUUCUAGAUUGCCCACUGAGUUUGAGGUGAAUACUUUUAAAUGUUAAACAUUUAGGUAUUUCAUAGAACCAUCUCUUAAAUCUAAUUAAGGACUGUUUUAUGCAGAGAAUUAGGCGUCAACAGCAAAAUAAGAGGGCUAAGAACAAGUGGAACCAUCGUUUAAGUAGAAAAGGAUAUGCUGGAUUGCUUGAUGAAAUUGUAAGUAAUAUGAUACUAACUUGACCAUUCUUGUAUAGCUAUUGGUAUAGAGAUGGUUGGUUUGAUGAUGAUAAAUUGGUAAACCUUUUGUUUUAAUUUUCUGCUUAUAAUUUGUGGUUAGUUAAGGAUGCAUACCAGCUGUGACAUUAUUAUUUUUUUAAACUAUAAUGCUCGGAAACUAGACUUGUCGAAACUGAAGUUGACAGGAGUGUAGCAUAGAAGCAUGCUAGGAAGAUGAAAAAGGUGAAUAUGACCCUAAUGUUGAAUCAGUUGUGAAGAAGAUUGUAAGUAAUAGCAAGUUUUUUUUUUUUCAAUUAGGCUCUAUUGGAAAGAAUUUGAUAUUCAUCAAUAUGAUUAUUAUACAAUUAGGAUGCACUGAAGGAGAAAACUAAAAAAAGGAGAAUUUAAAGCAAAUGUAAGAAAUGAUAUUCUUGCAAGUUCAAUUGGAAAGCCUGCCACUUCUGGACAUAUGCAGGGUGUUGGGAAAUUUAUAUCGCCUAAGAUGUACUUUGACACCCCAAAAAAUUCAUUUCAAAUGCGACAAGAGAGACUAAACAUACUAGAGAGGUUAGAUAAGCAAGAAGUAGGGUUGAGUGAUCUGAAGAAGAAGAUUAAAAAGUAACCUCGACAUUCAGAUGUUGGAAGCUCAAACUUUCCAUUACAUGAGCAAACAAUUGAAGAUGAAGCUGAAGAAAUGACUACUCAUAAUGAGGACAAGGUAUGAUACAAAUUGUUAUGCACAAUCAAGUUAAAAAAAUGACUUAAACAUUUGAUUUUAGACAAUUUUAGUCGUAAUCAAAAUCGUAAUUACAAUUUGUUUUUUUUUUUUGGCUUGUUAGUGAAUCGGCAUGACAAGGAAUGGAUCACCUGCAAAGAAGGAGCAUGAAACACUGACAAAGAAAAGGCAAUCACCAAAGAAGAUGAAUGAGUUACCAAAGAAGCAAGUAGCUGUUGAUUGUCCUGGAGACAAACCAGAAAGUACAAAGAAAAAGCAAUCAACAAGGAAGAAGAAGAAAUCACCAAAGCAGCAAGUGAUUGUUGAUUGUCCUAGAGACAAGCCAAAAAGUUUUAAGAAAAUGCAAUCACCAAGAAAGAAGAAAGAAUCACUAAAGCAGUAAGUGAUUGUUAAUUGUCCUAAAGACAAACCAGGCAGUCCAAUGAAAAGGCAAUCACCAAGAAAGAAGAAGGAAUCACCAAUGAAGCCUCACAAGAAACCAAGAAUGACUUUUGAAAUUUCAGGAGACAAACCAUCCAAUCCAAAAAAGAAGACAUCACCAAAAAAAGCCUCAAGAAAAGCCACUGUCAAGAAGAAGAACAAGGAAUUAUCAUACUGUGUAUAUGAACUGAGUUCUUGGGAUUGUAAUAUUUGGAAAUAUUUUUGAAACGAGCAUGGCUCAAAUAGGUUAUUACGUACCUUAUCAGUUGGAUAAAGACCAUUUGGGUUCAUACACACAGGACUCGUAUCAUCAGCCCAUGAUAAGGAUGCCUUUACUACAAGGGUAAAAAGGACACAAUUUAUUGCGGAACAGUUGAACAAAGCAAACAAAGGACAAAUGAUUUUCAUGCCAUAUAACCCUGGGUACAGUUCUAUUUACUUUCCAUUGAUGAUCAUUUACUAAAAUUGAUUCAUAAUUUCAAUUUCUUUGUGUAAUAGUUUCCAUUGGGUGUUGAUUGUAAUUGAUAUGACGACAAAGUAAGCAUUUUAUCUGGAUUCUAUGAACAACGAUUUAGGCGACGACAGUGACCUGAAGGACAUAGUUACCAAGUACGGUGAUAUUGUAUUUCUAAUAUAAUUUUAUAUAUCAUGUUUAUUUACUAACUACAUGUAUUGUAAUGUAGUGGGAUUUCAAUGCAUGUUGCGAUGAUUGGUAAAAAAAGGGUGAAACCAUAUAUCAAAAAAGUUUUGGUAAGCAAUUGUGACUUUUUUUUUUUUUUUUUGCAGCCCAUGACUUGUUAAUAUUUUAUCACUUGAAAGAAUUCAUAUGCAUAUGUAUUAAUGAUUAUUCUGUUGAUGAUAUAGUCCCCAAAUCAACCAGGGAGUACUGAGUAUGGAUACUAUGUGCUGAGGUUUAUAAAAGACAUAAUUGCAGACCCGAGUUUACUUCUCCAUAAUGUAAGUACACAUUCUUUCAUAUGCAUUGUAGGAUUACUUCACUUAUUACCUUUUACUAUAUAUAGUUUACUUUAGUCUGACAUGUGAUCAUCAUUUGACAGUUUAAAGGCAAAUGUGAAUACACUCAUAGUGAGCUUAAUGAAGUGCGUCUCGAGUAUGCUUCCUUUGUGUCUGAGCUGAUAGUAUUAGCAGUAGAGUUGAUGAUGUAUAUUUUUCUGAAGUUCUAAUUAUUAGUGGUAUUAUGGUAGUAUUUUGAAUUUCUAAGUGGUAGUGAAUUUAAUAAAGUCUUUAUGGAAUUUCAAAUUCCUUGUUACUAGAAGAUGAUAUUGUUUUGUUCCAAAACUAAGAUGUUUAUCAGCCUGGUAGUGUAAGAUCUUGAUCAGCCUUGUAGUGUUUCAGAUGAUAUAUAGUGUCGUGAUGUUUUUGUAUGCUGGUAAUGAUCUAGAUGGUAGUGUUGGGAUGUAUUAUUGUGAUAAUUGAAUAGAUGAUGUUUUGACAAUGUUAUGGUUAUUUCAAGUGAUGUUUUGAUGAUAUUGUUGAGAUAAUUUUGAUGUAUUGAUUUUAUACAUAUUUUGAUUUUUAAAUUUCAAUAGAAUUUAUAAAAUUAUAAAAUAAUAAUAUUAAAAAUAUUAUUAUUUAAAAUAUUAAAAUUUAUUUUCUAAUUUAAAAAUAUUAAAAAUUAUUUAAAAUAUUAAAAAUUUCUAAUUUAAAAUAUUAAAAAUUAUUUUAAUAAUAUUAUUAUUUUAAAAAAAUUCUCAUUGUGACACCAUAUUAACAUCAUAAAGCUGCGACACAUAAUUACCUGCCAUAAUUUAAAGUUGAAUUCAUAACACCCACCAAAAGUUUUUUCACAAUAAAACAAAUUUACCACCAAAAUAUUAAAACGACAUCACUUUUUUUGUGACACAUUUGUGAUAGUUAUAAGUUGUCACAUACUCUUGUGAUAGAUAAAUUAAUGUCACAGAUUUAUCACAGGGGCUACAAUGACAAAUAGAAACUCUGUCAUAAAGAGGGUCGGAUGACGGAUAUUCUCUGUCAUGGUAGCCCAUUUUUCUAGUAGUGAUUCAUGAUUUUCUUAAGAUUUUACAUCAUCUUGGCUUUAUGCAUUUAAUGAGUAAGACUUUAUAUCAUCUUAGCUUUAUGCAUUUAAUGAGGGAUAAGGUUUACUAUAUCCCCUAAUUAAUUGUGUUAAUUCUAUUAUUUAUAGAAUUUUCAUUUUAUGGCAAGUCUAAUAAAUUAAAAUUUUAUUUACUGAAUAUCAUGUAAUAGGUUUUAAUUUAUUAAAUUCCUAACUAAUUUAUUGAAAUUCCAAUUUAUUAGGAAUAUCGUUUCCUAGUUUAAUUAGAUGUCUAAUUUAGCAAGUUAAUUAGUGAAUGAAUUUUAUAAUUGGUGCGUAUGAUUUAUUUAGAGGAAAAAAUUGGUUUAAACAGAAAGUUUAUUAAAUGCUCUAGAUAUUUCUUAGAAGACAAGUAAAGCAAGCAUAUCAUAUUUAUUCCUAUUUAGAUUUAUAGGAAUUAUAAGAGGAAAUAAACUUUUAUUUAGAAAGAAUCCUAGUCUUUCAACUACAGUCUUAAUAAAGUUUUUCACAUCAGCCUCAUAGUCAUCAUACAAUAUAUCAAUUUUUUAUGGGUACAAUAUAUCAUAUUUAAGCCAAGAUUUAUCCAUUUUUUGUUUAGUACCUGACAUAUAAUUGACAUAAAUUUCAACAUAAUGUACUAAUGGUUUGCAAUGAUAAAUUGUUUCCAUUAUCAAUAAAAUUAAGCAACAAAACAUUAUUAAUAUUUAGUUUAUAAAUUUAAUGAAAUAAAUAAAUUUAAAACCAAAACUCGUCAUCACGUGCAACAAAUAUAACUUCACCAACGUGCUGUCAUCGUUUACCAAAACCUCUAACUAACAAUACCCACUAAUAACAUCCUAAAUAAUUUAGGCCACAUAUUUUAACAUUUAUUUAAAAAAAAUUUCUAACGAUCCAGCAUUUCAUGGACCACAAGACUAUCCAGCAUUUCAUGGACCACAAGACUAUGUAUACAUAUAUAAGCAACUAAACGUUCCUUGGUCCACAUGACCAAACUUGCCCCCACAUGGUACCAUUUCUUUCAAACAUAAAAAAGACAAUUGAAAAAGGGGUCCUCACUUUUCAACUCAAUAAAAUACACUAGAAAUUAUUAUCAAGUUUCCAAAUCUAACUCACAAUCAUUAAAAAAAAAUAUAUCAACGCCAUUGGACCCUAGUUUUGGAUCCAUCCCAAUAAAACACACUAGUCAAUGAAAAGUGCUAUAUCAUCAAGAAAAAUCAGUUCACAUAUAUGCAAAUUUUGACUGAAAAAUUACACAAUAUAACAACAUUCAGACAAACCAUUGCCAGCAAGCAUUUUUUAAACAUUGAAUGGAAAGGCAAGUAAAGAAUUGAACAAACCUGAUGUUAGAAAUCGAAUUCGAAAGGGAACAAAGCAGUGAAGUCCUGCAACUCAGGAAAAAAAUUAAAAAAAAAAGGACAUACUAAAUUAAAUGAUUGAGCAAUUUCUAGAUUUAAUAAAAGGACAAAGUAUAAGCUUCUUGAAUUAAAAAAAUAACCAAAGAUAACAGAAAAACAAACAAGAAUUAAAAAAAUAAAUAAUAAAGAUAAACCAUUCAUGAUAGAAAUCCCCCCAAAAAAAGGGCAUAAAUUAUGAACAAAUAAGGGAGAUAACAACAAAACUGACAAUUAAUCUUAUAAUGCCCAACUAAUUUAUUCAAAAUAAAAAAUAAAAAAGCUAAUUGACAAUAAAUCUAAGGAUUCGGUAAUUACAAGGAUGGCUUCUUGAUAACUCUAUGAAAUAAGAAUUAUCAUGGCACUUUUAAACUUAAAUCAAUAAUACUUAGAGAGUAAAUAAUGUGUUUUCAUUGCAUUUUUAUUAUAUUUUGCAUAAACAUUCAUCUUAGUUUAUUCGUAAUAAAUAUUUUUUGAUUUAGAAUAAUUUAUAUGCUAAAUCAUAUGCAUAAUUGUAGGUGUCCAGAAGCUCAAAUUUCAAGAAAAGAAUGCUGAUGCAAUAGGCUUGCAAAAGAUGGAAAAUAACUUAGCUACAAAAGAAUUGAAACAAAUCUGGACAAUGCAGUUGCUGUAGCCGUUGCUGUAGCAAUCCUGGAACAACGACAAAGAAAAUUUUGUUCGGGAUACUUGCAGAAUUGCGAUCUGCAGUUUCCUAACCUGACUUAUGUGCGCCCUAGACUUCCGUUUACCCUAAUUUUCAACUAUAAAAAAAGCACACAUCAUAAGGAAUAGGGGGAGCCGUCACCCAAGGAGAAAAACACAUAGAAACAAAAGAAAAACAAGAUUCAAGAGAGAGAUUAAGGGCUGCACAAGAGGAAAAAUUGCAGAGAUCAAUUGGGAGCUCAAUCUUUCUUAUCCUUUUCUUGUUUUCAUGUUCUCUAUUUAUUCAUGGGGAUGUGUUUCAUGGCCGAAACUUUGUUCUUUAUUUUUCUUUUGCAAAUCAUGAACUAAAUUUAUUUGAAUUGUUGGUUUAUUGACUGAAAAUAUGAGUUGUUGCAUGUUUGUUGUAGCAUUUUGUUUUGAUAGCAUUUAUUUUUAUUCAUUAUUUCGGUUGAUCACCCAUUUAAUGAUACAAGUUAGGAGAGAGCCACAAAAGGGCCUAUCUUAGUGGAACAUAUCAGAGAAAUACUUGGUUUUAGAUUGGGUUUACUGGAUUGAGUUUAAUUUAUCCCAAAAGGGCCAUGCUUAAUCUAAAAUUAGUGAUGAACUAGACAUAGGGAUUCACUUUGUAGGGUAAAUAGAACCUAAGCGUGUAAUGUUAUAUCUUAUGUGGGCAUAACAACUGAUCACUGUUAUGUUGCAUAUAGAUAUAAGAUAUCCUACAUGCGAUGGCUGAGGAUACAUAAGGAUUCUACCCAAUGCUGUAGCAACUGAGCCAACCAUUAGAAAAUAGUCAAGACCAUUAGGAGAGUUUAUUCACUCAACUACUCUAUAUUUCCAUUGGUUUUAUCCUUGAGUUUGACGUGAUAAUUUACUUUGUUGCAUUUAUUUAUUGUGUUUUUAUUUUAAUUAGUAUAUUAAUUUCAUUAAUUAUUUUAUCUUAAUUUAAAACAAAAUCUGCACUGUUAAGAUUGUUGUAGCAAGUAUGAUAACAUCAAUCCCUGUAGAGACGAUCUUGAAUACUCAUCACUUUAUUACUUGUUGUGUACACUUGCACAUUGACACUAAUAGCAUUUGAAUUCAUACCAACACUUCUCCACCGCCAAUUAAACAAUGCAAAGAAAUAGUGACAACGAUGACUUCAACAGUGAACGUGUUGAUGGAAGGCGCAACAAUGAGUAUAUAUGGUGAUUUUGUGCUUAAAAAUUUAUAAUGAAGUGGUUGCUUCAAUAGCAUAUACAAUGAUUUUGGUUUCCAUGCAAUGGAUUUCAAAACCAAUUUUUAUAUUAAAGUAGGGCUUGUUAAUUAUGGAUUUUGAGGGGUUUCAAUGGUGAGGUUUCUCAGCCCUCGCCGAUGGAGUGAUGAAGUCAGAGGAGCUGAAGUGUUUAUUAACACUUAGAAUUUUCUUGUAGUUUAAAGUCUAUAGUAAACAACAACGUUUAGAAGUUAAAUAAAUAUUUUUAUUUUUAAAAUUUUUUAAAUUAUGAAAAAUCAACACGGUGCCGUUUCAUGCCCAAAUUGAUAUAUCCUAAACUCACAGUUUCAUUAAAUAUUAAUAUGCUAUCAUAUUUAUAUGAUAAAUAAAAACUCUAUCACAAAUUUGUCAUGCCUUUAUGAUGUAUGAAAAUUCUGUCAUGUGUCUAUCAUAUUCUUGUGAUAAAUGACCAAUUUUCUAAUAUCUAUCACAAAAAUUCUGUCAUGUUAGCCCAUUAUUCUAGUAGUGAGAUAUUUAUCCAACUGGAUUACAAAGUAAUUGAAAUUAAUUGUAACACCUAUGGCCAAAACUUGGACCCAGUGUUAUUUUAUAAUCAAAAUUGAAACCUAUAGUUACAGUCAGCUUGAAUCUGAAUCAAAUGAGCAAAGGGGGGCAAUUGCCUUCUCUAAGCUCUAACCAUGAAACAAUAAUCAAAUCGUCAGACCUCUAAAAUAAGCCAAUGAAACAUUACUCACAAACCCAUCGAUUAACAUCUUUAAAGCUUUGGCACUGAAACUUAAACGAGCGUUUUGUGUUAAAUAGUAUUGAAAGUAAACACAGCAGCAAACUUAAACGAAAAAGUAUUGUCAUUCAUUGUGUGAAAAAUUAUGCGAAAUUCUGAUAUUUUACGUCGAUCUAUCCAAAUCCAAGCAGGAAAAUGAAUGCUCGAGCAAUAUUCAAAUAUCAAAAGAGCAUAUUUUCAAAAUUAAGUUAGGAAAAAAAAUUUCAGUAUCAAUUAUCAUCAACGGGUUCUUGAUGUUAAGAAUAAGCAUUAACAUGAGCUGCUCAGGUCGGCUGAUGAAUCAGCAAGCUGUUAAGCAAUAUGCUGAGUCAUCAGCCACGUCAGCAGUCAGUUACGGAGGCUGUUGCUUUGCUUAAGAAGCCUCUGGAUAUGUAUAUAUAAACCCCUGUAAUCUCAGUUCAUUUUGUAGCUUAAUGAAAUGAAUUUGGCUCACUAUUCUUCUAUCAAAACUUUUAGUAUUUUCCCUUCACUUUCUAGGCAAACAAACACAGCAACAUCUUUUAACUGUUGAAAUCUUCCAGCUCCGGUGCAAGCCUCAGUCACAAUGUAUUCACUCGAUGGCACAUCUUCACCCAGACUUUUCGGUAAAGUGAAUUAAAGCUUUCAGAAUGAUAGAAAGCAAAUGCAUGAGCCACGAAGAUCUGGAAGAAUGCCAAAGCCAAACCCUAAGUAUACUACUGAGAGCAUGAGUUGACUCCCAUGCAAGCCAUGCAUGAGACAUGCAUAUGCAGAUAUUGUGAAGAUAAGUGCUGGAGCCGUGAGAACAUGAGUUGACUCCCAUGCAAGCCAUGCAUGAGACAUGCAUGUGCAGAUAUUGUGAAGAUAAGUGCUGGAGCCGUGAUCUGGGGAUAACCUUAUCAACGAUUGUGCAACGAUUAAAGGGGAAGCUAAGACACGGAAGUUGUUUUCGAUUAUCUUUCUGUUUCGAAAUAUUAGCUAAGUUGUUAUUUUAAUAUUUGUUUUAUUGAUUUCAGCCGUGAUUGUGGGUUGAAAAUCAAAGUCUUGUUAUUAUAAAUAAGCUCCAGAAUAUGAAUAAAGGCAUUGAGAAUUCAAACUACAAUUAUUUGGUUAUUUCUCACCAUAAGCAGAAAAAUAUCACUAGCAUUAUUCGUAAUCAUUGUCUGCAUCUGACUGGGACCUAACACAGAACGAUACAUAAAACUUUAAAUUGUUCCUGUAACACACAGAAAGUCUUUAGUUCGGUAUCGUAAAUUCAAUUUCUUAUAAUCUCAUUAAUAUACUUUUUGAAUUUUAUUGUGAUCUUCAUUAGGCGUCAAUUUUUAUUUUUCAUUUAAAAGAAAAAGCACUUCCGGAGUCAUUGUAAGAUCUUUUUCUGUGUAAAUAUCUUUUUCUUUUAAUUUAAAAUUAGAUAUAUCAAACUUAUUCAUCGGGGUUUUGUUACAUUUCCUUUUAUUUUCAAUAAUUAAUUUGUUAUCUAAUUGGUCAAUAAAUUUGCUUCUUGUUUGUCCAGUACACUAAUAUAGAUGCUGUUCAUUAGAAGCAGACACAUAGCUGUAAAUUAUUUCUUAGGUUUUGAGAUAGGAAUGACGAAGGACAGAUGCAGGGGCACUGUUUUAAGUCAACCAAAGUUAAAGAUGAUUCGAACUCAUAGUUCUUGCAUAAAAACCUUUGUUAGCUUUACUUUUGUUGUCAAAAUUAUUAUUAUUAUAAUUUUUUUAAUGGUAGAAGUAGAACCUAAUCCCUCACAAUUAUCAAUUAAUACUAUGUUAAUUACCAAACACUAUUAUUUUUUUAUUCAUACCUAGUAGUGAUUUAAAUUUGAAAAGCGACAAAACCAUAAACCAGUUUUUAAUAUAUAAUAAACCAGUUUACAUUUAUUUUUUUAAGGAGAAAUGUAAGGAUCCUUUUAAUAAAAAAAAACCAUCAACAUUAAAAUGAUAGAAUUAGAAACGAAAAUCACAACAACAUUACAAUUGCAUUCAGUUUCUACGUAUCCUCCUCCUCCUUGUUGCCUUUUGCUGCGUUCCCAACUUCUCCAGAAUCCAUCCGAUAAUUCCUGUGCUGAAGUUGAACCCGAGAACCAAUCCUGCCACAAGUCCGCCCGCAUAGCCAAUCAGAAUGAUUUUCCAAUCAGAUGCGCCCGAAAACAGAGACUUCUCCGACCUUUAAGUAUGAUCUUCAAUUGUUGGAGGUUCACCACUCUCACAUUCUUUGGACAAAGGCCUUCCACAAAAUCCUGAGUUGCGGUCCAAAGAAGUGUUGUCAAAUGUAGCAAAUUGCUUUCCUUGUGGUAUAAGCCCUGCAAGGCAAUUGUCCGAGACAUUGAAGAAUGCGAGAAAUGUGAGCUGAACCAGUUGUUGAGGAAUCUGUCCUGAAAACUUGUUAUUUGAGAGAUCCAAUGAUUCCAAAUUUGUUAGAUUGCCCAAACAUGAUGGAAUAUGGCCUUGGAGAUUAUUGUUCUGGAGGUUUAGAACUUGAAGUCCCUUUAAAUUCUCAAUCGAUGCUGAAAUCGCCCCAUCAAAACUAUUGUUUGAGAGAAUAAUGCCCGCGAGGAUAUCUGGAAUCUUGUUAUAUGUCAUCAUUCGCCCUUUGCUGUUCAUUGUCAAUGAUCAGUAGUCAUAAGUGCUAAGUAUAUCAUUGGACAAUUGUCCAUACAGACAAAGCACAUCUUGCAGAUAUCUUAGCUCACUUGCAUUGACAAUUUUCAUGGCAUUCCAACACAGGAAACUCUUUGAUGGAAGCUUUCCAGUAAAUCUGUUGUCAGAUAGGUCAAUAAUGCGGAAUUUAGAAAAUCCACAACCAGUUCUGGGUUCUUCUAUAAUGCCAUAAAAUAUGUUGGAUCGUAGGAUGACGACAUUCAAUUUUGGCAGACUUCCUAACCAAGAGGGAAAAGUGUCACUAAUCUGGUUGUUCCCAAGACCAAGAAAUUCCAACUUUGAACAGUUGAUCAAUGAUCUUGGAAUUCUUCCUUGAAACAGAUUAUGGCUUAAAUCCAUCACGCCUAAUCUACUUUCUUUAGUGAAUGUAUUUGGGAUGGUCCCAGAGAAGUUGUUCCCCUGCAAGUCGAGCACUGAAAGUUCAUUGCUGAAAUUGCCUAAACACUGAGGAAGCAAGCCACUUAAGUUAUUGUGAGACAAAACAAGGCUUUCAAGUAUAUUCAAAUUGCAUAUCCACGAUGGAAUUUCCCCUGUUAAGCUACUGCUAAAAGCUAGAUAGUUAACGGUUCCGGGGGGUGGAACUGGGAGUGGUCCUUGUAAAUUAUUAGAGCUAAGAUCAAAAGUCACCAAAUCACCGUUAUUCCCUGGAAGAAGAAUAGGAUGCUGAUCAAACCCGGUUAACAAGUUAUGCGAAAGGUUCAAGGCAUUUAGAUUAUGCAUAUUGGGGUCUAACAACCAUUUGGGUACUUUUCCCUCAAUUCUAUUGUCAGAAAGGUCCAGGACCACCAUAUCACGUUGGUUUUCCAAGAAAUGUGGAAAUUUAGUAAGAUUGCAUGAACGCAGUCCUAUAUAUUGAAUUUUCUGUGAAGUGGUAUUAGAAGUGGCUUUGGUGAGCAUUGACAACCUAUUUAAUGAGAGACCUAAAACUAACUCUAUCGUUCCUCCAUAAGAAUUUUGAGCCAUGUCAAGGACGACAAGUUCGGUAAGAUUCCGAAGUGAAGAUGUAAUUUGACCUGAAAAAUUACACUCAGACAUAUAUAUUGCUUCCAAUGACCUAAGAUUUCCAAUGGAACCAAGUAAGUUACCUGAAAAAUUAUUAAAUCCAAGAUACAAAAAUUGUAGCCGGGUGAAAUUACCAAUUGAAUGUGGAACUUUGCCCCAAAAACCACAUGACCUCAGAUCUAAUAGCUUCAAAGAACUAAAAUUUCCAGUCGACCAAGGAAACUCACCCAAAAAUUUAUUAAAUGAAAGGUCAAGUUUUUCCAAAGAAAAAAGAUUUCGAAUGGAAGUAGGCAACUCGCCAAAAAAUCCAUUUUGUGAAAGGUCAAGUUCUUUCAAAGAACCAAGAUUUCCUAUGGAAAUAGGCAACUCACCAAAAAAUCUAUUUUGUGAAAGGUCAAGUUCUUACAAAGAACUAAGAUUUCCAAUGGAAAUAGGCCACUCACUCGACAAAAAAUUUGCAGAGAGAUCUAGUUCUUUCAAUGAAUGAAGAUUACCAACAGAAAUAGGCAGCUCACCUUGUAAUUCAUUUAGUGAAAUGUCUAAAUGAAGGAGCUUUGAUAGAUUACCGAUCGAAGAUGGAAUUCUUCCUGAAAUUAGUAAAAAAAAAAAAAGAACACAUUGCUUAAGUGGAAAAUAAAAAAUAAUAAUAAUUUUUACUAAUGAAUUUAACAUUGCAAUUGACAAUUUUCGAGUAAAAUAUAUAUAUUUAACAAUAACAUGCAUGUAUAUUAAUUAAGGAGAAAAUAUAUAAAAUUUAAUUACCUUGCAAUUCACAGUUUUGAAGAGAAACAAACGUCAAAGAAGAUAGAUUUCCGAUGUUAUGAGGUAUCAUUGAAUCAAUAGAAACAUCACCAAGGUCAAGUGUUUUUAGAUUACUUAACUUCUCGACUAAAUUUUCGAAACUGGGCUUCUGGAGUUCAACUCUACUACCAGGAACAUCAUUUAGUGAUAAAUCAAGGGACACCAAGUUGGAGAGCUUUAGAAUUUCUGAAGGUAUUUGACCAGAUAAAGAAGUUCCAGAGAGGUUCAAGUAUGAUAACCUGGAAAGGUUGAUGAUUUCUGGUGGGAUUUCGGAGGAAUUGAAGUCAUUCAAAGCAAGAUUAAGCCACUCGAGAUGGACAAGCUUGGAAAGGCUGCUGCUAGAGUCGAUAGAACCAAAAAGGCAGCUAUGGGAGAGGUCAAGCUUGAUGACAUGACCGGUGUUCUUAUUGCAAUGAACGUCGUCCCAAGAGCAGCAAUCAACGCUACCUUCUUCUGGCUUCCAUGAUGCCAUUGUAGGACGACAGUCAAAUUUCCAAGCAUAAAAAUCACCACUGAUGCGGCUUUCUUUGAAUUGCAACAAAGCAGAAAGCUCAUCAUCAUGGCAGAGUGGCAGCAUAGAAGAAGCAGUGACGUUAGCAAUUGUAAAAUUAAAGAAAAAGAAGGGAAAAACUAACCGUAUGAAUAUUGUGAAUAAACAUAUGGACGAUAAGCCCAUAGUUUUCUCAAAAAUAAAAUUUGUUUAACUUUGUAGAUGUGAAGAAAUUUAAGGAUCUUUAGUUUGGACUCUUUUUUGUUUUUUUAAGUCGACAAAAGUUAGUCUUAAUAAUAUUUAUUUUUUAUUAUUUGAUGUGAUGUCGUAAACUUUUACCAUUCCGUCACCACCGAAAAUACGUUUAUAGCAAACGUGAGGAUUAAUUAAUUAGCACAGGGAAAAAAUGAAAAUGAGUAAAUGAGUAAUACAUUCAUUUUUAUUUUUUGUUUGAAAAAAUGAAAAACAUAAUUCCGAAGUGGUCCUGACCACUUGAAAUUUUUUAAAAAAUGAUAAAUAUUAUUUGGAUAUGAUAUCAACUCAAAAUUCAAACAAAUCUUACAAACAACUGGGGAAAAAUGGUGAAUUCCAUUCCUUAACCGUGGUUUAUUAAAUUUAAAAAAAAAACUAGUGAAAAAAGAUGAUAAUUAAAUUAAUUUUAAUGGAAACAAAGUCACAAUAGUAGAAGUGACAAUUUCGGCACGAUUAGCUAAUUAAUCAGACACAAACACAAGACAAAUUAAUGAAUUUGGAUUUACUAAAAUUGACAUGAUUUUCAACUUUGAUCAAUUAAAAACCUUUCAUUUCGUAUCAUCGGACCCACUAUUAAUCAUCAUAAAUUAUAGUCAACAGACGAUCGAUUUCAGAGACUCAAGACUACUAAUGAUAAGCCUUUGCAUGCUCUGUACAUAUGCCGUGUCAGAAAAUUAUUUCUUACUUUUUAACAUAAGAAUGACGAAAGAGUGAUGUAUUUUUGGACACUGUUCUAAGUCAACUAAAAUUAAAAAUUGGCCAUAUAUCAUUAUAAUGGAUAUCAAGAUAAUUUGAACUCUUAGUUGUUGGAUAAAAAAAUAUUGUUAUCUUUAUUUUUGUUCGCAGAAUGGUUAUUAGUAUAGUUCUUUUAAAGUUCUCAAAAUUUUCAUUUAAAAAAAAAUGUUCCUACAAUAUACCCAAAAAAAAUAAAAAUUGAACCCCAAAAAGAGAAAACUAUUUUUUAAAAUAUAACACAGAUAAUAUCGGUGAGAGUAAUUUAGGUCAAUUCAAAAUCGCUAAUUCGGAGUCAGAUUCAUGUAUUAAUUGUAUCAUAAGUUACCAUCUCUGAGUACGACUAUGGCGUGACAGAGGCUAAUGGAAACUCCAGACUAGUGAGAGUCUAUCGUUACUGAAAAAUGCAUGAAUGGCAUGGAUGCAAAAGUAAUAAAAUUUGGAACUGAUGAUUAAGCCAUUGGCUAACAAAAAUUAACUUCUGAAGAGGCAAGGUCCCUCAAAAAAAAAAAAAAAUUCUUUAAUUUGUUCCAUUGUUUGGUUUGACAAAAUAUAUCAUCUAAAAUUUGGAACUGAUGAUCUAUCGAAGUUGACCUGUGUUUAUAUUUCCUUUCAUUUUCUAUAAUUUGUCAUCUAAUGGGUCAAUGAAUUAAUUUUCUUCUUCUUCUUUUUUAUCCUUUCCGCACUUGAAUUUCCCUUCACGGCAAGUUGAGUAUUCUGCAUACUUUAGGGAAUGUCAUUGUCUUGAUGACUUUUCACUACAACUCUAAAAUUUUCCUCCCCACGGCAUUUGAAUUUUCUUUGUAAACCGCGCACUCGUUGGCUGAGUGAUGACACCUCCUCAACUUAAUUAUUCUCAAGGUCAAGAAUUCGAGUUUUACUCCUUUAGGUUUCUUAGCCGAGCUGCCAAUGCGCCAAUUUGUAAUGAGCUUUACCUGAUGGUCUCUGAGAUGGGCUCUAAUUAGUGCACCUAAAUUCCUCUUAUGUUAGAAACUAAAGUUUCUAAAACUUUUUAACUUGUUUAAAUUAUCCUCCAGCAGUGCCUUGAAUGAGAUCUUCUACUCCAUCAAUGCUUGUAUGUUGUGUUUCAUUUGGGGAUUAGAUUUCCCAGUACGUAGACAGAGAACUCUGACUCUGUUGUCCGAUGUCUCUGCAUUUUCUUGAACUCUCUACUCUGACUCUCAUCGUGUAAUUAAGGAGGAUUAAAGUAAAAGAAAAGGGUAGAACCAGUUCUCCCUAUUUGUUGCACUAGCUAUCAGAUUUCCAUAUUAUACUAAUUAUUGGCCAAAAACAUUUUUUUUAUUUAAAUUGUCAAAAAGACUUGAAUGUUCUCAUCCUAAAAUAAGUUCCAUUAAAACAAUCAUAAUAUUUAUGGAAUGUUUAUAACUAGAAUGAGUGCUCCUACUUAAACUAGUAAAAUCUCUUGAACUAAUUUAAAUGUUCAAUCCUGCUCACAUGAGUGAGGAGAGGGUAUUUGUUUUAAAUUUUAUUGUAUUGAAUUUCGCACUUUCAAUACUUCAACGCAGUUAUUACGAUUUCAUCAAGUUUACGAUGUUAAUGAUCAAACAGUACACUUUCUAAACUAACUAAAAUAGUACCUAGCUAGCUAAUUAGAUAACGGAUUAAUGGAAUGGAUGUGGGUGUCUAGUUUUAGAGUUUGAAAUUUUUUUUUAAAUUAAUCAAAGAAAGCAUAUUUUUAAUUUUGAGUUAUUGUACUAUUAAUUAAUAAUUUAAUUAAAAAAUUUAUUUAUUUGCUAUCAUAAUAGUUGUUGAAAAUGCCUUUAAUAGGGGUUGGUUCAAUAUUUGGUUAGAGUCUGAUUUCAUGCUGGCGAUCCAACUUCUUCUUUUCAUCCCUCUUUGACCAUUUGAAAUGUACUUGCAUUGCAAAUGUCUGUAGUCAAACUUGGGUCUUCAAUGUACUCACAUCCCUUGGUAGGAUUUCUCUCCUUCAAAGAUUAGCGCUCUUUCUUCUCGAGAUGCAAAUGGCUUUUCAAAUUGUCAUUUUUGUUAAUGUAGGUCCUACAUUCAUGGUUUUCUGAAGAUUUUAUAUCAUCUUAGCUUUAUGCAUUUAAAGAGUAAGAUUUUAUAUCACCUUAGCUUUAUGCAUUUAAUGAGGGAUAGGGUUUACUAUAUCCCCUAAUUAAUUGUGUUAAGUCUACUAUUUAUCGAGUUGACAUCUUAUAGCAAGUUUAGUAUUGAAAUUUUAUUUACUAAAUAUCAUGUAAUAGUGAAACGACCCGCCCCAAACCCCAGGGUGAGUCUAUCUAAUCUCAUCAAAACUGGAUUGAUAAUAAUGUAAUUGUUAAAGAUUCUGCCGAAAAUUCAGCAAAGUUUCCUUUAUAAAUAUAGCACUCCCAAUCUGAAAAUAUGUAAAACAAGCACUUCCAAAAUAAUUCAAUUUACAACAAACUCCAAUAAUCAACAUCCUCAACUAAAAUGCUGAGUUUUUCUCAAGACAUCUCCAAAGUCUCAAAGAAUAAUAUUAUAACUAAUAUUAAUAUACCUCAGUUUAUUUUUAAUCCUAAAAAAAUAAUAUAACAAAAUUAUACAAUCCCAAAAGAACGAGAUAACCAUCAUGUCCUAACAAAAAGCAUCUAUAUCUUCUAACACCAUCACGUGGCCAAGACUCAAAAUAUAUUUACAGUCGUUAGGUCGGUCUAGUGUACUUGCAACCUCCUGGUGGGGGGGGGGAAUAUAAUAAAAACGGGAUGAAUAUAAAACUCAGUGAGUGGAUAGUAAUUUUUGAAAAUUAAUUCUUAUUUUAAAAGAAAUAAUCAUGUCAUUUCCAAACACAAUUUUAUUAAACCAUAUGUGAGAAACCAGUAAUAAAUCAUUUAACAUUUAAAUCGGAUUACUAACCAUGAAAAGCAUAUACAAUAUCGUACCUAAUAACCAUGGAAAUCAUAUCACGAUAUUAUAUAGAAUACACAGAUCUGAAAAAUCAUCACCAAACAAGUACCCAGGGGAAUAAUCUCGUCGUAUUUAGACCUCAAUGGACAGGCAAUGACGUACUAUCUAGGUACCGUCACCCCCCAGAGCUACACGGAUAGACAAGGAAAUACCAUCUCAUAUCUCAUCAUAUCAUCUCAUCAUAUUUGUGCAUGCAUAAUCUAGUCCCCAAAGGACAAAAGCACCCAAGCACACGGCCCAAAGUCUCUAUGUGUACUCAGACGAGCCCCAAAGGCCUGUAUCUCAUCUGUGUCAUAUGUAUCUCAAUAUCUGUCUGUAUCUCAUAUCUAUAUCUCUGUAACCAUCAUACCGCAUGCAUAUCCCCCCAAAAGGCAAAAGCGCCCAAAUACACGGCCCAAAGCCUCUAUGUGUGUUCAGACGGGCCCCAAAGGCCUCUCAUCUCAUCUGUAUCACUGUAUCUGGAGGGAAGGGUAUUGUCCAAUGAUUUUAAAAGCAAUCUCUAUACUCAUAUUCAUAUACAUUAUAAUCAUAUCUUUCUUUUCAUUAUCACAUCUAAAUCCACUUUUCUCAUCUUUAAGAUACUCUCAUAUUUUAUUCAAGUCUGUACGGAAAACCAUUAACCAAACAUUUUAAUAUAAUGUUAAUGCGUGAAUAAAAUCUAUUUCGAGAAAAUCAUUAAAUCAGAAUAUUUAAAAUACUUAUUUCGCAAACAUGCUUUACUAUCAUAAUUAACUAUGAAAAUAGGUUUUGUAUAUUCCAUUCAUAGUGACGGUGUUCACGUCCGGUUAUCGUCCACGUUCGCAGACUGCUUAUUGCUUGCGGAUCCUCCUAAAUCAAGGAAACGACAUAAUUAUUUUUCAUAAAUUGGAAUUACGACUAAAUUUAUACAAUAAACUUGAAACGAACAUCUAUCCAUAAUUUACAACUCCCGUGUCGAUAGAGUUACCAAAAUACCCUUGAAUCCGUAAAUCAUUAAAUACUCUGAAAUCGUAAAUCACCGAAUUACCCUUAGAAUCAUAAUUACACUCAAUCCUCAAUUUUAGGAAUUACUAAAAUAUCCACAGGCUCAUGAAUUACAAAAUCAAUGAAAUGACAUAAUUAUUUUCCAUAAAUCGGAAUUAUGACUAAAUUUAUACAGUAAACUCGAAACAAACAUCUAUCCAUAAUUUACAACUCCCGUGUCGAUAGAAUUACCAAAAUACCCUCGAAUAUGUAAAUCAUGAAAAUACUCUGAAAUCGUAAAUCACUGAAUUACCCUCAAAAUUGUAAUUACACUCAAUCCUCAAUUUUAGGAAUUACUAAAACAUCCACAGGCUCAGGAAUUACAAAAUCACCCUCAAAAUGUGAAAUUACUGAAUUGCCCUUGCCGGUCAAUGGUGGCCGAAAUUCAAGCAACAGUGACCGGAAAGCUCAGGUUAGACACUUCUCGCUGAGCUAAGUUCAAUGAUACUGGCGGUGUGCUCCCACGCUUGGCGACGACACCGGAAUCUAGCUCGACAGCCCUGUAACUACAACGGCUGAACCACAGCAAAUCGACAGCUCUCGGUGGCUGUGGAUGGUCGGAAAAUCAAAAGGGAGUUGUGGGGAACAAAAUCCAGCCAGUGGUGUCACCCAAAACCGCCGAAAAUCUCGACAGAGCAAAGUGGAAAAGUCGCGGGUUUUUCAAGCUUUGGUCGCCGAUGUUCUGGUUGUUUUUCGAUAACGUGGACGGCUGGGGUAUGAUGGCCAGACUUCAAGCCUCAGAUUGGUACCAAGCUUGACCGGUGGAGUGGCCGAAAUCGUAAGAUAUGGCCGAGUCAAUUUCGGGUCAAACAGGUCGGGUUUUUGGGUCGGUUUUGACAGCUUCUCUCUCACUCUCUCACACGUGUAUUUGUUACCCCAUUUCCAGCUUCUUCAUUUACUUUUUAACCGCCUCACCUCUUUUUUUUCACAUAUGUUACAAUCCUCCCCACUUAUAAAAAUUUUGUCCUCGAAAUUUACGUACCUAAUAAGAAAAGAUAAGGAUACUGAGCUCGCAUUAAGUCUUCGCAUUCCUAUGUAGCCUUUUCCUUUGUAUGAUUCCUCCAUCGUACUUUUCCUAGAGGAAUGGUCUUAGAACGCAGAACUUGGUGUUUCUCUUCUAGUAUCUCCACUAGUUCCUUUUCGUAAGUCUAAUCUUCCUUCAACUGAAUUGGUUGCUUCGAUAACACAUGGUUCGGAUCAUAUAUGUACUUUCGGAACAUUGAGACAUGAAACACAUCGUGGACUCUGGAUAACUCUGGUGGUAGAGCUAAUCGAUAAGCUAACAGACCGAUGAGCUCAAUGAUCUCAUAAGGCUGAAUGUAACGUGGUCUUAGCAUCCCACGUUUCCUAAAUCAAAGCACCCCUUUCCAAGGAGAUAUUCGUAUGAAAACUCUAUGACCAACUUCAAAUUCAAGUUCCUGCCUACGCUUGUCUGCAUAACUCUUCUAUCUAUCUUGGGCCACUUUUAAUCUAUCCUGGAUCAAUUGUAUCUUGUCGUCAACUUGGUGCCUACAGCAUUUUGCAAGCUGGUCCAGAACUUAGAAGUAAACCGGGAAUCUCUAUCUGAGACUAUGGACACGGGUACUCCAUGAAGUCGAACUAUCUCAGCCAUAUAAAUACUCCCUAACUUGUCCAUCGAAUAGGUGGUUUUGAAUGGUAAAAAGUGAGCAGAUUUUGUAAGUUGAUCAACAACCACCAAAAUACUAUCAUGUCCUUUCUGAGUACGUGGAAGUCCCGCUAUAAAAUCCAUAGUGAUGUGCUCCCAACUUCCACUCAGGAAUAGAAAGCGACUGAGAACACCUUGUAGGCCUUUGGUGUUCAGCUUUAAUCUGCUGACAGACUAAACAUCGAGAAAUAAAUUCUGCUAUCUCUCUCUUCGUGCCCUUCCACCAACAAUGAUCCCUCAGGGUGUUGUACAUCUUCGCCCUACCAUGAUGCAUCGCAUAAGCCGAACAGUGAGCUUAUUCCAUAAUCUCUUCUUUUAGAUCCUUAAUAUCAGGUACACAGAGUCUAUUACCCAUGACUAAGACUCUGUCGUCUCUUACCGUAAAAUCGGUUCGUAAACAUUUUUGCACAUCCUCUUUCAACUUCAUUAAUUGUGGGUCCUGAGCUUGCAUUUGGUGAACUUUGUCAAUCAAAGUCGGCCUAACUCGAAAGUUAGCUAUUAAAGCUCCACAAUUGUCAGCGUUCAACUUGACUUCCAAAGAUCUCAACUCGAUCAACAGAGGCAUAUAUGUCAUUCGUAAGUGAGCUAUAAAGCUGGAAGACUUUUUACUUAGUGCAUCAUGUACCACAUUCGCUUUGCCCGGAUGAUAAUCAAUAGUGCAAUCGUAGUCCUUAAUUAGCUCGAUCCAUCUCCUCUAUCUCAAAUUUAGCUUUUUCUAAGUAAAUAAAUACUUGAGACUCUCAUGAUGGGUGAAAAUCUAACACGUUGCCCCAUAUAGGUUAUGCCUCCAUGUCUUGAGUGCCAAUACCACUGCUGCUAGCUCUAGGUCAUGUGUUGGGUAGUUUUGCUCAUGCUUCUUAAGUUGUCUAGAACCAUAAGCCACCACUUUAUCAUGUUGUAUUAACACACAACUCAAUCCUUGCCUAGAGGCAUCGUUGUAUACCACAAAUCCUUCAUUACCAAAUGGAAGUGUAAGAACUUGUGCUGAGGUCAAACGUAUCUUAAGUUCUUGAAAACUCUUUUCACAAUCAUCAUCCCAUUAAAACUUAGCAUUCUUUUUGGUUAACCGUGUUAGAGGAGUAGCAAUCUUAGAGAAUCCCUCCACAAAUCUACGAUAGUAGCCAGCCAACCCCAGGAAACUUCUAACCUCUGUGACAUUUGUAGGCCAUUCCUAUUUCACAACAGCUUCAAUCUUUUGAGGAUCAACAUAAUGCCUUCAGCUGAUAUCACAUGGCCUAAAAAUACUACUCUGUCCAACCAGAACUCGUACUUGCUGAACUUGGCAUACAACUGCUUUUGUCUCAAAGUCUGUAAAACAGUCUGCAAAUGCUCUGCGUGCACCUCCUCACUUCGAGAAUACACCAAGAUAUCAUCAAUGAAUACAAUCACAAACCGAUCCAGGUACGGGCGAAAUACCUUAUUCAUAAGGUCCAUAAAAGCUGCUAGAGCAUUUGUCAACCCAAAUAGCAUCACCAAGAAUUCAUUUGUCCAUAAUAGGUUCUAAAUGUUGUUUUAGGAACAUUGGCCUCUUUAAUUCUAAGCUAAUGGUACCUCGGGCACAAAUCGAUCUUAGAAAAUACUUUCGCCCCCUGAAGUUGAUCAAACAAGUCAUCAAUACACGGAAGUGGAUACUUAUUGUGUACCGUAACUUUUUUCAACUGUCUGUAGUCGAUGCAAAGUCUAAAAGUCCCAUUUUUUUUCUUAACAAACAAGACUGGAGCUCCCCGCGGGGACACACUAGGUCUAUUAAACCCUUUAUCUACCAACUCUUGCAAUUGAAACUUCAGUUCCUUCAACUCUGCUAGAGCCAUCCUGUAUAGUGCCAUAGAUAUAGGAGAUGUUCCAGGGACUAAGUCAAUAGAAAACUCAUCUUCCCUGUUAGAUGGCAUCUUAGGAAAUUCAUCUGGAUGGCCUACUACUAGAGCCACCCUCUGCCCAGCUCUGGCUAUGCUUCUGCUUCAGUGCACAAACUUUGCAUCCCUCUGAAAUAUUGUGCUCUACUCUCCUGGCUGCCUCAACUACCUCUCCAAACUCAGUGUAUCGUAAUGCAGUCACGGUGGUACGAAUCUCAAAUCGGAGGCUUUCCUCAAACCAUUUGCAUCUCUCUUUCUCAUCACCGACUACAGAUGUAGCAAAUCUAAAGAGGUCUAAAAAUUUCUUCUCAUACUCCUCAACUGUCAGGGAUCCCUGAACUACCAGAAGGGAUUCACUCCGUUUAAUAUCCUAAUACACAGCUGGAAAAUAAUGAUUGUAGAAUUCCUUAUGGAAAAUGCUCCAAGUAAUCGCAGCAUGCCCCUGAUAUCAUCUUUCCACUGUCUGCCACCAAUGGUAAGCUCUAUCCUCGAGCAAGAAAGUGGCAAAGGAUAAUCUGUCAUCCUCUGAACACUUCAUCAUGUCAAAAGUACGCUCUGACUUAACAAACUAUGACUCAGCCUCAAGUGGUUCUUCGGAAACAUUUAAGUUUCUCACUCGCUCAAUAAUGAUUGCAUUGCCAGCAUGCUCUUGAGUCUGAUUCUGCACAACUGUAGUCAUGAUCUGAGCUAGCCUAUCAAAUGACUGCUCAAUAUUUGGGGCAAUCCCUGGCGCCUAUUGUGCAAUUUCAUAUGUGGAGGAUUCAACUACCCCUCUUUCACAAGUUCACUUUCCCCCAUAGGUACCCCACUAGAAGACAACCCAACUACUGGCCUAGUACGGCCACGACUACGUCUACUGCUACGACAAAGCAUGAUGGUGCCUACAAGAUAUAAAUUCUAACUUUAAUAAAAAAAAUAAAACUUAUUCUUACUAAGGUAGUAAAGUCUGCAAAAUCUAAAACCAUGCUCUAAUACCAACUUAAACAACCAGCCCCAAACCCCAGGGUGAGUCUAUCUAAUAAUAAUCUAAUUGGUAAAGAUUCUGCCGAAAAUUCGAUAGAGUUUCCUUUAUAAAUAUAACACUCCCAAUCUGAAAAAAUGUAAAACAAGCACUUCCAAAAUAAUUCAAUUUACAACAAACUCCAAUAAUCAACAUCCUCAACCAAAAUACUAAGUUUUUCCCAAGAUAACUCUAGAAUCUCAAAGGAUAAUAUUAUAACUAAUAUUAAUAUACCUCAAUUUAUUCUUAAUCCCAAAAGAAUAAUAUAACAAAAUUAUACAAGCCCAAAAGAACGAGAUAACCACGAUGUCCUAACAAAAAGCAUCUAUUUCUUCUAAUACCAACACGUAGCAAAGACUCAAAAUGCAUUUACAGUCGCUGGGUUGGUCUGGUGUAUCUGCAACCUCCUGGUGGGGGGAAAAUAUAAUAAAAACGGAAUGAGUAUAAGCCUUAGUGAGCUCAAUGAGUGGAUAGUAAUUUUUGAAAAUUAAUUCCUACUUUAAAAGAAAUAAUCAUAUCAUUUCCAAAUACGAUUUUAUCAAACCAUAUGCGAGAAACCAGUAAUAAGUCAUUUAACAUUUAAAUCAGAUUGCUAACCGUGAAAAGCAUAAAUAAUAUCGUACUUAAUAACCAUGGAAAUCAUAUCACGAUAUUAUAUAGAAUAUACAGAUCUGAAAAUCAUUACCAAACAAUUAUCCAGGGGAAUAAACUCGUCGUAUCCAAACCUCAACGGACGGGCAAUGACUUACUAUCUAGGUACCGUCACGCCCCAUAGCUACACGGAUAGACAAGGAAAUACAAUCUCAUAUCUCAUCAUAUUUGUGCAUGCAUAAUCUAGUCCCUAAAGGACAAAAGCGCCCAAGCACAAGGCCCAAAGCUUCUAUGUGUACUCAGACGAGCCCCAAAGGCCUGUAUCUCAUCUGUAUCAUCUGUAUCUCAAUAUCUGUCUGUAUCUCAUAUUUGUAUGUCUGCAACCAUCAUACCCCAUGUAUAUGCCCCCAAAAUGCUAAAGCGCCCAAACACACGGUCCAAAGCCUCUAUGUGUGUUCAGACGGGCCCCAAAGGCCUCUCAUCUCAUUUGUAUCAUUGUAUGUGGAGAGAAGGGUACUGUCCAAUGAUUUUAAAAACAAUCUCUAUACUCAUAUUCAUAUACAUUCUAAUCAUAUCUUUCUUUUCAUUAUCACGUCUAAAUCCACUUUUCUCAUCUUUAAGAUACUAUCAUAUUUUAUUCAAGUCCAUACGGAAAACCAUUAACCAAACAUUUUAAUAUAAUAUCAAUGCAUGAAUAAAAUCCAUUUCGAGAAAAUCAUUAAAUCAGAAUAUUUAAAAUAUUUAUUUCGCAAACAUACUUUACUAUCAUAAUUAACCAUGAAAAUAGGUUUUGUAUAUUCCACUCACAGUGACGGUGUUCACGCUCGGUUAUCGUCCACGUCCGCGGACUGAUUAUCGCUUGCAGAUCCUCCUAAAUCAAGGAAACGACAUAAUUAUUUUCCAUAAAUUGGAAUUACGACUAAAUUUAUACAAUAAACUCAAAAACGAACAUCUAUCCAUAAUUUCGGGUCAAACGGGUCGGGUUUUUGGCUCGGUUUUUACAGCUUCUCUCUCACUCUCUCACACGUGUAUAUGUUACCCCAUUUCCAGCUUCUUCAUUUACUUUUAUUUACUUUUUAACUGCCUCACCCCUUUUUUUCACAUAUGUUACAAAUAGGGUUUAAUUUAUUCAAUUCCUAGCUAAUUUAGUUAAAUUCCAAUUUAUUAGGAAUAUCGUUUCCUGGUUUUAACUAGAUGUCUAAUUUAGCAAGUCAAUUAGUGACAUGAUUUUUAUAAAUGGUGCGUGGGAUUUAUUUAGAGGAAGAAGUUAGUUCAAACAAAAAGUUUAUUAAAUGCUCUAGAUAUUUCUUAGGAGAUAAGUAAGGUAAGCAUAUCAUUUUUAUUCCUAUUCAGAUUUAUAGGAAUUAUAAGAGGAAAAAAAUUCUUAUUUGGAAAGAAUCCUAGGCUUUUAACGACAGUCUUAAUAAAUUUUUUCACAUCAGCCUCAUACUCAUCAAACAAUAUAUCAUAUUUAAUCCAAGAUUUAUCCAUUUUUGUUUAGUACCUGACAUAUAAUUGAGACAAAUUUCAACAUAAUGUACUAAUGGGCAGCAAUGAUAAAUAGUUUCCAUUAUCAAUAAAUUAAGCAACAAAACAUUAUUAAUAUUCAGUUUAUAAAUUUAAUGAAAUAAAUAAAUUUAAAAAUAAAAACUUGUCAUCAUGUGCAACAAACAUAACUUCACCAACGUGCUGUCAUCAUUUACCAAAACCCACUAAUAAUAUCCUAAAUAAUUUAGCCCACAUACAUUUAACAUUUAUUUAAAAGAAAUUUUAACAAUCCGGUAUUUCAUGGACCGCAACACUAUAUAUAUAUAUAUAUAUAUAUAAAUACAAACGCAACUAUACAUUCCUUGGUCCACAUGACCAAACUUACCAUUUCUUUCAAACAUAAAAAAAAAUUGAAAACGGGGGCCUCACUUUUCAACUCAAUAAAAUACACUAGAAAGUAUUGAAAAAGGGGGCCUCACUAUUCAAGCGUCACCAUUAGCUUGGAUGUAUGUAAAGAUGAUUUGAACCCAUAGUUGUUGCAUAAAAACCUUUGUUAUCUUUACUUUUGUUGUCAAAAUUAUUAUUGUAAUUUUUUUAAUGGUAGAAGUAGAACCUAAUCCCUCACAAUUAUCAUUUAAUAAUAUGUUAAUUACCAAACACUAUUAUUUUUUUAUUCAUACCUAGUAGUGAUUUAAAUUUGAAAAGCGACAAAACCAGAAACCAAUUUUUAAUAUAUAAUAAACCAAUUAUUAUUAUUUUUUUUUACGGUGAAAUGUAAGGAUCCAUUUAAAAAAAAAAAACACCAACAUUACAAUGACUGAAUUAGAAACGAAAAUCACAGCAACAUUAUAAUUGCAUUCAGUCUCUACGUCUCCUCCUCCUCCUUGUUGCCUUUUGCUGCGUUCCCAACUUCUCCAGAAUCCAUCCGAUAAUUCCUGUGCUGAAGUUGAACCCGAGAACCAAUCCUGCCACAAGUCCGCCCGCAUAGCCAGUCAGAAUGAUUUUCCAAUCAGAUGCGCCUGAAAACAGGGACUCCUCCGAGCCUUCAGUAUGAUCUUCAUUUGUUGCAGCUUCACCACUCUCACAUCCUUUGGACAAUGGCUUUCCACACAAUCCUGAGUUGCCGUCGAAAGAAGUAUUGUCAAAUGUAGCAAAUUGCUUUCCUUGUGGUAUAGGCCCUGUAAGGUAAUUGUCUGAGACAUUGAAGAAUUCGAGAAAUGUGAGCUCAACCAAUUGUUGAGGAAUCCGUCCUGAAAACUUGUUAUUUGAGAGAUCCAGUGAUUCCAAAUUUGUUAGAUUGCCCAAACAUGACAGAAUAAGGCCUUGGAGAUUAUUGUGCUGGAGGUUUAGAACUUGAAGUCCCUUUAAAUUUGCAAUCGAUGCUGGAAUCGCCCCAACAAAUCUAUUAUUUGAGAGAAUAAUGCCCGCAAGGAUAUCCGGAAUCUUUUUAUAUGUCAUCAUUCGCCCUUUGCUGCUCAUUGUCAUUGAGUAGUCAUAAGUGCUAAGUACAUUAUUGGUCACUUGUCCAUACGAAGAAAGCACAUCUUGCAGAUAUCUUAGCUCACUUGUAUUGACAAUUUUCAUGGCAUUCCAACACAGGAAACUCUUUGAUGGAAGCUUUCCAGUAAAUCUGUUGUUAGAUAGGUCAAUAAUGCGGAGUUUAGAAAAUCCACAACCAGUUCUGGGUUCUUCUAUAACACCAUAAAAUAUGUUGGAUCGUAGGAUGAGAACAUUCAAUU